This 104282-nucleotide long non-coding RNA is filed under the name Panicum hallii. RNAcentral's name for it is "long non-coding RNA (PHAL_LNC000734)". Lineage: Eukaryota; Viridiplantae; Streptophyta; Magnoliopsida; Poales; Poaceae. The record is from RNAcentral.
CAUGGGGUGGUGGGAAUUGGGAUGGGGCCAUUGGCCACGCUUGCAAACUGCAGCUUAGUUUAAGUGCUUAACCAUGCACAACCAAAACUAAGCCAGCAUCCUCCUACCUGCACAAUCGACCCGCGCUGCACCACUCAUUGCCCUGACGCCCAUGCCCGUGUUGCCAUUUGUACAGACUACAGAGCACAGCUAGCUCUACCGAAGCCAGCCAGCCGAGCCGAGCACCUCUGAGCAGUGAGCUCUGACUGAGACUGAGCCAUUGGGGCUGGGGAUUUCUCGAAGCCAUAAAAGAGAGAGCCCCAGAAAGAAGCCUACAAAGUACCACCAGGCCUCCGACCAGCAGCCGCAGCACCACCACUCCAGCGAGGGAAGGGCAGGGCGCAGCGCAGGCGGGGAAGAAGGGGGGUCGAGGAAUCAACCCGACCCAACCCAAACCCCCAAUGGCUUCCCCGCGCUCCCUCGCCCUCUUCCUGCUCUGCAUUCUGGCGCCGGCGCCGCCCGUACCAGCCGCAUUGCUGUUCGGGGGCGGGAAGUCGGCCAAGGCGGCGGGGGGCCUGGACAUGGAGUGGCGGCCGGCCACUGCGACGUGGUACGGCGACGCCGAGGGCGACGGCAGCGACGGUAAGCGCUCUCAUCCCAGCUCCACACCAGCACACCACACCGGUCUUUGGCCUAGCAUUUACUGGGAGCACACGGACACAUUGUAGUACGCCAUUACCAUGCUAGAAAAAUACUCAGGACGAGUAUUGGUUCGCCGGGUUGAUUAUUGAAGGAGCUGGCCGUUGCAGAAUUUUCUUUACCGCGGCUAGAAGGAAAGGUUUUUCUUUGUUCGGGGUAGUAAAAGAAGACGAAUAAAUUCCUCCCGUUGCGACAUUUUUUUUUGGCGGGACCUCUGCGGAUCCCAUGAAUCCCGGAGCGAAUUUCGGUGGGCCCCGCUCCGGGUCCCGGCACACCUGUCAAGCGGCCAGGCUUCGUCGUCUCCGCGUCCGGCUCCGGCGGCAAAGCUCCCAGCAGCUGCAUGCAGUCCCGGCACCGUUGCUGAAACUGAAAUCCUCACGACAUUAAUGCAGCAUUGCUCUCCCUGGCACGGCCAGUCCCCACCGACACUGCCGGUAACCUUGAUUCUACCACAAGUAGAAGAGGUUAAUCCGGCGACGGACCAAGACCAUGAGCUCGCUGUUACUGCUAGCAUUUACGCCGUCCUGCCUGAGCACUGUGCUGGGGGGUACACCAUGCGGUAGAUGGGCCUUCAGUUUUGUCGUCCUGUUUGUUUGACCCGUCUCGUAACGGAAUAGUGCCACACCCGUGAGCCCCGCGACUUGUCCAUCACCAGGCUCUGUUCUUCACGGCAACUUGCACCCUCGAUGCGCUGCACCGGCUGUUCCCUCCUUAAGACAGAGUAUUUUUCUGCAACUGACACUGCGAUUAGCUUAACAAGCAAUUGGCAGCUGCUACUGGCAGUAGUAUUUUGCAUGGACUCUCUUGUGUUUUAUUAUUAGAUCAUAACGGCAGCAACACAACCAUCUGAUUGUUUCAUCAUCUGCAGGCGGCGCGUGCGGGUACGGGACCCUGGUGGACGUGGUGCCGAUGAAGGCGCGGGUGGGGUCGGUGAGCCCCGUGCUGUUCAUGGACGGCGAGGGCUGCGGCGCCUGCUACAAGGUCAAGUGCCUGGACCGCGGCAUCUGCUCGCGCCGGGCCGUGACGGUCAUCGUCACGGACGAGUGCCCCGGCGGCCUCUGCGCGUUCGGCCACACGCACUUCGACCUCAGCGGCGCCGCCUUCAGCAGGAUGGCCGUCGCCGGCGCCGGAGGACGCCUGCGCGACCGCGGCCAGCUGAACGUCGUCUACAGGAGGUGAGCCGCGCGGCGCAGCACUCUUCCCGUCCCCUGUCCUGUUGUUAUAUACUGCUUGCUAUCUGAAUACUUUCGUCAGUUCAGAAUCAACUGCUGCAUUUGCAUAGCACCGAUAGCAGUGGACAGGUAGACUAGAAACAGUGUCUCGUAAACCGUGAUGUCGUGCUGAAAAAUGGCCACCUGACGUCUGAAAACAUCGCUGGACUGGACGCUGGUGCUAUGAUUUCCUCUGUAGGAGUAGUACUAUGAUCCUGAAUCCUGAUGAUGCGCGGUGAAUUUAUAAUUGUUCAGGGGUUAAAUGGGAGGGAAUGCAGCCCAGCUGUCUGUCAGUCUGAGGGUUAAGCAUGCCUGUCAGCCUGCGCCUGACGUAACUCAUUCAGAGUGGCAUCUAAUCAUCUUUGAACAUCUCCUGAUCAAUCUCUUCAGAGAGAAAAGGACUCGUGAUUAAAAUUCAGUUAAUAUCCAGCAGCGAGAUUCCCCGUUUUGUCUUCUUUCAGAAACUGACCGGUGCAGUGUCGUUUGUCUGUGCAUAUACUCCAGGACUGCCUGCAAGUACGGCGGGAAGAACAUAGCAUUCCGUGUGAACGAGGGCUCGACCAGCUUCUGGCUCUCGCUGCUCGUCGAGUUCGAGGACGGCGAAGGCGACAUUGGAUCCAUGCAGAUAAAGCAGGUAACCAACACAACCGAAUCCUCCCAUGCCAUUUCCCUCGUCCGGAUUCAGAGGCCUCUUCACCCUAGCACGCUUCUUGGCCUAGUCUCUUUCUUGCACGGCCCUUUCGCAACAAAGCGAUUGGGAAAAGGAGGCGAUCUCUUGUCCUUAACAACCUUUAUUGCUUGAUCGGGGAAAAAAAAACCUUCAGUGCUAGGGCCAUUCCUCGAGAUGCACCGGACCAAGAGAGGGCCACAGCUCACAGCGGCAUUGCCUUACCGAGCAUCCUGGAGACGCGCGUGCUGCAGUGUUGCUUGCUUUCAGUACUCUCCUCGCUAGCAUUGCCGCUGUUGUUUGGCCUCUACCCAGUCCUUGUAGCUGCAGAUCGACCUGAAGAAGUGAGGCCAAAAGACCUGGCAGUUAAAAAUAUCUUCCUUUGUUUACCCAAUCUAAGGUUACACACAGCAAAAAGGCAGCACCUUAUCUCGAUCAGGGCAAACCAGCCACGCGUGGCCAGCCAUGAAGGCGCGCUAGUGCUUUUCUACUUUCUUGCUUUGUCUACCACUAGAAAGAAAACCCUAGUCAAUGCUUUGCACAAAGACAUACGCAUACACGACGCAUGAUCGUCUUCGCCGAAUGAUUCCCGUUCUGAAUAUGUUGGAAAAGCGGCAUCGCCUGAACCCUAGCCGCCCUGCCCCCAUGAUGCUGUUUCUUCAGCUCGCCUCCCUGCUUAAGACGACGACCAGCAUCAAGACUACAGAGUCUGAUGGCCCCUCAUGCCUGCUUUGCUUUUUGCGCUGCACUAGUGAGUGCUUUCACGGUGGUUGUUAAGUGAUGAGGCCUGACAGCCAUCCUGUGGCCUUGUGGCGAGCUCGUGGGUUGUGGGCUCGUCGUGAGGCCUAGUGGGCUGGGGAAUCCAAAGAUACCAUGGAAUCCCAUGCAACCGUGCUAUUGCUUUCUGUUGCUUUGUAAAGCUUCAGAUGCUGCUGCUGUGCUUUGCCUAGUGGUGGGUUAACACUUAACAGUAACAACUCGAGCUGAAUAAGAAUAAUGCAGGCACACUACAGACAGCUGCAGAGCUGCUGACUGACUGCUCUUCCAUUCACCUUGCUAAUUCGCCAUGCUUUGCGGUUUGGGCCUUGCAGGCCAACUCGGUGGAGUGGCUGGACAUGAAGCACGUGUGGGGGGCCACGUGGUGCCUGGUGCGGGGCCCGCUCGUGGGGCCCUUCUCCGUGAGGCUGACCACGCUGUCCGCCAAGAAGACGCUCACGGCCCGGGACGUCAUCCCCAGGAACUGGGCGCCCAAGGCCACCUACACCUCGCGCCUCAACUUCGAGCCGUCCCUCUAGAAAAGAGGAGCCGCCGCCGGUCGGUGGGAGCGCGGCACCCCGAGGCCCACGUUUUAUCGGCCCCGGAUACUGCCAUGUGGUCCCGCAAAGGCUGGUGGCCCACUUGGCAGGCAGCUAGGCAGGAACCCUGCCUAUUCCUAUUGGAUGGAUCGGCAGACUGUUUUUUCUGUAUUCAGGCAGCUGCUUGGCCUGAUCGUAUUAUAGCUAGCUAGUGUAUGCUGAUGCAUCAGACGUGUGUGGUGCUAGUAGUUUUGGUCGUGACUUGUGAGCAGAAUUCAGGAGCUGGGCCAGGUACCAAGCAGCCGCCGUCUCCAAAGGAGAGAGAGCGUUCGCUGCUUGCUGCUCGGGUUCGGUCUGUGGAGGCCAGGAAUCCGAUGCGGAAGCUGGUCGGACUCGGACCGUGAGGGUUUUGGAUCCCUCGUGGGUCGUUUCGUGGCGUCCUGUACUCCUGUUUGCUCGUGUCGUGUGCGCGCGCGCGCUUGUGCUUGUUCUGGUGUUUCUGUUUUGUGUGUUUCCCUGAUUGAAACGCAGGGUUCGUGACAGUGUCAGAAUCUUAUCUGUCCGCAAUGAGAAAUGUGUGUGGCGCACAGAACGACCUUGUUCUUUCCAUGUGAAUGCCACAAUGUUGGCUUGUCCAUUCUCUUGCUGCCAUGUCAGUCAAAGACAGUUCUCGUAGUCAAAGACAAUGCAUGCGUGAAGAUGGAAAGAGAUUUCCACUGGUAAUGCUGGCAGUGGCAGUGAUGAUGGGCGGUGUGCACCUGCUCAAGGUCAGGAACUCAGUACAACGGUAUGACCAACGGCAACUCCGUUUCACAAGGGGGGCGAGGAUUAGGGUUGCCGGUGGCAAUAACAAGGUAAGGUCGGCUCUGUUCCUCUUAAAAGAAAACUUGUUAGGGUCCCAAGACGAGCUAUGUUCAACAUUUAUGUGAAGUCCAGAUGUAAUGUCAAUCUUUAAGCAUGUGUUGCAGUUUCUAAAAUAAUCGCGCAUGAUGCCAUUCUGAAAAUCACCAUAACUGGUUAACAAAAUAGAAGGACAGCGAUGUUUCGAGACUCAAAGUAAAUUUACUAAUAUACAUUCGUUGAUUUUAUGGGUCGUAUGGCUAGGUCAGUUUGGCAAAAUUAAUGGUAAUGCAAGGAAAAAAGCUCUCUCACCCGCAAGUGUUUGGGCGGCCUUCAACACUCCAUUUCUCAUCCUUUGAUAUUGUCUCCAGCUCCGGCACAUGGAGGUUAGAAAUCAAGCCAAAUAAGUUGAUAGAAAAAGGCCAUGUGUUGGGGCGCGCUAGUGUGCUUCUUCUUGAAGUCUUUUUUUUUUUUUGAAACGACUUCUUCUUGAAGUCUUGGUGAAAGUAGUAACGGAAAAUCUGACUGACCAGAAAUUGUAAAUGUGCUCUGUUUCUAGCCAUAUAUAAGAUUUCUUAAAAAAUUUCUUUGAGCGCGUGUUGCAAAUUGCAAUAAGCAUGAAAUAGUUAAGUCGGAAAAAAUGUAAGUUCCUCGACUAGCGAGAACAGUUUAAAAAUGAUAUAUUUUCCUACCCGUUUUUAUCCCAGUUCAGUAGUGCGGUCCACACAAGGCCCGUGAUUUGUACGAGUUUUCCUUUCUUCUUCCUAGGCCUCACAUGGGCCAUGACCCACGGAUCCGGGCCAACACCACCUGGGCUCAGGCCCAAAGCCCCAAACCACCCUCCUGAGCCACGGUCAUCGCUGCCCAUGACAUGCCGACCCCACAUUGCCAGCUUGACAUCACCCACGACCCGCGUCACGUUCUCUUCCAGCCAGGGCACGUUCAUGGUCGUCGUCACCCCCCGGAUUCCCUGAAAUAGACAAAUCUCCCACCCGCUCCGCCGCUGCACGGCUCCACCCAUAGCCGGGAGGAGUGGGAGAUACUUUCGUCAAGGAUAGCACACAGGAUUCGCGCCGCCCCUGAGCCGCCCGUGGGAAAAGGAGGCGACGAAUCUACCCACCCCGCAUUCGGGCUCGGGCGCCACCCCGUGCCAUUGCCGCUGCGUCCGCGAGCCGCCGCCCGUUCGCGGGGCCAGAGGGAGGGAGGGAGCAAUGGGCGCGGGGAUGGAGGCGGACGAAGGGGUGAUGGCGACGGACUUCUUCUGGUCGUACACGGACGAGCCGCACGCGUCGCGCCGCCGGGAGAUCCUGGCCAAGUACCCGCAGAUCAAGGAGCUCUUCGGCCCGGAUCCGUGGGCCUUCCUCAAGGUGCCGUGAUCUGCCUCUUUUUUCCCUGCUCUGUGCGUCUGUUCUCUCCUCCUUGUGUGCUGCAAUGGGGAAUUGGGGAUUGAGCUUGCCGGAAAGUAUAAUUCAUAUUGUUUUUUUUUUCAACGAUGCUUGGCGUUUGCGGUGAAGUGUAAGUUGGGUAGCCUUAAAGCCGAGAUCUCUAAUUGCCGUGUCUGAAUUAAGAAUCAGUAUACGGUUCUUUACUGUUUCAGUAGGGGGAUUAGUUUGGCGGUGUUCAGCUUCUAGUGCUUACGUUACUAGAGUUAUUCUCAGGAAUCUCAACUAUGACAAAGUGAUUGCAGUUAUACCUUUUAAAGGAAAGAUUGCAGCCAUACUUGUUUUGAUUUUCCCAUUUUCUUUUGUUAAUUGCUUGUUUCUGUAACAGUUAACUUGUUACCCUUGUCUUCAACCUGAAAAUUUGAUGCGCUUGGAAACUGUUAAGCUUGGGAUUUAUCGUGCAAAACGGAAUAACUAGUAGUAAUUAAGCAAUGCAUUUAAAGCAGGAGCUUCUUCCAUUAAGCUGUCUUAUCCAGCCAUAACGAGCCUAAUAGAAUUUGUUUAAGUGCCAUAAGGUGGUCUGACAGUUCUGCUCAACCUUUCUUGUUGGUCCUGGAUCAGUUCCACACUUCCACCAGUAACUUUCAAGCCUGAAAUGGUAGUUGCUUCUUCCGGUUGGCUACGUGCACUUCCUUUCAAGGCAUGGAAUAAGCCUAUGCUGUUAGUUAAAGAUUAUGACAAUAAUGACAUCAGGACCAACUAACAAAUGAUAAGACUCAUUGUGUCAAGCUCCUCCUUUGACUCUAACCUCUGCUAUAAUUUCACACUUUCACUCCAGUUGCCUCUUCCUUUUUACUUAUUUGAUUUGAAUAUGGGUGCCACGAAGGAAAUUAGCCCUAACUACUUUUUCCUUAAAGGAUAAGCCCCCAAUCACUUUGCCCAUCGAUAUAUCUGGCUGCUAAGCCUGCUGCAUGUUCUGUUUUGCAUGACCAAUUUGUGAUGGUAACUUUUAAGCCAACCCUAAGAUGCAAACAUAUCUUGGUGGUGUCUCAUAGUGAGACUGACAACAACAAUAGGAAGCAUUUGAGAAAAGUAUAUUUCUUUUUUUUCCUGUACAGAAGGUCAUUUGUGAGAAAUACAAAUCCACUCAGACAUCUUUGCUACUACUUGAACAUGAUAGAAUUCUCAGAUGAUCUAUAUCUAUAGAUUUCAAUACAAUCUGAAUUUAUAAGCACAGACACGAACUCACUGAAGUUACAGUGCCCUGCACCAUUGCUCUGCAGCUGUUUGAAACAGAGUAUCCCUGUUCUCUCUCCUUGCUAGUAAGAAAUUUCGAAUUCAUACGCAAAACUGGUAUUCAUAUACCCCUUUCACCAACAGCUGUUGUGCUGGCCAUUGAACUCUGGCAACGGAAACUAGCAACUUGAAACAGCCAGUUUCGUGACCCUUGUUUGAAAAAUCAGGGGCCUUGUCAUCCUCUCCAUAAGUUGUAUUAGCUUGGUGCCUUGGUUUGUUUUGUUGUGCUGUAAGUUGUUCGUGCAUACAUGGAUGACACACUAUGGUACCAACUGUCAAUGGAAUUUCCAGGGAAUAUGAAUAUAGAAACUAGAAACUUUAUCAUUCGAUUUCAUCAGCAAGUUAUUACUGCAAAUUGUAGACCCUUUUUCAUUGAGUUUUAUUAGUACUGUUUUCUGACGGCAAUGCCAACUUUAUCUGCAGAUUGCUGUGGUUGUUUCGCUUCAGCUGUGGACUGCUACAUUCCUCCGAGAUGCCAGCUGGUUGAAGCUCCUGAUAGUCGCCUACUUCUUCGGCUCCUUCCUGAACCACAACUUGUUCCUUGCUAUCCAUGAGCUGAGCCACAACCUCGCCUUCACAACCCCAUCCCUGAAUCGCUGGCUAGGUAUCUUUGCAAACCUCCCCAUCAGUGUCCCCAUGUCCAUAACAUUCCAAAAGUACCACCUGGAGCACCACCGGUUCCAAGGCGUGGACGGCAUCGACAUGGACAUUCCCAGCCAGGCAGAGGCGCACGCCGUGAAGAACGCCAUCAGCAAGUCCGUGUGGGUGGUGCUCCAGCUCUUCUUCUACGCGCUGAGGCCGCUCUUCCUGAAGCCGAAGCCCCCGGGCCUGUGGGAGUUCACCAACCUCGCCAUCCAGGUCGCGCUGGACGCCGGCCUGGUCUACCUCCACGGCUGGAGGUCGCUGGCCUACCUGAUCCUCUCGACGUUCGUCGGCGGCGGGAUGCACCCCAUGGCGGGCCACUUCAUCUCGGAACACUACGUGUUCAGCCCCGACCAGGAGACCUACUCGUACUACGGCCCCCUGAACCUGAUGACCUGGCACGUGGGGUACCACAACGAGCACCACGACUUCCCGAGGAUCCCCGGCGCCAGGCUGCACAAGGUGAAGGAGAUUGCGCCGGAGUACUACGAGAGCCUGAGGUCGUACAGGUCAUGGAGCCAGGUGAUCUACAUGUACAUCAUGGACCGGACGGUGGGGCCGUUCAGCCGGAUGAAAAGGAAGGCGCCGAAGAAAGAGUCGUAGUUGAUGGACCUCCUGCCUUCGGGUGGAUAUUUUUGUCGUGUAUGAACUCUAGCAGAGAUGUUUCUUUUGGUGUAAACCCGACGAUCCGUUGGAACUGUGUGCUAUCACAAGUUUUGCGAGUAAUUUUUACACGUUCCAGAGGUAUACUCCAGCGUGUCACUUGAUGUGUGCUGAAUUAGAAGAUGACCACGGUUCUUUAAAACCUGAUCCAUCGUGCGCUCCUUUUCCCCUCGCCCGCUCCGUGAGUUGCGAUCCUGCGGCAGCCUGCUUGCUGAUCGCGGCUGCUGGCAGUGCAACCAACGUGGAGCUUAACUCGUAUCCUUGCAAGCACGCGAGUGCAGCCAAUCCUGAGGGCCCAAGGGUACUGUUAUUGGGUGCCCACGUUCUGACGGUGGUGAUGAAGAGUUCAGAAAUACAGUUUAUACAGCUUACCAUCGAUCCUUCCCUUUAAACAUUGUUUGCAGCUAGUUUUUAAAAUACCACUUGAAUUACACGGCAACGAUGUUAGCAGUGCAGAUGUUUGAAUAUACAACAUAAAUGUUCCAGUAUUCAGCUUGAAAGUGCCUCAUGGAUCUUGACUCCACUAGCUGUAUGGCACAAUGAGGAAAAGCGAACAGAACGCAGCAUUCGCUCUGAAUGCUGAAAGCCUCAGCAAAGCUGCACUUUUGUUCGUCUCCUUCCUGAUCCUACCCAUUCCAACUGGAGGAUAGAUCAUCGAUCCCUGGAAAGGCUACUCCGAUCGUCUCGCGCUCAAGGAUGUUGAAAAGAUGGAGGGACUGUGCACCGGCACCACCACCACCAUCUGAGGGGCGCAUCAUUGGCUUCUUCAGAAUCCAUGUUUGUCCUCUACGACCUCUGCCCGUGUUUGAUGGAAUUGAAGCCCGAAAUUGCGCUUAAUCAAGGCCUCUUGACUUGGAAGAAGCACAGGAACAAACAUCUUCUUCCCAAUUCCCGUGGUUGUACAUUGUCGUCGUCUUCGUCUUGCCCAUGGUGCCGGAGCCGAUUUGAAAGCAGCGGUUCGGUGCUGGAGGAAGCGGCGUCCUACGAUUCCGGAGCCGGAGCCGCGGCUCAGUGCGCCCUGUUGAUGGGGGCGGCGGCGCGGGAAGCAUCACGCUUGACGCAACCCGCCGGUGGCCGCGCGGGCUCGUCGGCCCGGCCGGCCGCCGGCCCGGAGAUCAUGCAAAGAACCCCCGAUUUGGAUCUGGUAUUUACAAUACCCCCUGAUUUGGAUCGCGAUUGCUAAUCGCGAUCCGAUAUUACAAAUAAACUCCUAGUUUGGGGAUCGCGAUUCUUAAUUGCGAUCCGAUAUUUUUCAUUUAGACCCUUAACUAUUUACAGAUAUACCCCUCAUUUAGGUCGACGCCUUUCUUUCUCCUCUCUUGUCGGCCAUCGCCGCCGCCCGCCCCGCAUUCCGUCCAGUGGGAGGACCAGGCCCGACCUAUCCAUGCCGUUGUCUUUCCCCUCCUCAAACCCUAGAAUCUGGUAUCCCCUCCGUCCCCGCACCAAAGAGAGGAAGCGCGCGUGCGAUUCGCUGGGACCAGGUAGUGCGCCUCGCCUCCGACGCUGUCGUGCCCGCGACGUCCGGCUGCGGCUGCUCGCCUGCUCGGGAUGGUGGAGUGCUUUGGCACUGCAGCAGGCUAGCAGUGUUGUUAGAGUUGUGCUUCUGCACCAUCUUAAUUCGCUUUACUUGCAGACAUAUGUGCUGCCCAAAGUUUCUGCAAGCAAUCUUUUUUGCUUUCAGUGCUGAAUGCUGCUUUGUUUGAGCUUAUCAAAUGACUGCACACAUGACUCGUGAAAGAAAAUGGCUGCACGUACCCACCAUCUCUCCAGUCUUUGAUCUCCAAUAGUCUUUCGCUGAGGUGCUAAUUUCCUUGUUAAAGCUUUGGCUGAAGUGUCAGGAUUCCAUAUUUGAAUACACGAUGUAAAGAGUCAUCGUUAGGCUGGAUGCAGGUACAGGAAAACAUGCUGCGGAGAUUUUCAUCAAUUGGAUUGGACGCAAGCCCAGUUGCAGACUUGCAGGAUUGCAAAAGGAACUGCCCGAAAUACGCGGUUCCAAAUCGUAUCAUCGUUGUUUCUCCUUAUACACUCUACUGCCCUGGCUGUCAGCCUGCCAUACAGGGUUCGCGGCGUUCACAUCUUUCGCAGAUUUCGUUGCCUCGAGCCAAAAACUUGCCAUUUCUGGCGCUCAGUCCUGCCAAACCAGCGUGGCCAAAGCCGUGCCACGGUUUACCUUCAAAAACAAAAAAAAAAAGAGCCACGGGCGCACAGGACAGGCGCACGACGCAGCGGUCAUGCCGUUGCGCCGGCCCACGACGCCGAGAGCCCCCAGACACGGACGACACGCGAGCGCUCCAGGUGCUCGGCGAUCGCGUUCGCGUUUGAGAGCAACACCCAUGUUCUGGUGGUGGUUUCGUGCCGAACCAGCAGCCCCGACCCCGGGCACGUGCAAGCGGGCGAGCACGAGCGUCGAGCGGUCAAAACGGCGCAACAACUUGUGAGAUCAGAAGCACGAGUCCACGGGAACCCACCACCGGCACCUCGGAAACUCGAGGGUUCCCAUCAAAAAAGGAAACUCGAGGGUUCUUGAUACCUCCCUCCUUUUGCCAGUUUGUUCCUUGGAGAGUGGAUUCGUUACCAGAAAGACUAAAACCUGACCUAACCAUGCGUAAGUUCGACUCACGAUCCCUACCGAGGUUUUUCCCCAGUCUCUCCUGCACGUGUGCACUGCGGUCACAACGGUCAGAGUGAUGUACCCGUCAUGUGCAAAAUCUAGUGAUUUCGGAUACCUCUGAGCCGCGUGAAGUUUCUAGGUAUAGAUUGCAGAUCUUGCUCGUGUGUAGGUACCCGAGUAUGGUGGUGUGAGUUAGUGCGUGAGUUGAGAUACCACAGCUGCUACGUUGAGGCAUAAAAAAAAAAGAAGAAGCAUCAGAUUUUCAUCAAUUCAAAAAACAAAAGAUGCCUCAGCAGCGGACGUCUCUGCCUUUUUCCGUCGCGCAGGAACCUUUUCCAUCUCCUAACCGAACUCCGAAAGAACAGUUGGCAGUUUGGCACGGACUGGCAAAUGGACCCUCUAAUAAACUCCAGCCACGCGCCGGACCCACAUGUCAGCCAGGAUUAGCACCUCAUUAGAAGCGGUUUCCUACCUAUGAUAAUCUAGUACAAGGAAAGAGAUACUCCAUAUAUGCGCUCUGAUUCAAAACGUCAACCGCCGCUCUUGACCGUUCCUUGAACGCCGACGCGGCCGCACAGCUCAUCUCCAAAGCUUUACAGAUCGGCUCCGAGCUCGCGUCCACACCACACCGCCCAGCGGCUACUUUUAUAUCCUCCUCUCCUCCCCCUCCACACGCCUUCGCGACAAGUCGGCAACCGCCGCCUCUCAUUUUUCCUCCUCGCCUCUCCUCGUCUUCCUCCACGAGACGCAGCCAGCGGCGGCGGGUUCCUCCCUCCCGAUCGAGGAGCGAGGGGAACGGACGAAGGAGAUGGGCGGGUUCGACCAGCAGGUGAAGGAGCGGACCAAGGACCUGAAGCACCUCAAGGAGAAGGCGAUGAGGGGCAUCAAGGUGGCCGGCGAGUCCUGCAAGAAGGCGUGGAGCAAGGUCAGGAGCAGCAUCAAGCGCUAGGCGGUUGAGUUCGCUCGGAUUUCGACUGUAGCAGCGUGCUAUUCUGAGUUUUGGUUGUGAUUUUGCUAUUAUUGGAUCUAUUUAUUUUAGCAACUUUAUGUGAAAAAUGAAAAAUCGUAUGUGUGUGUAUGGCUCGUAUCUAUCUUUGCUCGUCCCUUGCGUAUGAUCUUCUCCGUGCUCUUCUUCCGGUGGCAAACUUUGCAGUUUGCGAGAGAUGAUAGAUCUGUUGCCGCGAAGUUCGCAGAGAGUCUCAACGUCUUUUCUUGAAAAAAGAAGAGGAGGAGGCAUAGCCACGUAGCUGUCGAUGGUCCGCUGCACCUGAUCAUCGUUGAUUGAAGCAAUUACCACCGGUGUUAGUCGUUAGCCUGCUUCUUAACCUGCAGGGCUUAAAACGAACCGAACUAAGAUCUGCCACGACCCGCGGCUGCUCCAAAUCAUGUAGAGGUAUUUCUCCCUUCGCCUUAACAAGGCGCGUGGUUGAAAAUGCCCCCAAACAAGGGGCAAUCAAACCAAUCCAGUUAGCCUAUUGUAGAAAGCCUUUUAGAGUGGUACAGCACUAAAGAAAUUCUCUUUCGGCCAUUGAGUAAGAGCAAGUAUUCAACAGCUUUACAGGAAACGAAUCGGUUGCAUCAGUAUUCAUUUUCAUUAUUCAAGAAAGAAAAUGGCAGUCCAGACGGAUCCUAAUUCAUGCUGACAGCUGGUGCCGUUCGUUCACGUAGGCUGCUCGUGUAGAACGACGAAGCUCGAGCUGACCGGACAGCCGGGUCUAAGAAUAAUAAUGCAACACGGGAGCACACAGCAUGUGAAGGACCAAGGACGACGAGGGUAGCUGCAACAGCAUGUGAAGCAACCUAUAACAAACACGAAAAACCCUGCACACAAGGGUAGACCAUGUGAAAACUGGCAGUAUCUGGAAUUCAAAAUUCUGCUGAUACAAGUACAGCAAUCGACACGCGAACUACAUAAAAAAAACUUGGGUAAGAAACAGCAGUUUAAUAUGCUAUUACUAGGUAUGCUCGUCCUACAGGUCCACAAGGAAUAACUGCAGGGAAUUAGGCUCUCCGGGCCGACUACUGCAAAGGGGCAUCAGGAUCCAAUCUUUUUUGGAUUGCAGCUGCAGCCUGAUAAUGAAAAAGAUUUGCUUAAGUUAUAGGAGUAUAUGUUAACCCAUUAUAUCAGGCUUGUAAGUUGAGAAAGAAAGAGCGUACCUGAAAAUUGCCCAACCUGUAUUGAUAGUUCAUUUCCUCGCGUAGACGGGCCUGCUCCUUCAUAUCUUGAGCCUAAGAGCAGGUAAAACACACAAGAUAAGCACAGCUUAAUUCGCCUUCAGUUACUAUACCAUAAUCCUACUGUAAUAUUUCCACAACAACACUCUGCUAGGUAUAUUAACGGAAAAACCUAGAGAUAGAUAAACAACACAUCAUUUUACUACAGCAUGUAUUAGUAUUAUAACACAUAGAUUGAAUAAGAAAAGCAAAUAAAUGUGUGCCGCGUUGGAAUCGAGUAUUCAAACAAUAAGGUCAAAAGCAAUAAUUGUCGCUAAAUUUGUUUCAGGAAAGGAAUUGGCAUAUCUAGGUCCUAGGAGACUAUGAUACAAUGAAAUAUCCUAAAAGGUAGUAAAAUUGUACACAAUGGACUGGGAUGCCUGUGCAAUCAAACUUGGCUGAUCAGACACAAGCAGUAGAUGUCAAUUACAAAGGUCUUCAUAUACUAAUUCAGAGAAAGAGCUGUUAUGUGCAGACAAGUUAUUUGUUCGCUUCGGUCACAUAGUGCAUUCUCUAUCCAUUGCAUAUCACUUCCCAUUAUAAAUAGUUAUUCUUUUUUGGGCGAAAUAACACAUGACAUUAUAAUAGCUGUUCCUAAGCCAUAUCCAUUUAAUGCUGGAGCAUGAUCUUAAACUAGUAGCAAAACCCUUCACGAUCGUUAUAGUAUUUAAUUGACAUUUCAAAGAUGAAUCAAGGCUGACAAAAGAAACACAAAAUUGAUCUAACCAGUCCAGCUUGCAUGGAGCGUUUUAAAGCUUCCACUUCUUCCUCCUUUCGUCUCUCACGUUCCUUCAACAGUUCUAAUCUGCAUGAUUUUUUUAAAAAGAAGUUAAAAAGGAACUACUCAACAUAUAAUAGACUCCAAAUCCAAUUAAAAUACAAGGGUUUCAUAAUAUUCCCUUCAUUGAACAUGCAGGAAUGUGAAAAGAUAAAAGCUCACAGACUUAUAAUCUGUGUUCCAUGUUUUAAAAAGAAGUAUAAGGAUAACAUUAUAGAAAUAAACAACAAAACAAAUUCAUGUUAGCGUACCGCCGUUGUUCCUCAUCAUUAAAUACUGUACGUUCUGUCACUAAGGUCUUCAAACCCUUCUUUUGCUCUUUCUCCAUCGCUUUGCGAUGAUAAGCAUCUAAAUUAUAAUAUCUGAAAGAUAACAUAAAGAGAUAAAUGAUAAAACCCUAUUUUGAACCUGUCAUCUAAUUCAAAGUUAUACCCAGAAGACGGAAGCCAUUACUUUUUCGAUGGGAAAGUGGCUGUAUUGUGAUCCUCCAUGAAUCUGAGAUACAAACACCAUAUGUUAAACAUCGUUGGAAAAUCAAGGACACGGUAGGAAAUACUUUUCAUGGUUCAGAGGGCCGUGUAAUUAUUCAAGCAACUUCAUAGCAGUAGAAUAACUUACUCCUUAAACAUUUGCUUCUCUUCCCAGUUUGACAAAGCUUCCAAAUUAACCUGGGGCCACAUUAACAAGAAAACUAAAUUGAACAACAGGAUUACUUUGGUCUUAAAUUUUAACAUAGACAUCCAUGCAUGCCUCACUGUGUAUCUACAUGUAUGGAAUGGCAGAAAAGAAAUAUACCUGCUUGACUUCUGAUAACCAUGCAGUGAACUCUGGUCGCUUGCUCCUACAAAAUAUGUUGCACACUUAAUUUAUAGAAAUGUGGUAGAAAUAAUUUGGUACUUCGGAUAUAAUUAUUUAGUGUGAUAGUGUCUAAGUUCAUCUCAUUUUGUCAUAGAUACGACAUGUACUCAGUACUCAGUAGUAGUAUAGAACUGUUUGUACCUAAAUUGGAUAUGUGAAUGCAUAAAAUAUUUCUCAAAUUUUCUACUUGCAUCAUUCCUAUGAAUUUUGAGACGUGAACUAAAAUCUGCUUGAAAGCUAGUAGAAUAGCAGCUCUAUAAACUCUAAAGAAUAAAGAUACUAACGAGCAUUCCUGUAACAUAACUACUCAUCUUCACUUUCAGUAAGCCUACGAAUUAGAGACAACAUUUGCAUAUUUCAGAUUGAGCUAUACAGUGCCAGUGUGCCACACAAACAAAGUACAGCUGAAGAAUUCGAUGUAAAUUCAUAGCUUGACAUGCCAAACCCUGAACUUUCGAAUUAAGCCACUCACCACAUAUCGACCUCACGGAUGAUACCAUACUUCCCCCACGAGUUGGUCACGGCGCCCUUCUUCCCCAAAUCCUUCUUCUCCUCCUUCCUCCUCCUCCUCCUCUUCUUCUUCUCCUCCUUCCUCCUCCUCUCCCUCUCCUUUUCCUUCUCCUUCCUCUUCCGCCUCUCCUUCUCCUUCCUCCUCCGCCUCCUCUCCUCCUCCUCCUCCCUCUCCUUCCUCCUCUUCCGCCGCCGCCUCCGUCUCUCCUCCUCCGAAUCCAACUCCGACCCGCUCUCUGACUCCGCGCUGGACCCCGAGUACGACGACUCGGACUCGGACUCCGACGACGAGCCCGAGCUCUCGCUGCGGCUCCGGCGCCGCCGCCGCCGCUCCUUCUCCUUCCUUCGCCGCUUCCGCCGCUCGCUAGAGUCCUCACCGGAGCUCUCGCUUCCCUCCUCCUCCUCUUCCCGCCGCUUCGACUUCCCGCGGUGGCUCCGGUCCCGGCUUCCCUUCGAGUGCCCCUCCCUAUCGGCUUCUACCGACUUGCUGCCGCUGCGCGCCUCCUCCUCCUCCUCCCCUUCGCCUCGAACAUCACGGGGCGAGCCGUUCUGGUCCUUCGCCAUGGAGUCGCCUGACUAGGGUUUCGCGCCGCGGAGGCGAGAAGGGAGGUGGCGAGGGCGAGACAGAUCGGCUCGCGAGAGAGCCGCGAGUGGUGGCGGCCUGGGACUGGGCGUGAGAGAGAGGACGAAGUGGCUUGGUUGCCGCCUUGGGAGAGCCUUGGGGGCGUUCGUCUAUUUUCCCUGGACCUCACUGACAGGUGGGUCCAGUUUUGUCAAACAGUGGUGGCCCCAUAUUCGUUCUCUGUUGCCUCUGUACACGUCUCCCACCUUCGCGACCCGUCUCCCUCUCGCGCUCGCGCCCACCUCGCCGCCCGAUCUGACGCGCCGGCGCGGCGCCGCCCGCCGCCGAUCCAGCGCGACGCGGUUGGCGCUUCCUGCCUCCCCCUGCGCUUGUGGCUAAUAAGCGCGCCAACGGCGCAUCUCGUAGGCUUACGAGCGCCUCUGGAUCUGACCCGAGGAGGCGGCGGCUGCUGCUGCUACUGCCUCGGCGAUGUCGAGGGUUCGGGACAGGACGGAGGACUUCAAAGAGGCCGUACGCGUCGCCGCGCUCUCCCAUGGCUACACGGAGGUAAGCUUCACCCCAGCCUCACCACCCCCUUCCCCUCAGGAAGCCGAACGGUCCCCAAUUCGUCACGCUCCGUUGUGUUGCUGUGCAGGCCCAGCUUGCCGCGCUCAUGUCGUCUUUCAUCAUCCGGAAGCCGUCCCCCAAGUCGCCAUUCACCAAUGCCGCGAUCAAGACGGUAGGAGUCUGCGGUGAAUGUGUUCCUGUGUUGCGUGUGGGGAGACAGGUUGCUAGAGUGAUUGAUGAUGGGUUGUGUUGAAUUGUAGCUUGAGAGUAUCAGGGAACUUGAGAGGUUCAUAGUGAAGCACAGGAGGGACUAUGUGGACCUGCAUCGCACUACAGAGCGAGAGAGGGACAACAUCGAGCAUGAAGUAAGUGUUGCACACUUUCACACUGUGUGUUGUUCGUUUUGAUUUGCUAUUUCUUUUCUGAUGGUUAUGCAUGUAAGAAAUCUUAAAUGUGUGUGUACUCUGCAACCAAUAUAUGCUUAAUGUCCAUGAGUGAUUUCCUGCGCCCAUAAAAAGACUUUAGUUAGUGGGUUGUUUGACAUUACAAGAGAUACAUGUUGCUGUACUACGUAGUGUUCCUUUUUGUAAGAUAUACUUGCUUGCCAAGUAUUAUUUUCCUACCUGUACAAUCUAGUCUCGGAUUACAGUUAUUGAAGACCGUAGCCCUGAAACAAUGUUGAAGAACAUGCAUAUGCACAAUGACUUAUCCUCUUUGGCGCUUCACAUUCAGUUUGGGUAGCUUGUGCAUCUUUCUCUUCAUUCUGCUAAUCUAUGUUUGGAUAUAGUGAUGAGGCAUUCCUCGAGUAUGCACCAUGCUGACAACUUAUAUUCAUUCUGGUACACAGUGUAUUGAUUCAUGUAAUCUUAUGCUGUUGCUUUCUGUUCUCAAUUUAGUAGCUAUGUCUAAUUACUCAAUGUAUAUUAGGUUGGUGUGUUUGUAAAAGCAUGCAAGGAACAGAUUGAUAUCCUAAAGAACAGGAUCCAUGAAGACGAGAAGAGUGGAAGUGUGAAGACAUGGCUUGGCACUAGGGAUGAGAGUUCCCGGUUGGACUUGAUAGCUCAUCAGCACGGUGUGGUAUGAUUAUUUUCUUUGCCGUUGAUGUUAUAAGUUUUGAAAGCUCUGCUGGGUUAAUUUGUUUUUUGAGGAAGUAUACAAUAAAAAAAUAGGUAGCAGAAGAAUAUAUUUUUGGGUAGCUUACUGGUCUGAAUGUGUACCAUUCAGAGGAUCAGACCAAGUAAUUUCUUAGGUAUUACUUGCUAUAUUGCUAUGCUUAUGAUGACCAAAAAUUUCCUUUCAUUGGAGAGGAUUGAUUGUUUGAACAUUUCUUUUCGAAAUAUUUAAGUUGGGUAUAUGCUCUACUAGUUGGUAGCAGGCUAUCAUACCUCCAUUGGUUGAUAGCAUUUGGUAGAACGAUAGAUUAUGCUGUGUAAUUUUUAGAGGACAGAUUGCCCAGUCGCAUCAAGUGAAUUUGAAUAACAUCUAGUUUUCUUGUUCAGUGCUGCAUCAAGUGCAUUAUUCAGGCAAACACAUGUAUGUGUUUUUUUCUUUAUUGUUUUUUUAUUUUUUCUCUAUAUUCAUACUGUAAGUAGCACUUAAACAUCAGUUUUAGGGUUCUUAUGUCCAUUCCAGCUAGAGUGAGCUAUUUGUUUUGUGUACAAUGUUAACAGGUUUUAAUUUUGAGUGAGCGUCUCCACUCGGUAACUGCACAGUUUGAUCGGCUUCGGUCCAUGCGUUUUCAAGAUGCUAUUAAUAGAGCAAUGCCAAGGAAGAAGAUUCAGAAGAAACCAGAAAUCAAACCUGCUAAACCAUCCAAGUCCAAUCUUGUUCUAAAAUCUGAUGUGUCAAAUAUUGGAGAUCAGGAAGUAUCUACUGCACCCAUAAGAGUUCAAGAACAACUACUGGAUGAUGAAACAAGAGCUCUCCAGGUAAUAUAUAGAUGGUAUACAAAUUAUGCGUUAGUGAAAAACUUGGCUAUUUUACAUCCUGAAACUCUUCUCAGGUGGAGUUGACAAGUCUUCUUGAUGCUGUCCAAGAAACGGAGACAAAGAUGAUGGAAAUGUCAGCACUUAAUCAUCUUAUGUCAACGCAUGUUCUACAACAAGCUCAACAGAUUCAAUAUUUAUAUGACCAGGUAUACGAUUCAUCUAAGCUUGCUUUUUUGUACUACCAGUUUAUAUGUAGUACAUGCUGUAUCUUGUUUUCCAUAUGUGAAAAUAAACAUAUAGAUUGUCAGAAUCUACCCAAGAUGGAUAAUGGGCACAUGAAGCAAGACCGCUAAAGAACUUCGUAAAGUCUAGAAUUAAAUCAGUGUCUCCAUCCGCUGGACUAUUAAGGAUCUGUAGAGUUUGUGUUCCCUUGUUUAGAGUACCAUUCCUAGGUAUUUAGCUGUAAGAUAUAUAUACUUGUUGACUGGUCAACUGUUAAGUAUAACUUAAUGGGACUGUAGUUUGUGUGUGUCCAUAGGGUCAGAUUUUUCCUUUACUGAAAGAACACAUAAUUCGGAUAGGCACUAAUGAAACCUCAUGAACAUCUUUUGCAUUAUCUCAGGCUGUUGAAGCUACGAAUAACGUGGAGCGUGGGAACAAGGAGCUAUCCCAGGCGAUUCAGCGGAACAGCAGCAGUAGAACAUUUCUCCUCCUCUUUUUCUUUGUUCUCACUUUCUCCGUUCUUUUUCUUGACUGGUAUAACAAUUGAAUUAGCACAUGAAGACAUUGUAAUUAUUUUGUUUAUUCGAAAUGAUCAAAUUACCAAAACCACAUGUCUCUCUAAAGUCUAAAAUGUGACCUUUUAGGCACUCUGUAUUACUUCCCAGCCGUUUUGUUCACUGCGCUCUCUAUCUGAAUAUGCUGGGAUUAUGUUUUAUUUUAAGUAUGCACAUGUACUAAAGAUGCAGUGGCACUGUGCUAUACUGCUAUGUCUGUUUAAAUUCCGUCGUAUACAUGAACGAGCAAGAUGCCGUUCGGAGCUUUCAAUCACUUGUAGAGAUGAUAGACAAGGUCCCACGUCUGUCUGCAGACUGUAUGAGCAUAACCUGGUCAUCCAUUUCAUGCUAAUCAGACCAUUAUCAGAGUCUCAACAUCUUGGGUGUGCAGUGUACCUUAAGUAAUCAAGUGAUACGUCUCCUUCACUCUUCCAGUUAGCUUUGAAGCAAACAAUAGUUGCUUCCAUCUGCCUCGGAUGCAUGAAUCACGUACAGAACAAAAACUGCAUCUGAUUGUGAAAUUGCAAUCUGCAUAUCAAGAUGCAUUUUGGAAUAGGGAGUACAGUGGACACGGGAUAGACAUUGGUAGCCAAACAUCAUUUUCGAUUUAUAUACAAAUCCAAUUGCCCUUGGCAGUGACACCAACCAAUGAACCUAACAAGCCGAUGGUGACAGGCCGGCCAGGCAAGCAAGAAAAAGGCAACAGCUCCUGACAUCAAGACGAGAAGUAUGAAAUCUGCAUUUCACCUCCAUGUCUCAUCAUAAUACAACUCUAUUAUCAGCAUGCUUACGCACAUGCUUAUCGACACAGACCAUUACCCUCUUCACUAUACGCAUCAUCCAUUAGUAUCCCCCCUCCCACUUUCGAUAUCUACAGAGAGGUGCACAGGACAGUCUCAUCUCAGAACAAGAGCAAGCACAGCACCACAAACACAAACAGGAAGAACCAGAUCUGGUGCAGGGACCGCUCAAUCUCCAUCUGAUGCCGCCUCAGCCUGGGGUUCACGUUCUGUGCCGCGACAUGGUAAGGGCUUGUAUAGUACAAGCUUGCUGGCAGCUGGCCACGGAGCACCAACGGGAGGACAGCCUCUGCCAUCCCUCCAAGCACCCCUCCGGCAGUUGAGUGGAUCAAGCCACGUCCUAGUGGUGCGGGAGGGUAGAUGAAGUCAAACCCAGUGGGACUGGGAUGGUAGUGUGCGUGCCGCAAUGGCUGGUGCGGAGGGUUGGUUUCCAUGCUCUGGUGGUGGUGCUGGUCAUCGACGUUGCUCUGUGUGUUAUGAUGCUCAACAGUCUCCCGGUGCACCAUGGGACGGCGCGGAAUGGCCACGCCAUUCAGUGAUUUCUUUGAGUUCCCUCCACGGCCAUAUAGUGGCACUAGUGUAUCCGGGGAGAGUGUUGCCUUACAUACGGGGCACUGCCGCCUUGCUGAACUGCUGUUGUCACUGGCAGUUGAUUCCACCCCAGGGCGCAGCCACUCAUAGAUACAAGGCCAGCAGUAAAGGUGACCACAGAGGGUAACCACAGGUUCUGCUGCAAAAUCAAGGCAGAUGUUGCAGUCGAAGCAUCCACUUCCCAUUGGUGCAGGCAUGUCCCCACUGGCUUUCUUCACUGCCUCAACAUCAGCCACCAAAGGCUGGCUAUUGAUAGCAGCCAUGCAAGGCUGAUCCAUUCUCCCAGCUUCCAUGACAAUCAAAGAUACUUAACUCUUGAAAAGUAUUUUUGGUUCAGUUACUGACACUACUGCAGCAGACAAAAUAAAUUAACAGGUCAGUAAGAAUACAUACAAUUGAUAGAGCAACAUAGAAAUUGGGCCAUAGCUAAUUGCACAAAAUGUUAAGGGAGUCUAAGCAUUGGAAACGUUCAUAAUGCGAAGACGCCUACCUAACCAUUCAGGACUAUAGAAAUAAAAGAAAUAAAAUUGAGAGCAACAAAGCAAACCACAUGGCAAUCUCUAUCUUAUCUUCAAAAAAAAAACAUGGCAAUCUAUAGUUUUAAGAUAUGUGCAAUUCUGCAACAGACGCGGAGCUAGGUGUACAGACAACAGACAACAAUUAAACUAAACAAAGGGGUGCAUGUGACAACUGAAGCAAAUGUUAGGUAAAUCUCCAAAACAUGUUAAGGAGCCAGAAACUUUACCACUUAAGCUAGUUAUGCUUGCACUAAAGAAUCCAUCUUUCCUAGUAGCACGAGUCAGUAGUCAUGGAUUCUCUAAUAUUAUAGUACUGGGGACUACAUCUGCUGCACUUUGUUUCUAUCCCCUUUGUUAUGGUUAUCCCCGUGCUACUAUGUGUUCCAUUGACAUGUUAUCCAUGAAGAUAUUUUAUCAGAAGUUAGGAAACUUAUGUCAGCAAGGAAAUGAAACUGCUUGCUUUAUUUCCAAUGCGUGCAACGGCAAAAUGUUGACUCAAAGUGUUGGCCCCAUGUUCAAUGCAAGGGCCAUCAUUGCCAGCUCGAAAUUGCCUUGGGAAGAAAAUAGAAAAGAAUUUAAGUUUUAAUGGCCACCCUGCCGCUUGCAAACGUAGACUUUGACAAGGCUGGCAGGUCCUAAAGCUGAUCCUAACAAAUUAUAUAUUCAGAUAAGGGAUGGGGAAGACCAAAAGAACAGAGUUGCAUAAACAAAGGAAUGUAUGAGAUAGGCUAAAGGCAUCCGUCCUAAUCUCCAAUAUAUGCUUGCAAUGACAAAUUCGUGUUUUCUUUUUUGUGGUUGUGGAGCUUCUUCCAAGGAGCAUAAUUGAAAACAACAAUAAAUGGGGGUACUGAUGUGGACUGCGACAAUGAUGGAGUAGCUACAACACUUGGCAUAUUCAAUGGAACCAAUCACACCGAAAAGAUGAUCACUUAACAUAUCUAGUGAUCAACAAAAAGAAAGAAUAACCCAGUGAUAAUUGCACCCACUGUAUCAGGAUCAGGAAACAAAGAAUGGCAUUCCCAACAGCUUCCUGGAAAUUUCUUAAUCACUCUGGCCCCAUAUGUACCGCUAAUAUUAUUUUUAUACUGGUAAAGCUUCCGCAAGUCUUUGUAAGUUAAAACGGACCUUAAUUACAUCAAGUACCUACAGAUGAGGCUCAAAGAAUAUCAUCUCCCUACAGUUUUAGUUUGUGGGCUGAUGACUAGCCUAAUAGAUAUAGGCAGUAAGGAUUGAUACUGAAGGUGAAGGCUGUGCUCGACCAAAAGAAGCUGUGAAACUCCAGAAAUAAACAACAUGCUAAGUUUGACACAUAUCAGAUACCAUACUACAGAUUUUAAGCACAUUUCCACGGCAAUUGAUCUAAUUUAGGCGUCCCAGCAAGACAUCAAAUCAGGUGCUAUCCACAUUUAGUUAGAACCAAGAACAAAGAACUACCUCGAUCCCCCCUCUCCAAUCUAUAACACAGGACGAUCAAUUCAUAACACGCAGUCACAAUUCGCAAGGAUACUUGGUCACAAAAAAAAUCACAUGGGCACUAAACAUAGGGAUCCCCUAAACAUACGCACCUACAAGAGCAAUUUCUUCAGGCCCAGGUAUUAAAUACAAUCACCAACUAAAUUUGCAAACUGACGCUGUUCUCUCACCCCAGGAACAAGGGGCAGACGAAAACAUUUUGGAAAAAUAAAGUGGGAUAGGCGCUCCACCGGCAGCAAACCAAUCCGUCACACCCACAAGCUGGGCGGAUUGGAGAAUCCGUCCCGGAAAGGAAGGUUGAGACUUGAUUUCUUCGAAUACAAGAAAGGGCGAGACCGGAACGAAACUAACUCCUCGGAGCAACCCAACAAAUCAUUACCAAACAAAUAAAGUACAAUCCGUGCAAGCAAGAGACAGGGCUCCUUACCAGCAAAGGACGAAAUCAAUCCGAGCUCGGGUGGAUCUGCUCUCCACGCAAGUCCAGCGCCACCAGCGAGGAUAAUGAUGUUGACGGCGAGGAGGCAGGAAUUCGACGCGACGCGCCUCGGUGGAAGAGAGGCCUGAAGAUGGGUUCGGCGGCGUGGUCGGUAGAAGAGGGGCUUGGCGCGGUGGUGGCUUGAGGAGACCCGCGGCGGCGGCGCCUUGCGAAGAACGCGGGAGCGGGGAGGAGGAUGCGGCGGCCCGGCAGGCGGCGAGGUCAAUUUGGUUGGGAUAAGGAGGAAGGUGGGAGGAGGAAGCAGGGGCGAUGAUGAGAAGAGAAGACCGAGUUCAGGAGGAGGAGGAUUUUGGAGGAGGGGCUCCGCUCCGUCAGGGAUAUAUAAUGAGUUGGGGAACAUCGGAAUUCGGUGGGGGAAUAGACGGUGGGGAUGGUGGUUUUAAAACUAAUCGGCCGCCUCCGGGUGAUCCGUGCCUUGCAAAACUAAUUAAGCACCCGUGCACUCUGAUAAAACCAUGCCUUGUUUUGAGAACAUUUAAAGCAGAUCUCGCUCGAACACGUCGUCAAGGGUAUGCUGCGCGAGCAUCGCCUACGGCAUGGCGUCUGCUCACUCGCUGCUUGGCAUUUGUUCGGCUCCAAUGCACGAAUUGGUCUGGCCUUAGGUUACUGGGUGCCCUGUUGCUUUCUGUUGAGGGGAGUCCAGGCCAGUCUCUUUUGGCCUGUGAUGAUGUUGCUAUCAAACCUCCUUUUCCGCCUUUAAUGAAAGACAGAGCUCUUGUCAGUUUGUUUAAAAAUAAAGUCAUUGCGUGCAUUGCACAUCUUGCUUGGGUAGAAUAAAAUCUCGCUUUGGUAAGCUUGAUAAGCAGAAUUCGUUCUCGAUACCGUGCAUAGCUAAUCCUGUACAGGUUCCGGAAUUCAGUAGGAGCAGAGGUUCCAGUUUCCAGGCUCGUGAGAAUUCGCCGUGGUAAACAGAAGCGAUCACAUCGUGCCAGCCGGCCGUGGCCCAUGGUCCCCGUCCACAGAAGCGCCCGCACCUGCAGUAGAUUUGCCGAGCGACGUUGCCGCUCCCCGUCCGUACUCUUCGGAUGGAGAUAAGGCCUAUCCGUCCCCCACGUUCGCCAUGUCCGGAGCCGAGUCACCACUGCCGCUUUCGAGCGCCGCGCGGCACGAAAGUGAAGGAGAUGCCCCGGCCCGGGCCUCCCGGCGGCUAGUGUGCACUUGCGCGGAGGCGGGCGGCCCCCCACUGCCUGGCCCUUCGCGAUCACUAGCCCCGGCCACUAUCUUGGCUCGAGAUCGCGUGCGAGAGAGAAAAGAAAGAAUAUGCUUUGUAGAUUUUGCUCGCCAUUAUCGGUGCCAUACGAUCACGCCCCGUACAUGCAACCAUGUUACCUCCUGUUGCUUGCUACUCCUACUUCUGGAUGGUUUCUGCAGCGCCUUAUCGCUUUUCAGCGAGAGUGCUGCUGGCUACGGCAUCGCGCAUUGCCAGUUGCCAUUCGAGCGCAAGCAGACAGGCGAUCCGUCAGCCACAAGCAAACUAGCCACAGCCACUCGAUGCUGGGUUUUUUUUGACAAAUAAAUAGAUUUUUUGACAAGCAAAUAGAUUUUUUUUUACAAUCAAUCGAUGCGUUCGGCCUUGCCAUGGCAUGGUAAACACGGACGCCCCAAAAUUUGACGCUGGAAAAUGGGUCAGGGGAACACAGGCCGCGCGGACACGUACCGCGGCCGGAUAGGCUCGCAGAGCCGCAAGUGAGCUGUCGCGGUCACUGGUCCUGGUGACCAGCCAACCUCCGGCUUUCCAGUUUCCACAAACCAGUGUGCCACACGGACGGAUUGCGGAUCCGCCAAGUCAAAACCAGGGGUCAGUAACCGUGUCCAGCCAGCCAUCUGGAUGCGCGGAGCCGUGGCCAGUGGCAGCAGCUUCCGUGCGGGACGGGGUUCCUGCUUGGAUGCGCAGAGCCGAAGCGGCAUGUGCGCGCGCCUCUGGCCGCGGCCGUCCGAUCCGCGGCGUGCGUGGCCGGCGCGGCCACGGCGCCCACACACGCCAUCGCUCCAACUCCAAGCAAAAGCUGCAAACUUGUGCAAGUCUGCUGCGUGCUGCCCCAUUGGUCAAACAAACAAGUCGCCUCGGCGGCCGCAGAUUCGCGUGCCCUUCCGUCAGACACGGUCACCACCUCCUGCUCCGCGCCUUCUCGCCGGUCACAAGCUCCGGGCUCGCGCCUUGCUUUGUUUAAUCCCCUGUUCCGCCCGCCACCAGAGUUUAGUUUAAGCGUACGGUGCCGUGCGCGUCGCCGCCGUCGCGGGGAUAAGGAUCCCGCCACCGAACAGUGGCCGCAACGGUUGGUGCGCGUCUGAUCCGGUCGGGCGUCGUGGCGCGACAGGAUAUGGGGGCGCCGCUCGGUGCGCGCGCGCGCACGAGCAAUCAAUCAUUCGGGGUCGGGUCCGGUAGUUGCGGGGCACCCGGAGGGCGCGUCGCGGCCUGCCGGCAGCCGCGUUCCGCCACGCCGACGGCGGGCGGAGGCCACCUGCCAGUGCCAGUGCCCAGGCGCGGGAGUCGGGCCAUGUUGGCAUGUGAUCGAAAUCCCCCCUGAUCCCUGGCGCCGACGCACGUUUAGGUUUAGCACCAGCGGGCGCGCGAGGGUUCUUGUUUAAUCGCUCGACUCGACAGGUCCGUGCAUUUUAUUCGAGGGCUGUAGCCUGCUGGUGGGGUGGGGUGGCGCUACCAGUCGUCUAGUCCGGUAGGGCACAGCGAGGACGACGGGACCGGAGAUAAGGCCUGCAUUGAAUCUAGGAGAGAGUACAAUACGCUACUGCACUGUCCACACACAAGCGUCCACUGUACAGCCCAAGAUCGCAGAGCCAUCCAAAAGUAGGAACCCGCCCACCGUUUGCAGCGUCUGCCCGUGGAUUAGACACAGGUUCGUGCAGCGGUUCACUCGGACGCCGGACCACGGAAUGGAUCGUGGAUCCACCGGCCGAUGGUUCUUCCCUUCCCUGUGGUCCUUGGCUGGGAUCUCAGGACUUUGACAAAUCGACAUUCUUCCAAGAGAUUUAGCAUAUUCAGCUAUUCAGGAGUAAAUCUGUAGAAGUGUCCCAGACUGAAUGCAACGCAGUCCGGAGUUUGGGCUCACGCAUGAUGAUAUAUAAUAAUCGAAUGAAUCUCGGAAACAGGACGUAUAUCUCAAGCACAUAUUGAAUUAUGUGGAAAUGAUCAAUAGGAAAGAUGUACAUCAUUCUAAUAAGAAUAGAAUGUGGUUCUUGGCCGUCCAUGUCACACAUUUCGGAGCCAGCAAAGAUCGGGAGAAUAAAGCCAGGCUAGGGCGGACAGCAACCCAUGCCAUGCCGCUUUCCUCAAACAAUAAUCGAAUGUGAUUCCGAUAUCUACAACCAGGUACUAUAUAAACCUGGUCUGCGUAUGGGUCCAGUGAUCUGAACACAGUUUUCUGAAAGGCAGCCGUGUUCAAGAGACCCGUUGGGCAUUUUACUUCUCAACGAAUUUCUCGAUGCAUGCGGUCAGCGUGCUCUCAGGGACAGCCCCGAUCACCGAGUCCUUCUUCUCGCCGUUCUUGAAUAUCAUCAUGGUGGGGAUGCUCCGCACCCCGUACUGGCUUGCUAUGUCUGGGCUCUCAUCUGUGUUGAGCUUGUAGCACUUCAGCUUCCCCUCGUAGUCCUUUGAGAGCUUGCCAACAACUGGAUCUAUCAUCUUGCAUGGCCCGCACCACGAAGCCCAGAACUCAACAAGGACAGGAAGCUCACUUUCCAUCACAAGAGAUUGCCAUGUUGCCUUUGUCACCUCUGGGACUGCAAUUGAACAGCUGAGAAGUGAGAACACAACAACUGACGAAAACAUAGGUAUAGGUACCAAGAAAGAAAAAUCAACAACAAUUAACACAAACAUAGGUAUAGUACCAAGAAAGAAAAAUCAAGGACAAUUGCCACAAGCAUAGGUAUAGUACCAAUAAAGAAAAAUGAAAGACAAUUGAGUUGACACAAACAUAGGUAUAGUACCAACAAAGAAAAAACCAACGACAAUUGACACAAACAAAGGUAUGGUACCAACAAAGAAAAACCAACAACAAUUAACAUGGAUAUACGUAUAGUACAAAGAAACAUAGCAACAAAGAUAGUAGUUCUAUGAGCGACUGAAAUGAAAUGUCAUCAGCAUGAAGCUUGUAGGAUCAGGGAGAGGGAGAUAUCAUGCAAGCUCUGCUGCUGUAGCAUCACAAAAUAAAUAAAAAAAGUAAGAAAGACAGUUCGAUAUGCAAGGAUAGUGAUUUUUUCCUAUUUAUGUCUCUUCAAAAUGGCACUGAGCUAUUUUUCUCACUUUUAUUUUUUAAUACUACUACAUUAAUAAUACAGUUUAGGUAGCCCCUCAUACCAGUCCAUAACUACAGUUCUAGGCACAGCAUAUACAUUGAUUUAGGCAUGCAGCUUUUCAUUCUUAGCCGACAAUACUUCAAAUGUUAUGCAAAAUUGCAAAGGAGUCUGAUAUUAAUGUGUUUGCAAAGAAGCACUGAGGUUUAAGGAAAUUAUAUUCUAAAAAUAAAAUAUUUUGCCCAAACACAUAUUCUUCAAAUUGAUCAAUUGACAAUAGAUGUAUAAAAUGGAAAACCACUGCAAAAAUGGGAACCCAAUAUGACGCGUCUGAACAGUUAGAAUAUGCCUCUAUUUUGUGCAAAGCAAGAUGCGUAUUAAAAAAUUAAGAAGUGAUCAACCUCCUGAGCUUUAUUCAUGGCUAAGCAAUAAGCAUCGCUGCUUUAAUCUUUGCAAAUUUCAAUGUAGUAAACAGCUUUAGUGUCAAACCUUAAUAAAAUUGUGGAAACAACAGUCACACUAAAGGGAGUGAAAGGAAAUGCAUUCAAUCAUCAGAGGACCAAAUAGUACGAUACAUCCUCUUACAGUUAAAGGGACUAGUAUUUCACAUGCCGCCAUAACAAGAUGAUGACAAGAUAACAAGGGGCGCAUGAACCAUGUUUGUGAUACAUACAUACAGAAAUCAAUAAACUUAACGACUAUGGAAAAAUUUAGGACUUAUAGCAGCUCAACUUUUAUCAGGUAUAUGCUUCCAUAUGUGGAUCAUAGUGCCCCACGACAAACAGAAAAGGGUGCACGGCAAUAUUAGGUAUUGUGAUAUAUACUAUAAAGCAGGUCAUCCAUUCACAUGCCUAAAUCUCUGGAUGCACCAAACAGGAUGGUGCUUACCCGGCAAUAAAGAGUCAACCUACAUGAAGGUUGCUGCCUCCAACACAACACAGCCACUACAUUUGCAUGUGCUUGUUCAUCCAUGGGAAACGCAACUACAAAUCUAUGCUUGAAGAAAAUGCUAGAUUUGCUGUCUCUAUCUCAGGCAUGCAACACAUGAUGAUGCAUGCAUGAAGGCGGCCCUUCACAUAGAACUAAAAGCACAGACGUCGGGUACUGUUGCUAGCAAAACCAUAACCUUUACAUCCAGAAUGCUGCGCCCGUUCUGUUCUAACCUUCGCUCCCCUAAUUCCUCCGAACAGUUGCCUACAUCGAGGAUACCGCGCGAUCUUAAGUUCUAAGAGGCGCGACAUCCUACUGUCCAAUUCCUGGAACCAAAUGAAAAUCGAUGUGUAAUCACACUAAAAGCAGGAUCUCACUUCUAUGCGCCGACGAAACCCACGUACACGCGUCACCCGGGUCACUAGCUCACCACCUAAUUUCACAACAGAUCGAAACACGAACAGUAACAGAGUGGUGACUGCCUGACUGGUGAGCCACCGAGCUCGUGCAUGGAUAGUUAGAUACCUUCGAUGGUCGUGUCCUGGCCGUGGACGGCGCACGCUACGGACGCGCCACGCCGGGCGGCCCGUCGGUUCCCGGGCAGGCCGGUGGUCGCGCGGAGCGGCGAGGAUCUGAAGCUGCUGCUGGAGGAGCAGGAGGAAGGGAUCGCGCAGACGCGGCGCGCGGUGUAGGCCGACGCGGAGGCACGGGCGAGCGGGGGGGCGGCGAUGGGGACGGAGACGGCGAGCCCGGCGCCGGCCAUGGUGGUGCGAUCCGCGACGGGGACCGGGGCAGAGUUCGAGAAGGAAGGGGAAGGUGGGGGCGCGUUUGUUGUGGGGUGCGAGUGCGAUGCGGGGGGGAGGGAGGGAGACCGGCGGGGAAUGGGAUGUGGGGGGAAAGAUGGGCAUGUCAUGUGGCCAUGUGGGGCAGCUCCGAUCCAGUUCGCGCGUGGUGUGGUGACGCCGCGCGUCCCCGCGCGCCUGGGCUGGGCCCGGCUGAUGGCGAUAGACGCUGUGCGCCUGAAAUGGGAAGUUUUUGGCUCGAGACAACGAAAUCUGCGAGAGGUUUGAACACCGCGAACCCUGCCUGUAUGGCAGCCAGGACAGUAGAGUGUAUAGGCAGAAACAUUCCAGGCAGUUCCUAUUGCAACCCUGCAACUGUGCUUGCGUCCAAUCCAAUUGAAAAUCUCUGCAGCAUGUGUUUCCUGAACCUGCAUCCAGCCUAACGAUGAGUCUUUGCAUCGUGUAUUCAAAUAUGGAAUCCUGACACUUCAGCAAAAGCUUUAAGAAGGAAAUUUGCACCUCAGCGAAAGACUGUUGGUAGAUCAAAUACUGGAGAGAUGGCGGAUACGUGUAGCCAUUUUCUUUCGCGAGACAUGUGUCGUGUGUGCAGUCAUUUGAUAAGCUCAAACAGAGCAGCAUUCAGCAUUGAAAGCAAAAAACGAUGCAGAAAUUUUAGGCAGCGCAUACGUCUGCAGUGCAAGUAAAGCGAAUUAAGAUGUCUAAUGCAAAAGCACAACUCCAAUAACACUGCUAGCCGGCAACAGUGCCAAAAGAGCAGCCGCAGCCGAACGUCCCGGGCACGACAGUGCCGGAGCAGCACGGCGGCGGCGAGGCGCACUACCUGGUCCCAGCGAAUCGCACGCGUGCUUCCAGUCUUUGCCGCGGGGGCGGAGGGGAUACCCGAUUCUAGGGUUUGAGGAGGGGGAGGACAAGGUCAUGGGUGAAUCAGGCCUGGUGCUCGCACUGGACGGAAUGCGUGUCAGCCGUCGGCGGCGAAGAUCGCCGGUAAGAGAGGAGAAAGCAAGGCGCCGAUCUGAAGGAGGGGUAUAUCUGUAAAUAGUUAAGGGUCUAAAUGUAAAAUAUCGGAUGGGGGGGUUCUGUGCAUGAUUUCCAGGCUGGCGGCCGGCAGACUACGAGCCCGCGCGGCCGGCGGCGGGUUGCGUGAUGCGUCCCGCGCCGCCGCCCCGUCAACAGGCCGCACUGUGCCGCGGCUCCGGCUCCGGCACCGUAGGACACGCGCGCGCAGCUUCCUCCAGCACCAAUCGCCGCUUUCAACUCGAGGAGCCACCCCCGCCUGGAGGCCACCAUGGGCAAGACGAAGACGACAGACAAUCUACAACCACGGGAAUUGGGAAGAAGAUGUUUGUUCCUGUGCUUCUUCCAAGUCUUAAGAGGCCUUGAUUAAUCGCAAUGUUGGGCUUCAGUGCCAUCAGACAGGGGCAGAGCUCGCAGAGGACAAACAUGGAUUCUGAAGAAGCCAAUGAUGCGCCCCUCAGAUGGUGGUGGUGGUGCCCGUGCACAGCCCCUCCAUCUUUUCAACAUCCUUGAGCGCGAGACGAUCGGAGUAGCCUUUCCAUGGAUCGAUGAUCUAUCCUCCAGUUGGAAUGGGUAGGAUCAGGAAGGAGACAAUCAAAAGUGCAGCUUUGCUGAGGCUUUCAGCAUUCAGAGAGAAUGCUUCGCUUUUCCUCAUUGUGCCAGACAGCCAGUGGAAUUCAAGAUCUGGAACAUUUAUUUUGUACAUUCGAACAUCUGCACUGCUAACAUCGUUGUCGUGUAAUUCAAGUGGUACUUUAAAAACUAGCUGCAAACAUUGUUUAAUCAUAGACAAUGAUAUAUACGAUUCAGAAUGGUGUGAUGGAUGUAUUUCUUACAGUUUAUACUGCAAUGGCUGCAACUGUACUUGCAUCUAAUCCUAUGAUGAAUCUUUACAGCAUGUUUAAUGAUGAAUCUUUACAGCAUGUUUCUUUACAAGUUUCAUCAAAUUAUUCCAAAUUUGAACUCCAGAAAGACUACAUGUGUACAUCUUUGUCAAGUUUCGAUGAGCAAUUUGAACUCUUCAUCACCCACCGUCAGAACGUGGGCACCCAAUAACAGUACCCUUUGGCCCUCAGGAUUGGCUGCGCUCAUGUGCUUGCAAGGAUCUAUGGUAAGCUCCACGUUGGUUGCACUGCCAGCAGCUGUGUGGACACGCUCAAAACCAACCAAUUGUUUUAUAGGAAAGCCUGGAACACUUGAUUUUGACCUCGCGAACAGUAGAACAGCAUGGCUCCCAUCCAUGUCACCGUGAUUCGAAACCGCGAUGUGAACAGAGAAUACUAGAGCUUCACAUGAUGCAACAUCUUCGAUUUUCACAAAGUCUAGCCCAUCCCUGCUUAUAUACGCAGGCUUCCUACUGAUAAUGUCCGGAACUGAUGAAUGUGGAACGCUGAUCUUCUUUGGAGCCGACAAGAUGCUAUAUGAAUAUCUGGAAUAACUUAAACCAUAUCCAAAACCGUACACUACAUCUCCAGUGUAGAAUCGAUAUGUUCUUCCUGGGUAACCGCGUGAAGAAUCAGCUCUCAUGUUCAUAUCAGUCAUUGGAAUAGCAGUGAAGGAUUCAGGGUACCAAGUCAUAGCCAGCUUUCCUCCUGUUAUUACAGCACACCAGAUUAGUCCAACAGCCACCACAACUUUUUCAUUGCAAUAUAUGCAAGUCCUGUUCUAACUCAAGACGUUUAAGCUGUUUACUCACCUGGGUUGUACUUCCCAAAAAGAAUUUCUGGAAGGACUUGCCCACCGACCUCGCCAGGAUAUCCAAGCCAAAGAAUGCUUGCUAUUCGUGGAUCGUGCUUUGCAAAAGAAACGUCAACAGGACCACCACCCAAGAGAACCAAUACAAGGGGCUUCUUCGUUACACUAGCAACGGUAUGUAUGAGGUUCAUCUGCUUGCCUGGAAGGAGAAGGCUCACUCUAUCAAAGUCUUCGCGCUCUUCUGUCAGGUUCAACCCAGCAACUACAACAACAAUAUCGGCUGCUUUAGCUGCUUCAAUGGCUUCACCAAACAAAUUUGUUGAGUUACAGGAAACAUCCUUGCAUCCAGCAGCAAAGGUUGUUUGUGCAACAUAGGCUUGAAUGCCUUUAAGGAAGGUUGUAGGAUUGCAGGGAACACCUGAAUAAAGCGAAUCUAAUGUUAAAAAUGUAUUUGUGAUAGUAAGGUACCAAAAUGUUUAAUUAAGGCAGUGGUUUUAGACCUGUAUAGUCUCCACCCAUUGCAUAUGCAUCAUUUGCAGAUGGUCCAACGACAGCAACAUGCCUAACUUCGCUUCUCUUCAGAGGCAAAAAAGCAUUGUCGUUCUUCAAAAGGACAGCACCCUGCCUUACAGCUUCUGCUGCAAGUUCUCUAUGUUCUGCCGUGCACACAUUAUUGGGCCCCAAUUCGGUGUCCUUGGGCUUAUCAAAUAUCCCAAGACGCAAUUGAACCGAGAAUAGAUUAAAAAGGGCACGGUCGAUAUCUUGUUCUUGAAUCUUCCCCUUCUCGAUUGCUGACUUUGUGUGCCGAACUAGGAAAGAACCACAGUUGAGAUCCAUUCCUUCAAAAAAGAGAGUAAUCCUAACACUUCAGCAAAAUACUAGUUGAUAGAUUGAAGACAUAAAUGGUCAGAUGCUCUACGGAAUCUGUUUUGACUAGAUAUCAAAACAUCCGAACAAUAAUGUUGCCAAGGAAUCAAUGGAAGCAGAAAUGAGAAGCCUCAAUAUGGAACAAGUCUGUAAUUAUCUUUCCGAUAUUAGGGGUUACCACAACAUGGUUUAAAUUAAGUGGAAUUGGCAACCGUUUUGCCUAUAAACCCCUAAUGCCUACUUUUAAAAUGCUAGAGUUGAGCAAGAAAUCAAACUUCUAGUCUAUAAAGACAAAAAAAAUAGACAAAUAAAAUCACAUUUGUGUUUAAGGCUACUAACCUGCCCUAAGAACAAUUGCUAUUGAAUCCUCAUCUGAAGUAGUGUAUGUCUGGUUCUCGUGGAUAAUUGCCACAGCAUCACAAUCAGAUGUAAUGUACCUUCAACGAAUCAAAUGAACACGCAUAAACAAUAUUGAAAAUGCUGGGGUCUGGGUUUGAUAUAAUGAAAUUCAUUGUCGUUCCUGACAUAUUCAGGGUCCAAGGUUCAAGACAGACAAAUUCAGAGUUAGGGCAAGCUGCGUACCCCUUGAAGCCCCAUUCAUCCCUGGUCUUCUGCAGAAGAUCUUUGCGAGCACACAUCGGCACACCAUUAACCUGGUUAUAUGCGCACAUCAAGCAGCUGGCACGAGCCUCCUGGAUGCAGGUCUUGAAAGGAGGCUGGUACGUGUCCUCCAAAUCUUGCGCAGUUACCUGCCAGUAGUGGAUUACAAUCAUAACAAAUUCCUUUUUUAUCUCAUUACAAUCACAACUUGUUAUAGAUGUUCACAAGAAAUAUGGUGAUUCCAAGCCUGUAGUUCAACUUUUCAGUCAAACUCAUGAAGAGAAUAUUUUGAUCGGAAAUUAAAAUCUCAGCCCAGUUUUUCAUGAACAUCUCAAAAUGCUCCCUGGAGCAGGACAUGUCAGUGUUUCUCUAUGUGUUGACUAAUAGUAUAAUAAACUUAUAUAUGUAUGCAUUAUAUAAGUCCAGAGAAAUGAUAAGGCCUGAAUGUCUUCACCUUGGCAUUGAAGGUGUACCUCGAGAAGCCCUCCCACUUCUCCAUGUCAUACGCUGUAUAGUGCUUGCAGCAGGCCGAGAGCCUAAUCCUGCCUUCCUCCCCGAACUCCCCCUGGAACCCCUUGACGUACUCGAGGGAGUACGCGGCGGCGACGGCGGGGUCCUCCCCGGACGUCUCCUGGCCGCGGCCCCAGCGGGGGUCGCGGAAGAUGUUGAUGUUGGGCGCCCAGUACGUGAGCCCGGCCUGGCCGGCGCUGUGCAUGCCGAGGGCCUCCGUGGCGACGGCCCCGGCCACGGCGCGCCACAGCGAGCGGUUGAAGGCGGCGGUGGAGAGGAUGACCUGCGGGAAGGCGGUGGCGGCGCGGACGGGGCCCGAGGAGAAGUUGACCCCGGGCCCGUUGUCGGCGAGCCCGUGGAGGGACUCGGACCACCACUGGUAGGGCGGGACGCCCAGGCGCGGGACCCCGCCCGCCGUGUUGGACAGCUGCGCGAUCUUCUCGUCGAGGGUGAGGAGCGAGACGAGCGCGCGCGCGCGGGCCAGGAUGGAGAGCGAGGCGUCGCAGAACGGGUAGGCGCUAGCCGAGUCCGGCGACGCGCACGGGCGCGCGUUCGCCGCAGCCGCCGCCGGCGCGGCGCCGCCGGCGAGGGCGAGGAGGCAGAGGAGGGCGAAAAGCAUGGCGGGGUCUAGCCGUUAGGUGGAACUGGGGGGGAUGAUCGAGCAAAUUUGGCUCUGCCCUCGAGUGGCUUGCGGUUUUAAGCGACCGCUGCCCACUGAGCGGCAGUGCUGUCACGGGACGGCGUCGAGACCUCCGAGAGACCGAGACUGAGCGGAGACUGGCGUGUGGGGCCGGCCGACGGCGUCGUGGAAUAGAGUGGAGCGCGGGAGGGCUAGCUAGCUGCCCAGUGGUAUGAAUAGCCAAAUAGGAUAGGACCAGUUGCUUGCUAGCCUAUGCGUAAUUCAUUUUUGGAUAGGCAUGGCCAGGUCAUGCUCCGGAUUAUCAAAGGACAUCAGGAAUCAUGGAUGGACCCGCAGCAAGAUAUUCCUUCUCUUGCUGUUUAUGCGGUGCUCCGUUCAUCGUCGUUGCUAAGUGAGGGUAGCAUUUGUUUGCUAUUGCUCCUGAGAAGAUACUGUGCUGACGAGCUGCCUAGCUGCCGGCCGUAGCCCGUGCCUUGCUCUUGGCUUAAGCUCUGGCUCUCUAGUUUAGAGGGGGCCACUGAGUGUCACUAGUUCAGAUGGGAAGGAACUGAUGGUCGUCGGCAAUCGCUGUUGUUACCGACUUAGCGUGAAGGACCGAAAUGGCGACCAGAAGCGGGAUUGAAUGGGAGCUUUUCGGAAAGAGAAUAAGAUUUAUAUCCCGAUUUUCAUCUCAACACCACACCAUUAAGAUGACGCAAGUUAGCGGUGACAAGCUCACCCUAGGAACGGUUCAAAAGAGCUUGUCGCAAAACGGAAGCGAAUCAAAAGCAAUAGACUCGAGCAAAGCUAUAAAAAAACGGAAGCAAAUGAAAAGCAAUAGACUCGAGCAACAGCUAUCACCAAAGCUUCACUUAACCAAGCAAGUGACGAUUCAACAAGAUUAACAAAGCUCAAAACCAAGCGGAAGCAAAGCUUAGCUACACAGCCGAUCACAGACCUUUUCAGAUAAACUAAUUAACAAAGAUGCAAAAACUAAAAAAUAUAGCUAAUUAACACAAGUCAACUAAGCACACAAAGAACUAACAAAGAUUAGCCAGAAUCAAAACUAAUUAACAAAAGCUAGCUAAGCAUGCAAAGGCUAUCAAGACUAGUGACACAAAAUUAAUUAACACAAGCUAGAGCAGAAAUUAAAUACAUAUAAGAGGAAAAUAAAAAGAGUAAACCAAAAAUGCUCACUGAGCUGCCUCUUACUGCUGGCCUGCUUGCUCACCCCGCCGGCCUGUUGGCCUUGCUUUCUUGCCUCCUACGUGUGCUGCUGCGCGCGCUGCGAGCCACCGCCGCCGGCAGCUGCGCAGGCCGGCAGGCCGGGGCCGCGUGCCCCGCCCUAUGCCUUACGCUGUGUGCACAAGCACAGCACGCCUCGCGCGCUGCCGUCCCACGGAAAUCCCCUGCACACAAACAGAAGAAGAAAGAGGGGAAGGCAAGAACAAAAUCGAGAUUUUGAAACGCAAAUUCCUUUCUCAAAACGCAACGAUUUCGAACAAAAUUUCAGUCAUAGAUCCGUGACUACUGGACCUAGCAGAUCCAAUAAGAAGAUUGCGAAAGGAUCUAUUAACCAUCGAGAACGAAAAAUCCCAUAAAAAUCAUCCGAAAAUGGAGGAAAAAAACAGAUCGGGAGAGAUAAACGAGGCACACGAAAAUCAUAAAGUAAGAACUCGAAUCCUAACGUCCGGAGGACAAAAGGAGGCUAGGACCUCCAUUCCCAUGAAAAGUUUAGUACAAAUAUUAAUUCCGAAAUUAGUGAAAAGUUUAGUACACAUAUUUAUUCCGAAAUUAGAGAGUAAGCAAGUAAAAUGAACUAGAAUUUCUAACUAAAAUGAGCAACUAGCCAUGCCCAUGCCCAUUAAUAUUACUUUAUGAAAAUACUUCUACCCUAAUAACUACGAUACUAGCCUAGGCAAGGGUAAAAUGGUCUAACUUUUAGUAGAGCCAUUGGACGAACACACCGCCUUCACGACUUUGCUUCGCCUCAACUCAAGCUUCGCGAUGGCGCCCCGUGUCCGCCACUCCGCCGAUCCGGUUGCACCGGAUACACCCCCGAUUUUUAGGCCCAAACCGGAAAACCUGCAUGCGCGGUGGUUUUGAGGCCCAAACCACCGAAAUUUUCCAUUCCCUUGGUCACCACGUGACCACCUUGAUGUCGACCCGUGUCCAGUCUCCGCCAGGCCUCUGACGCCUCCGUCCCGCUUGACUCAACCGACGCCGUCUUCAUCCGUCCAUGUACUCUUGCUCUUCAGUGCAUCACGUGGAUCGUCCGUUACUCCGUCCAGACUCCUCUGAUCUCUCAGUUCAAGCCUACUCACGUUCAUCCUUCACUGCCCUUGAUCCAUCGGCAUGAACCUUUCGCUUGACCUGACGACGAUCGUCACGUCGCAUCAUCACGAUCGUCGCGAGCCAAGAGACAUCAAAUUUACACAACAUUAUCAAUCACUCGUCAUUUAGAAUUAACCACCAUUGUUCCUCAUAGCGACACCGUACGUUUGCUUGCGCUAUCACGUCCACAGUGGUGCCAAAUCCUUAACCCCCCAAUACGAUACGAGGACAGGACACAGGAGCACGCAUCCUGUUUCCUGUGUUUCCUCAUCCCUUUCUCACAAAGUCUUGGUGAUAGUAUGACGUGUGGGCCGAAUUUCCAGGCACUCAACGAAGCUGGCCCGGCGGCCCGCUCCACAUAAAACAGUUUUCGUGGGUUUUGUCUUGUGCCGUGAUUAAAAAAAAGAAGCUUGACCUGCUGUGCAGGUCCUUCCUCACUCCAUGAGCGGUCCAAAAAAAAUUAAAAACAGGAGAUUCACACACGCGACAGGAACACGGCAGUCCCCGUCAGCAGACGCUCGAGCAGGCACUUCCACCUCGCUGGUAGCUGCAUAUCUAAUGUCCAUCCGGCCGGUUCGGUGCAGGACAAUCGGAUACGAUCGGCGGUCAGAUCACAAAGUUUAGUACGUCCCGAGAGGGCACCAAGAAAAGGGACGCCCCAACGACGAGCGCCAGUGCGCCCUGUGACUGCACGUCUGCACGAUAACAGCCGCUGGAGCAGGGCGUCUCAUGCGGUCCGCGAGAAGAUGUUGUAGUGGAUUAGCACCAGUGGUAGUCAUACCAAUAGCACAAUGCAUCAGGGUGGCAUUGUCUUUGCUUACCUAUUUUUGGUGUUCUUCUGAAGCAUUAUUGAUGACGAGUAAUACUAGUUAUCUUAACAUGUAUAGAGUAACAUUAGUCCCUCCAUGCUUUAAUCGUGAAUCUUUUGUUACCUAUAAACGUUCAGCUGUCGUCAUAUCCGGUCUCGGAUGCGAAGGCGGCUUUCUUGCUCUGUUCCUGUUUAGUAGAUCCAAUAUGUUACGGUUAGUCUUUAUUUAUCAAAAAUUUAGUUUAAUAUCUGCAUAACUAGACCCUUCAAAAGGGUUGAAUGUUCCGGCAGUACGUUUGGUGUCUUAUGGCAGCUUAAAAGGAGAUUGUUCCAGGAAUCGGCUUUCUAGUUGGUUUUUAGUCCUCUGUUUAGGUUGUUAUUUUGUUACCUUAUAUAUUUGUUAGGCUCGAUUACGUGUAGGAUGUUCCGAUUAUGCAGUGAAAGUUUUAACCGUUGUAGAUUGGAUUAGCUUAGGGUUUACGGAGCGAGAUUUAUUUUAUCAUUAGACGUAUAUGCUUUAUUUUUAGAUCCGAUGCGGUAUUGAACACAAUUGGUUCUUUACAGCCGAUACCGGGAAGCAUCCGAUAAGCCGAUCACGGUUCGGACUAAUGUUUAUAUGUGUCUGUGUAUGCAUGAAACUAACAUACAACACCUUCCUGAUCAGGUACAAGAUCAGGUGGCACGCCUAGCGACCUCGAAGCCAAGACGUGUGCCAGAUGUCGGGCCGUUGACCGAGGGACCGGAGCCCACCAGCAGUUCCGAGAGCCUCCCGGCUCUUCGUGUUGCCUGUCUCUGCUCGCCGACGGGUUUUGACCGACAACAGGACUAGAUUGAAAGAACAACUAUAUCAAUAUCAAACUGAUGGAAAAUGCUUCAUCUGCUCUCAAGAUGAGCUUUACAUUGAAACUGAUGAUGCUGGAUGGUAGUCAAAUGGCUUUAUACUGUACUACCUCCAUCCUAAAUCAAAAUCAAUUUAUUUUAAUUUUUCUAGAUAUAUUUUUUCCCGUAUUUAGAUGUACAUUAUAUUUAGAUUAAAAAAUUAGAUAUUUAAAAAAAUCAGAACGAAUUAUAAUUUAGAACAGAAGGAGCAGUAAUUCUGGAACGAUAUCGUUUGGCAUAAUUUUAGCUUCUCCCACAAUGGCUCUUGAAGCAGCCGGUGAAGCAGCUUCUGUAGCGAAGCUAAAGCUGUUUUUAAAAUCAUUUAGCGAAACAUAGAUCUUCUGGAGAAGCUGGGCGAAGCUAUAAUUUUCAGCUUCUUCUCCCAAGUGUAAGAUAGUGUAACAUAGAAACAGCUUAAUCAUAUACUUUAUAAAACUUCUGGGGAAAUACGUUUUGGUACAGCUUCAUCUGAAGCUCUAACGUCUAAACCGCGAAGCCCAGUGUAGAGGAUACCCAGUACCAGGCAGCUCCGAAAUCGUUGGGCUUGGGCCUAGCCGCACGGCUGCACCCCGACGAUGUGGUCGCUUCUCUCCUCGUCAAAAUUACCAACCAAACAGCCGGCGAAACGCAGAAACCCAACCAAAAACCCGUAAAACCACGGGGAAACCUCACGCGUCUUCCUCCGUCCAGCCUGUCUCCGGUCCCCCGCUCCCUAACGCCGCCAUCACCCCCCUCCCAAGUCCCAAUCUCGUCUUCCCCCACCCGUACCCGUCAAAAUUCCAUUCGCUCGAUUCUCAGGGAGGGGAAGCGGGACAGAAGGACGCCCCGGGGCCGCAAUGCGCGUCCUCGCCGUGGUCCUCCUCGCCGCGGCGUGUGCGGCGGCGGCGGCGGUGGCGUCCGGGGGCGGCGGCGGGGAGCUCCCGGAGUUCCGGGAGGCGCCGGCGUUCCGCAACGGCGCGGCCUGCGCGGGCGCGCCGACGAUCCACAUCGCGAUGACGCUGGACGCCACCUACCUGCGGGGCUCGCUCGCUGGCGUCCUCUCCGUGCUCCGCCACGCCGCCUGCCCGGAGUCCAUCACCUUCCACUUCGUCGCCUCCUCGACCUCCCCGGCGCGCCGCCUCACGGCCCUACGCCGCGCGCUGGCGGCCGCCUUCCCCACGCUCCCGGCCACCGUGCACCGCUUCGACGCCCGCCUCGUCCGCGGCAAGAUCUCCUCCUCCGUCCGCCGCGCGCUCGACCAGCCCCUCAACUACGCCCGCAUCUACCUCGCCGACCUCCUCCCGCGCUCCGUCCCCCGCGUCCUCUACCUCGACUCGGACCUCCUCGUCGUCGACGACGUCGCCCGCCUCUGGGCCACCGACCUCGGCCCCGACGCCGCCCUCGCCGCGCCCGAGUACUGCCACGCGAACUUCACCUCCUACUUCACCGACGCGUUCUGGCGACACCCCGAGUACGCAGCCGUCUUCGCCAACCGGACGCGCGUCCCCUGCUACUUCAACACCGGGGUCAUGGUCAUCGACCUGGACAGGUGGCGCGCCGGCGGGUACACCGCGAAGCUGGAGUACUGGAUGGAGGUGCAGAAGCAGGAGGCCAGGAUAUACGAGCUGGGCUCCCUCCCGCCGUUCCUCCUGGUGUUCGCCGGCGAGGUGAAGGCCGUGGAGCACCGGUGGAACCAGCACGGGCUCGGCGGCGACAACGUGGCGGGCCAGUGCCGGGAGCUGCACCCGGGCCCGGUCAGCCUGCUCCACUGGAGCGGGAAGGGGAAGCCGUGGCUGCGGCUGGACGCCGGCCGGCCGUGUCCGCUCGACGCGCUCUGGGCGCCCUACGACCUCCGCCGCCGCCGCGGCGCCCGCGACGACCUCCUCGCCGCUGUCGCCUAACAAUGCUGGGCCCACAUCGCUGGAGCGAUCCUUUUGCUCGCGUCCGAUCGGAUCAUAUUCCACGGCGCUUGGCUGCUCGCUUCGCCGCCCCACCCACGGGUGAGUGUCGGCGUUGGGGCACUGAGUCACUGACACGUUCACACUAGCCACUGCGCCUGGGUCCCUUCAUGUGUCCAUGCUGUCAGUCGUAAUGGCGUUGGUUGGAGUAGCCCCAUCGGUACUGCCAUUCAUCGGGCCCACACGUUGGUGACGGACGGGGGUUUUGGGGUGGGGGGCCGAGGUGAAAUGCAGCCAUGGGCUGUGUACAGCUGUUAUUUUGGCCUUUGAGGCAAUGGUUUAGAUUCUAUAUUAUUCUUUAUUAUUUGCUUGUUAGAUUUUUGAAUCUACUGGUCCAAUGAUAGCAAUGUAUAAUACUGCAGGCACAGUUUUAGCACCACUGGAACAAACUUUGGGAAUGUCUGAGUUAGGGUUUCUUUAAUAAGUUCGGAGGUUAGGGCUCGGGAGGUGGAAACAAGGAGUGAUGUUCUUGGGAAAACCGAUAAAGCUUGGUGUAACUUUACUUUUUUUUUUCUGUACGAGUGUAGCGCUGCUAGUUUUAAAAAUUCUUUGAGCACAGUGCAGAGCGAAAUCAGAUGUGUGAUGUCGUUUUGCUCUGAGAAGUACACAAGAAAUAAAGAAAAGGUUAACUGGAUGUCGUCUGGUGGCACAAAUCUCAAUCUGGGGGCUCCAAAUUUCUCAGGAAUCUGAUCUGACUUUCCCGCUUUUGUUUAAAGCCUGAUCCACGGAUGAUUUCAGUGGAGGUUGGUGCCAUGUGAUUCGAAUGGGCGUUUGCCAAGUGCUCAGUGGAUCUUUGUAAAAAGCUGGGAAAUUCGUUGCUUCUCCCGUGCGCGAUUGCGAGCGGGAGAGAAGAGGGGGAAGAGAGAGAGAGAGAAAAAAAAAGGUUCAGUUGCUUUCAGCCUUUCCUCCUCGGUUGCUAUCAGUUUGCUGGUGAGGGAAUGAUCGCUCGACUGCGGUAGCGUGCGAGCUGAUGUUGUCGACCGAAAUGCUGCUUUGCGCAGGAUUACUGCUGCUGUGACAGGCAGCCAAGGUGCUCAAAGAGAAAAGAAGAAAGAACUCUACAAAGCUUUCCGCUAGACUGUGGAUGUGAAUAUGCGAUGAUGGCCCUGUUUGGUUUCGUUUACCUGAGAAUCGCUUAUCUGAGAAUCAAGAUUUUCUGAUAAUCCGCUGUCUGAAGAAUCCGCUGUCUGAAGAAUCUGGGGUGUUUGGCAAUCCUGAUUAUUUCUACUGGAUUGUCUGUUCUGACUGUAAAAUGACCUAUUUGCCCCUGAGUCCUGUAAUAGCUCAUUUUGAUCGGAAUUCUUUACCAUUUUCAAAUCUAAGUAUAUUAUUAGUACCAGAACUUUGUUAUAGUAUAAUUAUAGUCAUAAAACACACAAUAAUAAUAAAAUAAACUAAUAAAUAAUAGUCAUGAUGAUUAUAGAUUAAUAAAUAGUACAAUUUUACAAUGAUAAUCAAGACAUCAUAGAGUCAGCAAUAGCGUCACGAAAGGCACCCAUAUCAAUGUCAUCUCCUGGAGCACUAGCAUCGAUCAUGGUAGGUUGGCUGCCACCGGUAGCAUUAUCUUGCACAUCGGAGUUAAAAUCUGGAUCUUCAUUGGUAUUUUCUCUAACAAAAUUGUGAAGAGCCAUACAUGCAACUAUAAUUUUUGCUUGUUUGGUAAUAGGAUAGCUAGGCAAGUGCAACAAGAUACGCCACUUCAUCUUCAACACUCCAAAUGAACGUUCAAUCACAUUUCUAAGUGAUGAAUGUGCUUGAUUGAAUAUUUCUUUUCUUCCCACUGGUUGGUGAUGUUGCCAUUCCGAAACAUGAUACCUUUGUCCCCUAUAAGGUGCAAGAUACCCUUUUCUAUUAGGAUAUCCGGAGUCUACAAGAUAAUACUUUCCAUUGGGAGGCUUUGGGAAUUGGUUCUGGUACGUGAGUAGAGUAUCCAAAAAUACACGAGUGUCAUGUACGGACCCAGGCCAGCCAGUGACAACAAAUGUAAAUCUCAUAUCAAAGUCACAAACAGCCAUGACAUUUUGUGAAGUAUACCCAUGCCUACCAAUAUAUUUUGGUUGUUCAGAUGCCGGAACAGUGACUUCUAUAUGCGUGCCAUCGAUGGCACCAAUACAAUCUUUGAAAUGAGGCCAAAACCUUGCUUCUUGCAACUUAGGGUGAAUUGUUCCGAACUGUGGAUCCUGUGGCCUAAUAUUGUGAAAAGCCAGUCCCAUAAUAGCAUCUAGAACUUCAUCAACCUUUCUACUAAUUGUUUCCAAUGAGUGUUUGAACCUAUUUCUAGCUUGCCUAAAUGAUUGAGGACCACCACACAUCCACAAAAACAUGGCUACUGCUUCCUUCGUACACAUUUUUCGACUUGAUUUCAACCCAUAAUUCUGUACCAAUGUGUUAUGGAGAUGUAGAAAAACUGACCUUGACAUUCUGAACAUAUCAUAGCAGUCAACUGCAUUCGCUAGAGUUAGCUCAACCCAUUGGAUCCCAGUCAUAACUGGAAUAUUAUCAGGAAUUGGUGCGCUUCUACCGGUUGAUCCAGAUCCCAUGCACUCCAAAGCCAAAUACGCCACCAGAAAAUCAUCAUCUGAGUCACUCAUCUAUUAAAAAAAAUAAAUACAUGAAUCAUAUAGUACACAUACAAUAUAUCUGAAGCAAACAACAAAUACAAAUUAAUUGUCUCAAACAACAAGUUAUUAUAUCUGAAGCUAUUAUGUCUCAAACAACAAUCUCUCAAACAUGCAACACAGGCAAGCUAUCAUGUCUGAAGCACACAACAAGUAGGAAUAAAAUGUCUCAAGCAAACAACAAAUACAAAUUAAUUGUCUCAAACAAACACACUAGUGCUUCUUACUAUCCUCCCAUGCCCUCCUUAGCCAAUUUAACCUCCCAUUUGAUGUCUUUAAAGUAAUGAACACAUCACGGUACUCUUUCUUUAUAAGAAGUUGUGUGGCGUAGUAAUGUUCAUCACUGCCUUCUUCAGCCCCAUCCUUAAUCACUUGAUCCAACAUGUUACCAAUUUCCUCCCUUACACUGUCAACCACAUUUGAGGUGGCUGAAUUAUUGCUACUUUCAGCUUUCUUCUCAUAUGCUUCCACUAAACGUUUCAUACACUGAUCUCUAAAGGUCUUCUUCUUCUUUCCCUUGGGGGAUACUGGAGCUGUUCUCUUGCCUAAAGUUGGAGUGCCAUUUGGGGGAGUAGGGACCUGCCCUUCCCUCCCUAACUCACAGCUAUUCUGACCACCAUCAUCUUCUUGGCCACCACCUUCUCCAUUUGAAGGAACAAAUGAUGUCUCGUUUGUAACACUAACAGCUUCAAACAUAAUCCGCAUUUGGUCCUCAUGCUCAAGUGGUGCAUCCUUAAAGGAUAUACAACCGACCAUAGCCUGAAAAGGAAAGGUAAUAACGUUGUAAAUUGAAACAUGUAACUUUUGUAUAUCAAAAACUGAAAAAUCUGCAAUGUAUACUUACAUCAUUUUGUUCUUUCCACCAGUUGUCUGAAGCCACGAUACACCCUGUCAUAGAAUCCCUACCCAAGCCGGUAGCUCUGUUGUUCAAUGUCUUCCAUUGGGUAUACCUUUUUUUAAGUGCAUCCCACCUAUUCUUCAUUUGCCCCUCAUUGUAAGGUCUCCUGGUACGUUCAAAAAACUUGCGUACAAGAUUCGCAUACCCAGUGCUGUUCAAACAAUUUUGGGGCCUAUUGUGGGCGAGAACUUCUUCCACACAAAUAUCAUUAAAAGUUUUGGCAGCAAAUGAAUCCCAUUUCGCCGCAACCUUCACUCCUUUUUCCAUCUACUCAAAAUACAGGACUAACAUUAUCACACAUAAGUAGUAAGACUGCAGUUUACAUAACAAUUACAGUGUUAAAGCAUUUCCAGAAUGGUCAAACUGCAUAUUCUAUAUUACAAAGAAGUUUCUGAAAACUCUGUCUGGGUCAGCAUAAGAGAUAGAUAAUUAGAUAUAAUUGUGAUUUUAAUGUAUGUGAAACGCAAAAAACAGCUGCAAUGCGCAUUUUUCAGCGAGCAUGAACCCUAAAAAAACAAGAAGGAUAAGAAAACUAUACUAGAUAACCAAUCAAUCUGAUGACUUUAUUAGAUAGCUAACUAAUACGCACACUAUAACUUGAUAGCUAAUCACUACCAGUGUGUAUCUAUAUUUUUCUGCUUCAAUCCUGAUGCACAGUGUAAAUAAAUUUUUACCCACAUCAGCAGUCCAUUUAUCGAUUCAUCAUCAUCAGAGAAAAGGUAGCCGAGCGCACCUGUUUUGACUGUGCUGCUACUUCUGGGUUGGGGAAAUGGUCGGCACGAUGGCAGUGUAGGAUCCACCUAUCGCUGCAGGGAGACGAGUCCCAAAGAAUGACUGGUAUAAGGUAUUGAUGCUGGGAGACAAACAACAGUGUUAAUAAUAACCCGAGCCGGCGAGGAAGAAUUCAUUUCAACAAGAGUGCCAGAAAAAUGAUUAUUGGACAGGUGCCAUCACACAACUUUAUUUUCUUCAUGACUAGCUGGUGAUACGUAAUAACAAUCACUAGCUGGCAGCUAUUCUCACUUACCAAUUUGACUUAGCAGUAACAACAAGAGCUGUUAGGAGCUGGAUGUUCAUAAUUUUGUGUCCCAGCAACUUAACAACAUUUGCCGUGUAGAUUACCCUGCACAUUGACCAAACCUCCUCCUAACAAGUGAACAUGGGAAACACCAGCCUGCUAGUUGCUAGCUAAGGCGAUAUCGAUCACCUUGUAGUCGCAGUUAGUAUGCAAGACAAGGAAGACGCCUGCAGGAUCACAUGCCGCACGUUCCACACUAGCUAGUUAAUUAGGUGAUCCGUUCGAAGCAUCAACUAACCCCAGAAACAAAGUACGCAGAUGCAUGCAGUCAACAAAGGGUACAUAAACAUGCUUUUCACUUCUCAAGAUAGCAAAUCUUUAUAGGAGUCACCUUUAAUUCCACAGCUGAUCGGUCACCUUUGAGAAUGAGCCGUCGAAUCUAACUGCCCUUCAAGCUCUUUUACCUAAUAUAUGUUUCAAAGGCUGUCAGGUACAAGUGAAAGACAAUAACCAAGAAACAAAAGAAGAGUUUUUGCCUCAUCAAUUAUAUACCUUUUCUUGCAAGUUUUUGCAAAGUUGCUCUUUCCCUUUAGCUUUGGUCUCCAAAUUAUGUAAGUUUUCUUCUAGCUUUCUCAAAGAAUCCUCCUUAAAUCUGCCUUCUUGCUUAGCUCUUUCACGCUAACAUUCAUUCAGCAGGAAAAAUGUAAAUUAUCAGUGUCAAAAGGCACAGAAAAAAAAUUAAUCGUUGGGCUAAGUGGGAAAAAAUAAACAGAGGAAAUGCAUCUUACCUAGAAAAUCUUGGGCGCGGGCGGCAGCGGGGCGCGGGGCCGGCGGCAGCGAGCGGGGGCGGGGGCGGGGCCGCAGCGACGCGCGGGGGCGGCAACGGGGAGCGGGGGUGGCGGCGGCGCAAGGGGGAGGCCGCGCACUGGGGCGGCGGCGCGGGGGCCCGGGGCGCGGGGCGCAGGGGCGGCAGCGGGGCGCGGGGGCCCGGGGCGCGGGGCCGGCGGUGGCGCGUGGGGGCGCGUGGGGGCGCUGGGCCAGCGGCGGCGCGUGGGGCGCGUGGGGGCGCGGGGCCGGCGGCAGCGAGCGGGGCGGGGCGGCAGCGGGGCGCGGGGGCCCGGGGCGCGGGGCCGGCGGGGGCGCGUGGGGGCGCGUGGGGGCGCUGGGCCAGCGGCGGCGCGUGGGGCGCGUGGGGGCGCGGGGCCGGCGGCAGCGAGCGGGGGCGGGGCGGCAGCGGGGCGCGGGGGCCCGGGCCGCGGCGGGGCGGCGGCGGCGGCAGGGAGAUGGGAGGGGCGGCGGCGGCGGCAGGGAGAGGCGGCCCGCCGCGGCAGGGAGAGGGGCGGGCAGGACGGCGGCAGGGGGCGGCGGCAGGGCGGCAGGGGAUGGGAGGGGCGGCGGCGGCCGGGGAUGGGCGGGGCGGCGGCGGCGGCAGGGAGAUGGGAGGGGCGGCGGCGGCCGGGGAUGGGCGGGGCGGCGGCGGCGGCAGGGAGAUGGGAGGGGCGGCGGCAGGGAGAUGGGAGGGGCGGCCGGCUGAGGGAGGGGUAUGCGGAGGAAAGUGCGUCGCUUUGAUGGGAAUCGAGGCCAAGGAUGCCUGCCAGAAAAAGCGGUCGCUAGUGUAUUUUGGAUUCCCGAAGAAGCGGCGGUGGGAACAAUCAAACCCAUAAUCGAAGCGUUUGGCGGGAUUUUCGAUUUUUCUCACCGACAAUCCGAUUUUAAUCGGAACCAAACAGGCUCGAUAUCUGCGGCGUAAAAGUUGCCACGUCUCAAGGGAAGGGAUGCACCCUGUACUACUCCACUACUAUUUGAAACUUGAAAAGAGCAAAAACUCCCUGAUGUCUUGUGCUGCUGCUGUAAGCAGGGGGGAGAUCUUGUCUCGGUCUGCAGAACUGACAAAAGGCGGCGCCGACAGUCUCGGCAUUUUGUUAGGGAUGGGGACAAGCGCCGACACACUGCCACGCCGCGCCCACGCAGGCACGCACGCAGCUACAGAGGAGGGACCGAGAGAGGACCAGCAGGGCACCGCGUUGUUCGAGCAGCUUGGAUCUACGCUGGCUCCUUGUCACGGAAAUGAACAAACCCUCUUGCCAACCAUCGCUCUUGCUUAGUGCUUCGAGAGCUGUAGAGCAUCUAGAGUCUCUCUUUUCCGCGAUGUGAUGUAAACGAGCCAAAAAGGGAAAUUCCAAACACAUCUUUCUACGAGCUCAUAUAGUAUUAGUAGGGGAGUGUGCGCAGUUACAAGGAUGCGAUGCGAAGAAGAUGCUUAUCACGUAGACUUUUGUUCAGAAAAAAAGGCCUGAAACUACACACUUCUGGCCCAGGCCCGUACGAACCUUACCUUUCUCCCGCUAGGCCGGGACUCUGGCCUAGCUGGCAACCUGGCAUUGACUGGCCCACAUCACAUUCCUCAGCAGUCGUAGAACAAAAAAGCCUCGAAAUGGAAUGAUACCCACCGUCACCAACACGACGAUCCGGAUGGAUCAGAAGAUUCAGAACCCGCCCUUCGGCACGAGCUAGCGGCUGCCGGUUUCUCCGGCUUUGCGCUCGCGAAACUGGCGCGAGAAGCAAUCAUCCAUCGUCACCCGUCGGUGCGGCGUGGGCGUUGACUCGCACGCGUUCGUAACGCCGACACGCCGGGGAGGCGGGGAAGCCAUGCCGCCUCCAUGUGGAGAAAUAAACGCGCGCGUCCUGUCUCAACGCCUUCCGUAUAAAUAGACCCGCGAGUUGGGAUCGGGUCUCGCGAUCUAGGCGUUUCGUUUGGCUCCGCUGCGAGCUCGAAUCGCGUGAUCGAUCGAGCGGCCGGCGGCGGAAGAAUCGGGUCGAGAUCAGGCAGGCAGGCAGCCCGGAGGGGAGGAGAUGGCGCAGGGGACGCUGGAGGUGCUGCUCGUCGGAGCCAAGGGCCUCGAGAACACCGAUUACCUGAGUACGCACGCUUCGGCUCUUCCCCCACCUUCGAUCGUGGAAAUUUCUGCAACUUUGCUGUGGUCUCACCGCUCUUGAAAAGUGGCACCAAUUCUUGCUAGCUGAUAAAAACUUUGGGGCUCGUUGCAGGUAACAUGGAUCCCUACGCGGUUCUGAAAUGCCGCUCCCAGGAGCAGAAGAGCAGCGUUGCAUCUGGUAUUCGUGUCUCUAUUUCUCUUCAGUUUCUGUACUCGUAUAUUACAUACUCUAAUUCGCUAGAAAUGUUGUCUUCAAGUUAUAAUGUCAUCAACAGUCUGCAAAAACAGAGUUGCGAUAGCAGGUAGUUCUAGUUCAGGUCAAUGGUACUGGCUUGAAUACUGAUCAUCAGUCAAAUGUAGAACGACCACUGGGAUUCUGUGAAAGGUUAGUUUGAAGAAGUGAAUACAUUGUUUUUCAGGAAUUUCUAUUCAUCGUGCGCGCAUCGCAGAAAACUCUGUUCAUCUUCCUCCUCCAGCUGCGGUGGCCGGACUACGGGGAACGGGGUCGCUGGGGCCGGCUGUGGCCCCCUUGUUUUUCUCGCUGGAAACAUGCAACUGCGUUGCUGAUAGAAACCUAAAACACCGAUGUCAUGUUACCGUUUCAUGUGAACAAGACACACACUCUGCAAGUAAUAUGCCAGCAUAGUUGAAGAGCCGAAGAUAUCUUGAAAAAUUACAACUGAAGAUGUGCAGAAGGAUAGGUUCAAACCAGAGGAACUGUUUAUGUUUACCUUCCCGCAGUAGUCACAUCUUGUACCAACCUACCGAAAAACACAAUAAAACAGGAUCCAUCGUGCCAUUCAUUACCGAAGAGGAAAUGGUCUUGCUUGGCAACCGCGAAGCAUCUUGUGGAACGGUUCUGUACCAAAUGGAUAUUGGAUGGUUUCUUAGUGCUAAUGCUUUUUGUGUCCUUGACUUCCCUAGCAAUUUGUAACUUGAUGUCUUUGUGCACUGCAGGGAAAGGAAGUGAUCCUGAAUGGAACGAGACCUUUGUGUUCACCGUCUCCGACAGCACAACGGAGCUAUUCAUCAAGCUCCUGGACAGUGAUGGUGGCACGGAUGACGACUUUGUUGGUGAAGCAACGUAAGUACUUGUAACCGAUCAUGCACGCACAAGUACAAUAUAUACAAAGUGACACACCACCAACAAUAAAACUGGUUUUCGUCGCUCUUGCGGUUUGCAGUUUUGAAGAUGCUUUGGGAUCCAAACUUUAACGUUUGCAGUGUUCAUUUCAAUUGUGUGCCCUGCUUCUGUAGGGUUCCUCUGGAAGCAGUUUUUACAGAAGGAAGCAUCCCUCCAACUGUUUACAAUGUUGUGAAAGACGAAGAAUAUCGCGGGGAAAUCAAAAUUGGUCUCACCUUCACUCCAGAGGUAAUUGUCUUACAUAGUCACAUCCAUUCGAAAGCUGGAUUUUGAAAUGUGAUACACUGAAAGGUCUGUAUCUUUUAUAAAAAUGUUUUUGGAUUAAACAUAAACAAUCUUUUCCAUAAAACCUUUUUUAAAAAAAGAUCACACGCAAGCGUUAGUGGGUAGUUUCUGUUUGCUAGCAACUUAUGUGAUAGCUGCCGCCGUCUGUGGAUGUCUCUUCUGCCUCCUUUUGCUUUUUCCUGUCUAGUUUCUGUCUAUGGCAAAGAUAAGUACUUUGCGUAUUUUGCGUUAGUGGGUACCUUAUCUCUCUUUCUGUUGCUUUCCAUUAGCCUGAAGAUUAGGAGCAGGGUUUUGCUCUGAAUUCGUCUACAACCUGCUGAAAUGCCUCUUCUGAUCUAUUUGCAGGAUUCUCGUGACCAGGGUUUCUGAGAGCCAGUCUUCAAAAGAAGCACAUUCCAUGAUGUUUUACCACAAUCUGAAAUGUCUGCGACUUGUUACUCUAAAACGAGACCCCGUAUUGUUGGCUUGUUGUGUACUGAAAGUAUGUAAUAAUGCUGUUGGCCACUUGUAUGAACUACGGCUGAAUCCCGCUCUCGAUGUUCAUCAGUUAACCUGUCGUAAUUCCAACAGGCCGUGACUGCCGCAAGAUCUCACCUGUCUGCGCUUUUCUCUGAAGGUGUCCAUUCCGUGCUCAACCGGGACAGGAUCCAAGAAAUCAUCAUCUUGCGUUGCAGUAUGCACUAGGGACUCCGGACAUCUCAUGCAUGGUAAUCAGCACCGUGCAUGCCUUGCUCUGACACCCAUGUCUCGGAUGAUGAGACUCGACCGUGGCUUAGCGUUCACUCAACCUCAUGCAGAGAGAGGCCCCCCGGCCGCGGCCGGUCUUCUUUGACCUUCCAGUUCCAGCUGCUGCACUUCACGGCCGUAUCUCUCUGCCUCCCCCUGUCUCUCUCUGCUGGGCCAGUAGAUUAACCUAAGCCACUAGGAUUUAUUAAUCGUCCUAGGCGACGAUCCUUGCCAUGUGAUCUGGGCGAUAAGAUAUGUAGGGAUGCUGUUGAGGCUGGCGUGGUCGCAAGCGAACAAAAAGGCUAGUAACUCGAAAUCAUAGUUUCAGCGGGGCGGCGACAAAGCACCAGCUUGUCCGGGCUCCCCAUGUCCGCUUGCUCGCCGCGGCGAGCGGAAAUGACGCUAAAGACCCCUGGACUGGCCUGGAGGAAGAAAACACAGGCGGGGUUGCUCCGGGUGCAAACCUCCAGCAACAAAGAAACAAGGCGAGCUCACGAUCAUUGUUGCUGUCUGAAUCAGAUCUUUGCUCGGAAGAACAUGGCAACAAAGAAGCAUGCAUGUACAAUCUCCGCUUAUGUUGGAUUAGAUUCAGAGUUGCUCUACUGCUCUGCUAGCUAAUUACAGUUACGGGCGAGCAUCUAUCGCCGUGUGUGAUUGAGCGAGAGAAAAAAAAAUGGAAGCUGAACCUAGAACGAAAAACCUGCGCGUCCUCGAUGGAUCCUAGUUGUGCAGCGGGUUGGAGCCCUGCGGCACCAGCCUCUUGGACUCGCCGAGCACCGCCUCGGCGUCCCGGGCUGCGGCCGCGGGCGCCGUCGCGCUCGCCGCUGCUACCGUCGUCGUCGCCGCCGCCGCCGCCACCCGGCCGUGCCGCCUCCACGCAGCCACGUCCGCCCUGGGAAUUCGGUGGCCGCCGCAGCAGCCGAACGCGGCGAGCUCGGUCGCCAGCAGCAGAAGCAUCGCGAGCAGCAGCCGCACGCUCGUGCCGUGCCUCUCCAUGCUCGCCCGGAGACGCACGGGGAGGCCGGGAGGGAAGGAGGGGAGGGGCGCUCUCGCUGGCCUCGGACUCGCAGGAGGAGCGCUCUGCAAGUGCAAUGCCCGCACGCGCCGCCGUGUCGCGCUGCGUGUCCAGUUGAGCGUGUCUGGUGGUAGUAGGUGCCGGUGCGCCGGCGCUAAAUAAGAUGGGGCUGGCCACCGUUAGUCCUGACUCCCGAGAGUGAAAGGCUUGUGCUUUGUCUGAACGAAAGGUGGUCACUUGACUCGGCGAAAACAGCAGCCGACCAACCUAACCCCCGUGUUCGUGUGAUCGUGUCGCGCAAAUCUCAUGCGCCUGACGCCUAAUCGCGAGGCAAGCUUGCCGACGUGCCGGAUGGGGUGGCAUCGGUCGUGUCUGGUUGCCUAUGUUUGUGCGGUCAUGUCCCUGUACCUCUCCCUGUGACUCAGUGGUAUGUUAUCGAUAUCUCAGUGACUCAGUGGAAUGAGCGAGGCGAUUGGUUUUUGUGAUGGCUGUGAAGUUACUAUUGGGCUGCAGUUUGUGAAGAGGACCUUGCUUGCAUCACACAGAAAGCUUCAAAAGCGACGCUGCCGCAUUUCUCUGUUGCAUGCUUUUAUCCCGUCGGUCUCACAUCAACUUUGCCCAUCUUUUGAAUAGGCAAACCACUGCUGAAUUACAAGACACAAAAGUUUUGCUAGAAAAAUUACACUAAUUAAGAUGACUGGAGAAGUGGAGAUAGCAGUCAGCAGCAGACUGGCAGAGCUUCCUAUGAUUCUGAGGCAGACACGGGCCAAAGUGUGAAGUGGGCCAGAAGGCGUGUCUCCUCCCAAGCCCGCUGCUUCGGCCCACCAGAUGGGAAAUUAAAAUUAAAAUUCCAAAAAGGGGUGCCGGUUGAGAAAAAUUUGAAAAAUGGGUGCCUCCCGCCCGAUCAUCGGGCGGGAGGUGUGGGGCCGGGGACAUCCCGCCCAACCAGCGGGCGGGACCCUUAAAAAACUUUUUCCAGGCCCCCCGAGGGCCCCUUCGCGAAUAAGAAACUUUUCUUAUUCGCGAACGGGUCCCUGAGGGAGCAUCCCGCCCGGCCAGAGGGCGGGAGGCAUCCCGCCCGGCCAGUGGGCGGGAUGUUUAGAGCCAUUUUUUUUAUUUUCCUUUGGAAUUUAUGAUUUACAAUCUAUUUGAAAUUGAGACUGUUUUCAAAUGCAAUAUUGAUUCGCCAUAUUCUUUUGUAUACAUAUAAAAUUUUAAUUCAAUUUUACGAAGAAGAUUGCUCUAUCUAAAAUUCGUAUGAAGAUGGUUAAACGAUAACGUUUUGCAACGUAGAAUCCGAAUAUUACGACAGUACGAUAGAUCAACCGAUUAAAAAGAAAAUAGUAUCAUACAAAAACAGUUUAAAUAUAAAAAGUUCACCAAAUCAAGAGUAUCUACUCCGCAUGUCCCGAACCUCGCGCUCUCUUGGGCCUCCCGCCCCUAGUCCUAGGCCGUCGGCGUAUGUGGUCCUCCGAGUACGUAAAUGCAUCUGGAGCACGGUGAGGACGAGGCGGAGGAGGUGCAGGUGUGAAGGGGUCAUCCUGGGACUGUGCACCUGGAGCGUCAUAUGUCUGGGAUGGGCCAAUGAUGUCAGGCUCGGCGCCGCCGCCCACCAGCUCUGACCAAGUGGCGGAGCCGCCCUCCCAGGCGUCCCAGUCCGGCACACCGAAUGGACCGCCGUAUGCAGGAGCUCCCGUCGACCAUGCAUGCUGAGCAUAGCCAUAAGAGUACGGUGCAGCUGGCCUCGAGCCUGACGGGAGAGACGGUCCUGGAGCAUAGGCGCCAAACGUCUGAGGCUCCAUUCUUGCAGGAGGAGGUCCCAUUGCCGUCGAGUGCAUGACUACAAAACGAAAUGAAAUUAGUCGUGUAAAUCAUAAGUGAUUGAAAUGGCAAUUAUGAAGAACUUACAGCUUGAACUAGCGGCAGUACCGCUGGACGCUGCGUGCGGUGCUGUAGAGGUCGACGGGCCAGCUGUGUACACGUGGGCGGACGCAUGAGAUGAACUGGAGGUCCCCACGUCGUCUCUGCCGCGACACGUCAGUGCACGUAACGCUCGCGUCAAGCUGUCUUGAAUCUUACGGAAGCUGUCCUUGUACUGUGCCUCCGGUAUACGCACUCCACGUUCAAUCAACGUGAUCUGAGAUGUAGCUUCGACCUCCGCGAAGUUGAUCAGAUCGAUCUGCAUACGUAAUGGGAUGCAGAUUACUAUUGGUAUCGAUAUUUUAGAAAAAAUAUUUAAUAAUUCAAGUUGCGAAACACGUACCGCGCCACGCUGGUCCUGAUCACGGUACGAGGGAUACGUGUCAGAAAUGGUCGGCUGGUGCUGAUCCUCCGCGUCAUGAAUAUGUGAACGAGUGACGUACGGACGCGUACGAAGGAGGUACCAGCUCAUCUGAAAAAAUUACACAACUGCAUCGGUACUCCUCGUAUACAGAAACGUAUAACAGUAAAUUAAAGAGCUUAAAAGAACUUACCCGUCGAUCGGUCCAAAGCGAACCCAUCGUGGGGCUAUCCUCGUCCCACAUCCCGUACAUCUCGGGUGGAUAAGGCUCUUCGCUGAUUAGGGGACGCGCUAUGGCGAAUCGCUCGUACGACCAUAGCUGCAGCAGAAGUGGGCAGCCUGUGAUGACGGCAGUCCUCUCCGUCUUCAAACAGGCCUGGCAAAGACCUCGGUACGUCGCAGCAAGCACUGCCGAUCCCCAGCUCCACCCAGGUACCUGGCCCGGCUCCGCAUCCGCAAUCGCGCGCGCGUAUUGCAUGAGCACCUUGUCCACGUAAUUGCCGGUAGAGUUGCAGAAAAGAGUCCAGCCGAACAACCAUAACAGAUACGCCUCCAGGUAUCGUGACACCUCGUACUGCCCAGCCAGAGGGUGCAGAUCCUGAGCCUGUAAUAUAUUUGUUCAAAACUUAGAGGUACUCACAUAUGAUUCAAUUAAAUUAAAUAAAAAAUAACUGGACGUACCCUAAAUUGUAUUACCCAACUCUUGGCGGGGCCGGGCAAAUCAGGUACGUUCACAACAAGUGGCGGGUUCGCGGGACCAAACCGCUCCUGCAGCUCCACCCUGUCAAGCCAGCGGUCGUCCAGGUGCAACAACUCCUUUGCUACACGAGGGCGCAACUCGUGAAGCUCCUGCCCCUCCACCGCAGCCAGGUACGACCUGUGCCGUUCAUCGAUGUGCGCGUCAAGGAGCUCUGGUGUCUGCGCCAUAUCUGCAUGAAAAAUAUAAGUACCGUAAGACACAUUCCUACGAACAAUUGAAAAUACUAUAAACUAUUUACAAUAGAACUAACCUAACAAAUAUUUAUAAAAGCUAUUCAAAAUACUGAAAUCUAUUCAAAAUAUAACUACCCUAAAAAAUAUAUCUAAAAACUACUGCAAUUAUAAAAACUAUUCAAAAUAUAACUACCCUAAGAAAUAUUUCUAAAAGCUAUUCAAAAUACCGAAACCUAUUCGAAAUAUAACUAACCUAAAAAAUAUAUCUAAAAACUACUGCAAUUAUAAAAACUAUUUAAAAUAUAACUAGCCUAAGAAAUAUAUCUACCAACUAUUAAAAUACUCAAAACUAUUUAAAAUAGAACUAUCCUAACAAAUAUUUCUAAAAACUAUUGAAAAUACUGAAUUCUACGUAUAACUACCCUAACAAAUAUUCGUAAAAAUAAUUAAUAAUUAUACGAUUAUAAUACCUCCAAACCGACGUGUGGACAGGGCUUCGCCGCUUCGUCUCCUCUCUUCCUCUCCUCUCCUCCUUUUCUUUUUUCUGAUUUUUGAUGAAUUUUAUGAGAAUUAGGGGGUGGGUGGGGGCUUAAAUAGUGGGGGGGGGGGACAUCCCGCCCGUUGGGAGGGCGGGACGUGGGCCUCCCCCCCGUUGGGGGGGGCGGGAUGCCCCCAAUGGGCGGGAGGCCCACGUCCCGCCCUCCCAACGGGCGGGAGGCCCCUCGGAGGACAUCCCGCCCGUUGGAAGGGCGGGAUGUCGCCUGACUUUUCGCAAAAAGGCCCCUGCGAAGAGGAUUUCCUCCCCCCGCCGACCCCCCGCCCGUUGGAUGGGCGGGAUGCUUCAUCCCGCCCUUUCAUUGGGCGGGAGGUGCCCAUUUUUCGAAAUUUCCCAAACCGGCACCCUUUUUUUGAAUUUAAAUUUCUUUUUAACCCUUUUUUUAAAAAAAUUCAAUGGCCAGUGGGCACGCUUUUCAGCAGCCCGGCCCAAACCCAACCAAGGACAGACCGGAGAAGACACGGUGCCCUGCUUUGCUCUGCUGCCUCCCGCACCACAAGCCCGUGCGCGCCGCCAAGUUUGCCUUUAUUCUCCCACAGGCCACAGCAGUUUUCGCCGCGGACGGCUCCACUUCGCCUCCAAGUUUCGCGGGGCAGGAGGGGCAGGGUGUGUGAUUGUGAAGAGUCAGAGGCGGAGCAGUCGGCGUGCGUGACGGCUCGGUGACGCGGUGGGGAUGGAGUACCGCGACAAGCUGGUGCUCGCGCCCAUGGUCCGCGUGGUAACUCCCCUCGACCCGAGCCCCUCCCACGAUUCCGUCCUCUGGAUUUACUUAGCCGUCUCUCAUCCGGGGGCAUACGACUUCGGAUUUGAGCUUUAGUCUCAAGCUCUGGAUCUCUAGAUUUAGGUCUCUGUUUUCUUAUGAACCUAAUUUGCUCUCGAUCCAGCUCUGCGCCCUUUUGUUUUAUGUCGGAAGUGGAAUAAUUAUGGGACUAAGCUGUGUCUUGGUAACCAUGCUGUUGGAUAAAUGACUGUAGUAAGCAUGCGACUAGGUUGUGGUUUGGUUUCCGCUUUUCCUGCUGCCAAUGAAGGAAUGAAGUUAUUAAUCAUUUCGUGGAUUACAAGCUACUGUAGUAAUAAACAAGUACUGAAUUAAUCAAAUACAUUUUAGUGGGGUUAGUUAUUUUUGCCAGUGCUAAAUUAGGGCGCUUAAAUUUUUCUCUCCUGUACAUCUGUUAAGUUUAUGAACGGACAAUGUCAUUUAGUAAAUGAAAAUAGGCACCAUUUUCCUUUACCAAUAAAUUCCCAUGCUUCCACUGCCAGCAUCAUAGUGAGUAACCAUUUACAACUUCAGAGGUUUUGAUUAACAGCUCAAGAGUACCAGCACUCCCUUUGGCAUGGGUCAUGUUGUACAUCUCAUGCCUAUGAAGCUUUUUUACUUAUCUACUCUGUGUGUCUGAAUUUUCCUUUCCAAACUUACUAUGUAACAUCUGCCUUAUUUUCUUACUUAUCUUUGCAGGGCACCUUGCCAUUCAGGCUACUGGCUGCUGAAUAUGGUGCUGAUAUUACUUAUGGAGAAGAAAUAGUUGAUCACAAAUUCUUGAAAUGCGAGCGUGUUAUAAAUGGUAUCAUAGUUCGAUUCAUAUUUGGCAUUCUGAUGUGAUCUAUUGGUCCUGCAACUAUCUCAAUUACAUUAGCAGUUUGGUCUACUCAUCAUGCAUCAAUUGCUGUUGCUAUCUAAUAUGUUGGGUAUCAUAGUAUUGCAAAUAACUUUACCCCAUAAUAUUGCAUCUGAAGUUGAUAUUGGAUAUAUUCAUCUUAACUGACUCUUGGAUGAUAGAUGUCUUGUAAUUGGGGAUCGGGGAAGGAUAGGGCAAAUGGCUGAAUGAGUUUAUGAAAUUUAUGAAUGAUUUAUGAUUUAUGAUGUGAAGUGAAUGCUAUUUACAUGUGAAGCUAGGGCGUUUUCCAUAGCACUUCAAGUAGUUGUCUUCUUUGUUCCAUCUGCUGUUUAGAUUUAUUGGACUUGCACUGGGCUGUAUAAUUUGACACAUCCUAAUCACCUUGCAAAUUGUUUGCCAGAAUCUCUUGGGACUACUGAUUUUGUUGAGAAAGGGACUGACAACGUAGUUUUCCGUACAUGCCCACAAGAAAGGGGUAGGGUUGUAUUCCAAAUGGGCACAUCACAUGCUGUGAGAGCACUUAAAGCUGCUGAGAUUGUGUAAGUUUUGUUUCUGAGACCUUUUAGCAUCCAAGUUCUGAAGUAAGCUGACAUAAAUGCUGUGUUUGUGCCAGGUUUGGUACAUAAAUUUGCUUGAUCUGAUAGCAUUAGAUAUAUGUUACUUCUUGUGUUUUGCGUAUUUCUUUAACUAUAGUAUUUCAUCCUCUCCAGGUGCCAUGAUGUUGCUGCUAUAGAUAUCAACAUGGGUUGUCCAAAGUCUUUCUCCCUUAGUGGAGGGAUGGGUGCCGCAUUACUCUCCAAACCUGAGCUUAUACAUGAUGUACUUGUCUUAAUUGUUUCCUUUUGCUUUUUCCAUACCCCAUAUAUCCACCGUGCUUACUCAGGCUAUGCAUAGUAAUGUAGAUUUUGACAACAUUGCGGAGGAACUUGGACACAACAGUGACAUGUAAAAUCCGUCUUCUGAACACACCUAAGGACACUGUGGAGUUGGCACGCCGCAUUGAAAAAACUGGUGUUCCUGCUCUUGCUGUACAUGGAAGGUAAUGACAUAUAGAAUUCUACUUUUGAGCUAGUGGUCUGGUUGAUAAUUGCAACCAUUCCUACUCUAGCGUUAGAAGCGUGCGAUGUGCCAUCUGCAUUUUUCAAUCAUGUCCUUAUGUCUGUCAAGCUAAAUUCUUGAGUUUGAGAUUUCUGGUUAAUUGCAACCAUUCCUACUCUCGCGUCAGGAGUGCUAUUUGCCAUCUGCAUUUUUCAAUCGUGGUCCUAAUGUCUGCCAAGCUAGAUUCUUGAGUUUGAGAUUCCAAAUGUCCCUGGCGGCACGGGUGAGGUGGUUGGGUUGCUUUUUCCCCCCCUUGUUGUGGUCCCAUCUUGGGGUGGGUGUUUCAGUGUUGUAUUGCCUUCUCUUUGAAUAAAUGGCAAAGCUCCCCUUGGUUUGCAAAAGGAUUCAAAAUGUAAAAUUUAUUCAUAUGCAGAGCUGCAGAGUUAUUGGCUCAUAGUGUCGUUAUAGUGUCUGUAGUAUGUAGCUCAAUUUCUUUGGAAGUUCAAGUUGUAUGACUGUCUGGUACUCUUGUCAUGAAACUGAAUAUACUUUUUUUUUACUAUAACGAAACUGAAUAUGAUGCAGGAGAUGUCAAAUAUAAAUAUUUCAUUUUUUUUCUCUGCUCUAAUUUUAUUUUUGGAUACAAAUCAAAAUUUUGUUAUUUUUUUUUGGAUAAUUCCCUUCCCCAGAACCCACCUCCUCUGGAAACUUUCAGUACUGAGUAUGCCAUUUUAUAACUGGUUUCCCUUAUGUUGGUCCUCUUUGAAACUACAGAAAGAUUAAAGACAGACCAAGAGAUCCUGCUAAGUGGGAUGAGAUAGCUGAUGUUGUGUCAGCCCUGUCAAUUCCAGUUAUAGCUAAUGGAGAUGUCUUCGAGUAUGAGGAUUUUAAAAGAAUUAAAGAUGCUACAGGUUUGUGUUUCUAUUAACACUGCCAUUUAUCGUCAGUUUGUGUUUUAAUUUGGGUUCUUCAGCUCUAUCAGUUAACAAUCUUGAAACUGCCUUUUAAUAUGCAUUUAUUGGCACUUCCACAAUACUUCUGAAUGCCAUCAAAUAUUAGUCAUAACUUUGUUAUUCAUGAUGAGCAAGCAUGCAGGAAACAUGGUUUCUGAAAAACUGUGAAUUGAUAUUACUGCAUCCUUGCUACCUGUGUUGCUUAAGGUGCAUUGGCAGGAUCUUUGUUUCUUGUUAUUAUCAAUGAUAGUUGAUAUCUUUGUUCCGAUAACUGUUAGGUGCCGCUUCUGUUAUGGUUGCUAGAGGUGCCUUGUGGAAUGCCUCUAUCUUUUGUGCCAAAGGAAAAACACCUUGGGAAGAGGUCAAAAGAGAGUAUGUAAGAAAGGUAUUUAAUUCCAGUGUUGUUUGUUUAUAUGAUGUCCUAUUCAUUUCGAAUUUGUGCAGAAACAUUCGAAACUUGUAUGAGUGCCUACCAAAGUUAGGAGUUGCGUGUUUUUCUGUUUGCAUUUAGUACUGAUAUCAUAUUAGUCUUUGGUGGCAGAGCGUAUUGUGGGAUAAUGAUGUGAAGAGCACGAAACAUACCUUGAAAGAAAUGAUAAUGCACUAUUCUUGCCUUGAGCUGCCUGAAGGGAAAGGUGUUAUAAAAUGUGACACUUCUGCAGAUUUAGCGUAAGUUCAGCCGACUUUCAUUUGUUUUCUUUUGCACAUGAUGUGUUAACAAAGGAGUAUAUUUUUACAUUAUUUGUCCAUCUAUGCUACUUGGAGGUUUACAACUCGUUUGCUAGUUUACUCAUCAUAAUGCUAUUCAGGUUGUUGUGUUAUGAGGACCAUUUGUAUAACUAGAACAUUUCCUUUGUUAUUCCAUGGUUCCAUUUACCUGGAUCCAAAUCUUUUUGACACAAGUGACCUGUUCAAGACAUGUUUCUGACAAUACCCCCCCUCCUCUCUCUCUCUCUCUCUCUCUCUCUCUCUGGCAAUGCAUAUCACCUCAGUGCCUUGAAUUUUGGAAACCACAUCAUGGAGCCUGUAGUUGUUCUAUUCGAUCUCGAUCUGCAGUAUUUUUUUAUGAAAAUUCAGCAGAUUUUAUUUUAUUUAAAAUAUUCAUAAGAGGAUGAUUUUCAUGAAAUCACUUAUUCUGCAACAUAGUCCACAUAUCCUGCAUGUCAAUUCAUGUUAAUGACCAAUUUCUUCAAAUGUUUCAGGAGACUAUACGGGGAGGAGGAAUACUAUAAUUUCGUUGUUUCGAAUAGGAAAUGAACGCAAUUUGAUGUUGUGAGAUCUCUUGUGGACCAGGUAUCUAUUUUCAUGUACAUUGGGUCUAGAGCUAGUGAAAAGGAAAUAAAAUAUUGUUGGAAAUUAAUGAAAUUUGGUAGUUUCAUAUAUCGGAGUACUUAUAUUACUGCUAAUAACAAUUACAUGCACAAAUAAGUAUGUUUGCUGACCAGGAUUUCAAAAAAUUAAACGGUAUUUGCUCCACUUUGUUGGCCAGGAAGUCUUUCCUAACAGUGGCAUGUUAGCUGGUCUAUAUGGUAUAUAAAUUAGAGGUAGAGGCUGUGCCUGUCAGAUAUUGAUCAAGAAGACAAGAACUGGCCAAACUAAAUGGCAUUUUCCCCAGAACCAAGCAGAACUGGUGAAACCUGUCUGGAACUUAAAGAAAGAUGUUGUUCACUUAUAUGUGUUAUAACUUGGUAUAACUUGUUGUUCACCUAAAUUGUAACUUUAAAAGUUUUUUUAAUGAUAUACAGUAAAAAAUUUGCUAUAGUUCAAUGAUCGUUAGGAAAUCGAGUAAUGCUUUCGACUUCAUGAAUGAUUGAACCUGUAUUUCUGCCUAACAAGCCUAGUCUCUCUGAAAAAUGUACUACCAAGAACCUUUAUAACCAAAUCUGUGUGUCUGAAAAAUGUAUUACCGUAAGCAACAUAUUGUAAUGCAAUGUAAUGGCUGAAAUCAAUGUGGAAUGGCACUUCUUCCUGUGAAUAACUUUGGAUUAAAAGUUUGGCAUUGUAGCUCCAGAUUGGCUAGUGUAGCUUGCAGUAUUGCCUUGAUAAGGCAUCGCAAUUUUUCAGUUCUUUGGGCCUGUUAAAUUGUUUAAUGAUCUUUUCACUUUUAUUUGCCAUCUACGCUGAGAUUCUCUUGCAGCUUCUGCUUGGAUUCCUAUCUCACUUCUAUUAAUGGGUUUCAGGGGGGAUCCAUCCUGCCAUCAAAGAACACGAGGUUAUUUGUUUUGGCGCUGUCUGGUCUAAGUCCACUGGUCCCGUGAGGAUUGACAAAUUGACUGUCUUCUUCGGGGCACUGGGGCUGUUGUUGUACUGGUAAUGGAUAGGUAUAUACCUGGAAUUAAAGAAAAAACACCAUAUUAUCUGAAGCUCAUACUAAUUUAUUUGGUACUAUAGAUCAUGAAAUCUUUUCAUGUAUUGUUGGUGGAAAUAUUAUGGUGUUUUUUUGGUGGUAAUUCAAGUAGACUUUGAUAUGUUGGCUGUAUUGUUACAGUCCGAUGGUGUAACAAAUAUUGAAAGUUUUCAUGGUAUAUCUUUGAUUUGCAAGCCUGGCAGUUAUUAUUUGUCACCUCACAUCGUGGCUCGUGCAGUAUGUUAAUGCCUCAUACAGUCAUACAGAUCAAGCUCACAAUGACUUUGGAGGGGAGGUGCUUUGGCACCUCUACUCCCCAAACAGUUGUGGUCUGACACUUGUUGCUGCAUGGUUGCUCAGAAUGGAAAAAAAAUUGUUACACCAAAUGCUUUGGUGGGGCUUCAGUCUACUUCAAAUGCUUUCUAUCUGCAUCUGGAUGGGUAAAAGCCUGCAUCAGCCAUGACAUCGCAGAUGAUUAUACUGACACGUGCAUCCCACGGUAUUCCCUUCCAGAAAUCCUCUUAUCUUUCAUAUAGUUUCUGCACAUAGACCAACAAUUGAUGUGGAUGCCAUCUUCGUGGUGCCCAAGAUGCAGAAAUGUCGUGCAAAUCAAGUCAUGUUACCGAAGAAACGCUCGAGACAUAACUAAGUCGACAAGCCAAACCUAGCGUUCAGUUCUCGUGGACCGAAAUGGCUGCAGACCAGAAAAAUCGUAUCGUGAACCGUUGGGCCAAAUAACUUUUGAUACCUUCAGAACGUAUGUACUGGAAAGUUCUGAAGCUUGGCUUCAAGGCUUAAGCAAGUUGAAUUACACGUCUGAGUAAGAAAAGAAAGGACGAAAUCUGCAGGCUCCCUUGAUACCUCAUGCAAGUUCAGUGAUUCAGUCGCUCUCGCUCAGUCAUGUGGAGCGGCUUGCGAUCUGAGAGAUCAAACCUCAAUCUCCAGUUGUCAUCAGCAAUUUAUCGUCUGAACAUUAAGCUAAACCGAGCACAUCUUUACAUUGAGGUCAUUCACACUAUAUUCAGGCGCAGAACUACUAUAUAGUAUAAGGUUCUGAAUUGCAGUCUCGAAAAGGGAUGGUGAGGGUCUGAAGUCUGAACUAGAACAUAACGAGAGUAAACUCUGGGUAGGUAACUACAGUCAAGUCACCCGACGAUCAAAGAUUCAAGGCUCAUCUCCCUCCGGAGAGGUCAGAAAUGGCGCUGGCGCCCGUCGUGGACGUCAUCGGGAACGCCAUGACGUAGGGGUCGAAUCCCUGGUCCUGCAUAAGCGCCAGCAUGCUGAGGCCCUGGUACGUCGGAGAGAGCUCCGGCAGCGGCACGUCGCCGUCCAGGUACUGCACCACCUGCCGCAUCCCCGGCCGCGCCCCCGGCAGCGGGUGCGAGCACAGCAGGCCCAGCCUCAGCACCAGGCUCGCCUCGCCCUCGGCGAAGUCGCCCCCCAGGCGGCGGUCCACCGUGUCCGUCACGGCCCCGGCGCGCCACCGGUCGAGCACCCAGUCCACCAGAACCUGGCGGUUGUCGCGCGCGUCCUGCACCACGGGCUUCCGCCCGCACGCCACCUCCAGCAUGAAGGCGCCGAACGCGAACACGUCCGACGCCUUGGACGCCUUCCCCGUGUGCCCCAGCUCCGGCGCCAUGUACCCCAUGGUGCCCACCACGUGCGUCGUGUGCGGGUCGGUGCCGUGGUCGUACAGCCGCGCCAGCCCGAAGUCGCCGAGGCGGCCGCUCAUCUCCUUGUCGAGCAGGACGUUGCUGGCCUUGAUGUCGCGGUGCACCACCACCUGCUCCCAGUCCUCGUGGAGGUAGAGCAGGCCGGAGGCGACGCCCUUGAUGACGCGGAACCUCUGCGCCCAGCUCAGGGGGACCUUGCUCAGGUCGUGGAGGUGCCUGUCGAGGCUGCCGUUGGGCAUGUAGUCGUAGACCAGGAGGAGCUCGCCCUUGCGCCGGCAGUAGCCGUGCAGCUUCACGAGGUUGCGGUGGCGGAGCCGGCCGAUGCUGACGACCUCGGCCACGAACUCCCGCAUCCCCUGCCGGGACCCGUGCGCCACCUUCUUCACCGCGACCUCCACCUUGGACGCCAGGACGCCGCGGUACACCCGCCCGAAGCCGCCGAUGCCGAGCAGCCGCUUGUCGCUGAACCCGUCGGUGGCGUGGUACAGGUCCUUGUACGAGAACCUGUGCGGGCCGAACGUGGCCUCCCAAUCCUCCUUCACCUCCGCGUACAUGCGCCGCCGCCGCAGGAGCGCGAAGACGGCGGCGCCUACAGCGAACACGAGCACCGCCGACGCGAUCGGCAGGACGAUCUCCAGCGUCUUGGACCGCGGCUUGGGGGUCGUGACCGGCAGUGUGGGCAGGGAGGAGAUGUUCAGCGCGGGGGCGGCGCCGUCCAUGCUGAAGCUCCAGCCGAGCACGUAGUGCCGGCAGAAGAGGAUGCCGGACGCCGACGAGAAGCCUACGUACGCGGUGUCUUCGAUGACGGAGGAGAGGUUGACGGUGGUGGAGAGCAGGGGCUUCUUGGGCCGGGGCGCCUCCAGGGGCGCCAUGGUGACAUUGACCUGCAUGGUCUGGCCGUCGAAGUCCACCCACACCUGCAUCGCCUUGCGGCUCACCAGGCUCAAGUUCCGGAACGCGCCGCCGGUGGCGUCGUCGUAGUAGCCGGCGUUGUCGGCGUCGACGGAGUUGAGCCCGUUGACGUCGAUCCCGACGUGGUUGCCGCUCAUGUCGUUGAACUCGGAGUUGAGGAUGGUGUCGAACUCGACGGCGAAGAGGUGGUUGGUGGCGUUGCCGUUGGUGGCGGAGCUGACGAGGCCCAGGAACUGGCCCGGCAGCGCGGAGGUGAAGUUGCGGCUCUUGGCGACCACGAACGCCAUGCCGUGGCUGCUGAGGUCCACGUACGCGCCGAUGAUGCCGAUGACGAAGGCCGUGGAGAAGGACCGCAUCGCCGUGCCGUUGGGCGUCCGGUGGAACCGCAGCGGCGCCGGGUAGAAGGCGUGGCCCUUGAGCUGGGGGGUGGCGUUAGUGAGCAGGAGCAGCCCGUCGGGCGUCACCGUGGCCAUCCCGUCCAGGGUGAGGUUCGCGCCCUUGAACCCGUCGAAGACGAACCGCUCGUCGGCCGCCGUCGUCACCGCAGGCAGGAGCCCGCCGACGCCGAGGAAGAGAAGCAGAACAAGCAGCGGCAUGGCUGCAGCGCCAACCGGUCUCCGUGCAGUGCAGGCUCGGGACUACCAGUCAGUCUACCACUAACCUCGAGCAAAGGUGGUUCGGCUGUGGCCUCGGUGGUGGCGCUCAGUGCUCCCGGCGGUGUUUGUUUAACACGGCACGGCCGUCGGCCGCCGUGUGCGUCUUCACCUCUUGGCCUCUGGCCGUGACGCUGACGCCGGUGUGAAGUUGACCAGAUUCGCACGUCAGGACUCGGGAGCACCACUAAAUCCUCAUUAGUCAUCAGCACCUACCUGCCGCUCCCGCGCUGAUGGCGAGGGGAGUAGGAGGGAGGGGUAAAAUUAAAAAAUCUCUCAUCUCGGGCCGUCGCUGUCCGAAUCACCUUGCGAAAUCAUACUGCCAUUGGAACGAACAAUCAGGUGCGUGCGUGCGGCCGAUGGUGUGGACGCGUGCGGCGUGCCCCCGUGUGCCGUGAUGCGGGUGCCUUGCCCCUCGGUUCCCAGCCGGCCGCUGAUCGGAUGCCGGAGGUCAGCGGGCAGCCGCAGGCCGCGGCGUCAAGCUGUCGUUCCCGGCCUCCUGUUUCUCGCGUCCCCACGGACGGAAGUCGCCGAGGACGACGCGACCGCCGGACUCGGGAGGACGCAAUUACGCGAGCGCAAUAACUUCGUCCCGUCCAGUCCCGGCCGCUCACCUUCUGCCAGCUCACCUGCCCCUGCCGCUGCACACCCCCCCCCCCCCCUGCCCUCUCGUGACCAGGCGGCGAGGCGAAGCUUCCUUCGCCAUGCCCCCUAGCCUUUUCCGGUCAGCCUUCGCAUCCCCGUGGGGGCCGGGGCCUGUCGCUUGCCCGCUCCACCCCCACCACCACCGGCCUCAUCUUCUCCGGUGGUUGGGGCUCGAAGAGACGCGAGUCGCCCUAGGGCCAGCCACCAAGAAAUUCACACUGAUCCGCGGCGAGCGUGCGAGAUUUUAGCGCUGAUGUAAUAUGCGAGCCCCUUUUGACUACCUGCGAGAAACCUUAAACAACCUGGCUUGGUAACGAAGCACAGCAGGAAGAAAAGCCAGCGGCGCGGAGUCAAAAGGGGCGCAGCCCACCAGACGGCACUAACCCAACUUGGCUACGCUCGCCCAGUACUGGUGCUGUGUGACGCUUAACCACUCACUGCUGUCAUCGCUGGCCAGGAUAUUUUAUCGGCAUUUUCCUUGACUUGGAUCAGCAUCUUCAGUAGUGCUGCAGAAGAAAUUCCGCGGGACGCGCCUGUCGCCCGGCAAACCUGUGCCUCGUACUGUGACCGUGGACGGGUCUGAUUGGUCCGCGUCACCAACGAACGCCCCUCUUGUGAAUUGCGAUCAGGCGGCCGCGUUGAACGGCGAGUCCUCGUCGGGGGUCAAAGCAUCGCCGCCGUUCACACCAGACAUUGCGAGCCACAGAGGGCCCAGGCGGAAGCUCCGUCGUGAGCUACUCCGCUACUUCUUCAGUCCAGAAUUGUUUCCGUGGAGAGAGAGCCCGUCAAUCUCGCAGCGUGGUCUGGUACGCCAUGGGGUGUUUCCGCUUGGUCGUCAUCCUCCUCCUCGCCGCGGCCUGCUCCGACCAUGCGGCCGUGCUGGCCGCCGAGGAGUUCGCCUACAACGGCUUCGGCGGCGCGGGCCUCGCGCUCGACGGCAUGUCCGUGGUGGCGCCGAACGGGCUCCUGGUGCUCAGCAACGGCACCAGCCAGAUGGCCGGCCGCGCGUUCCACCCGGCGCCGGUCCGCCUGCGGGACCGCCCCGGCGGCGCCGUCCGGUCCUUCUCGGCGGCCUUCGUCUUCGCCAUCGUCUCCAACUUCACCGUGCUCAGCGACAACGGCAUGGCGUUCGUGGUCGCGCCCAGCACCAGGCUCUCCGCCUUCAACGCCGGCCAGUACCUCGGCGUCCUCAACGUCACCGACAACGGCAGGGACAGCAACCGCGUGCUCUUCGUCGAGCUCGACACCAUGCUCAACCCGGAGUUCCAGGACAUGAACAGCAACCACGUCGGCGUCAACGUCAACAGCAUGAGGUCGCUGCACAACCACAGCGCCGGCUACUACGACGACGCCACCGGGGUGUUCAACAACCUCAGCCUCAUCAGCCGCCAGCCCAUGCAGGUCUGGGUCGACUACGACGGCGCCACCACGCGGCUCGACGUGACCAUGGCGCCCAUGGGCGUGCCCAGGCCCAAGAAGCCGCUCAUCUCCGCGCCGGUCAACCUCUCGGCGGUCGGGACGGACACCGCCUACGUCGGGUUCUCGGCGGCAACGGGCGUCAUCUACACGAGGCACUACGUCCUGGGAUGGAGCUUCGCCAUGGACGGCGCGGCCCCGCCGCUGGACACGUCGAAGCUGCCGUCGCUGCCGCGGUUCGGGCCCAAGCCCCGGUCCAGGGUGCUGGAGAUCGUGCUCCCGAUCGCCACCGCGGCGUUCGUCCUCGCGCUGCUCGUCGGCGUCUUCCUGAUCGUGCGGCGGCGGGUGAGGUACGCCGAGGUGCGCGAGGACUGGGAGGUGGAGUUCGGCCCGCACCGCUUCUCCUACAAGGAGCUCUACCACGCCACCAAGGGCUUCAAGAACAAGCAGCUGCUCGGCACCGGCGGGUUCGGGAGGGUGUACAAGGGCGUGCUCCCCAAGUCCAACUUCGAGAUCGCCGUGAAGAGGGUGUCGCACGACUCGAAGCAGGGGAUGAAGGAGUUCAUCGCCGAGGUCGUCAGCAUCGGCCACCUCCGGCACCGGAACCUCGUGCAGCUGCUGGGCUACUGCCGCCGGAAGGGCGAGCUCCUCCUGGUGUACGACUACAUGUCCAACGGCAGCCUCGACAAGUACCUGUACGACAAGUCCAAGCCCGUCCUCGACUGGGAGCAGAGGUUCCAGAUCAUCAAGGGCGUCGCCUCCGGCCUGCUGUACCUCCACGAGGACUGGGAGCAGGUGGUCGUGCACCGGGACAUCAAGGCGAGCAACGUGCUCCUCGACGGCGACAUGAACGGCCGGCUCGGGGACUUCGGCCUCGCGAGGCUGUACGACCACGGCGUAGACCCGACAACCACGCACGUCGUCGGCACCAUGGGCUACCUCGCCCCCGAGCUCGUGCGCACGGGGAAGGCGACCCCCGUCACCGACGUGUUCGCCUUCGGCGUGUUCGUGCUGGAGGUGACCUGCGGGCGGCGGCCGCUGGGGUGCAUCGCGCCGGACGACCAGAACGUGCUGCUGGACUGGGUGCAGGAACACGAGCGCAAGGGCGCGGCGCUGGACACGGUGGACCCGCGGCUGUGCGGCAAGUACGACGCCGACGAGGCCCGGCUGGCGAUCCGGCUGGGGCUCGCGUGCGCGCACCCGCUGCCCGACACGCGGCCCGGGAUGCGGCAGGUGGUGCAGUACCUGGAGGGCGACGCCGCGAUGCCGGAGGCCGCGCCGACGUACGUGAGCUACACGGUGCUGGCGCUGAUGCAGAACGACGGGUUCGACUCGUUCGCCAUGUCGUUCCAGUCCACGGCCACGUCCAGCGCCAGCCCCGUCUCCGGCGGGUUCUCGGCCGUGUCGGGCCUCUCCGGCGGGAGGUGAAGAUUGAACAAGACGGUCGCUUUCACAGCGACAAGAGUACUAGUUUCUUGCGCGUCAUGGCGAUGACUUGACCUGGCAUUUCUGUAACAUAGUUGUACCUCGACUGGGUAAAAUUUCUAGCAGUACAGGUUUAGUACCGGUAAGUACAAUAACCGUGGACAGUAAAUAUUAGCGUGAUGAUGUAACCUGGAGUGCGAUAUGCGAGGCUCGAAGCAGACAUUCAACGAUCAACGUCAUGUUCCAAAAAAAAAAAAAGAAAGAUCAGCGUCAUGAGCAAACAUCAGCGUCACGGCAUCUCUGAAAGAGAAGCGGACAGACCUGUCCAUCUUAUCUUUUGACCGCAGGACAGCACUGCCACGGCGGCGCGGCCGCUGGCAUCGCACUCGCGGCCGCCGCGCUGUUACUUGAAUAUGUUAUCGCGACGCCACCGGCGUGGCGUGCUUGUCGGUUGUCGCCGGCGGCGGCCACAAGAUGGCGGCGACGGCCGUUGGUUUCAUCCGGCAUCGGGCAGCGCGAUGCGAUAAUGAGCGCACGGCCGGGCUGGGCUUCCGCCGCGCCCGUUGUUUUGUGUCCAAUUGCAGCACGCACGCAUGGUGCUUGUGUUGAUUCGUAUGGUUGCUUGCUACGUUGGCUGCUUGGCUGCACGCUUGUUUGUUCAUUGCCUGUUCCCACCAAACUCAUUCAUAUAAAAAAUACCUCCUCAGUCUCAAAAUAUAAAUAUAGCUACUUCUAACAUUUAAAUUUUAUCUCAUAAUAUAGCUAUUUUAAGUUUCCAAAUGGAUUUUUUAUGAGAGGUCUAAGAUGCCCCUCCUUGCAUGCAAAUUAAUUAUAGCGUGGAGAUCUUCAUGCAACCCAAAUAGCAAAGCUAUAAUUAUUCUCUUAAUUAGUUCAUGAUAACUAAAGAAGUAUCAUAUAGACUUUUACUCAUCAUUCUUAAUUAAAAAAUCUAAAAGGGAAGUAGCUAUAGAGGGAGCUAGCACUCCAAACUCAGAGGAUUGUUUUUGUUGGGUGUGACCGUGUGAGCACGGAGAAUUCUUCUGGUGAGCAGGUUCCGUACAAAAGCGCAAAGGGUCCAAGGUUUUGACACCAUCCUCGUGCUGAGAGCCUUGCUUUGUUGUCGUUUGAUGCGAUUUUUCACAGGUUCUAGAAACGUUGCCAUUCACGAUUUCCGCGCACGCAACCAAGCUGACCCGGGGCCGGGAGUCCUGGUGCAGGCAGGAGCCGUAGUUCAGGGUGGAGUCAACAGUCAGCACUCAAUUGAGAAGUCGACAAGCCUCGAGCCGGUUGGCGGUGUUUGGUUCGGGAGAAGGAAACCUUGUCAUGUUAAAAAAAAAAUCUUAUUAUUCAAAAUUAUUAAAUAAAAUUUAAUUAUAAAAUUAAUUGAAAAAUUCUAGACUAAUAAGAUAUAUUAAUCUAUAAUUAGCGGAUGGUUAAUGUAGCAUCACUUUUGUAAAUUAUAGAUUAAUUAAUUUUAUUAAAUUCGUUUCACAAUUAGCACUCGUAAUAACAAAAAUUUUAUUUAAAGUUUAGUGCUCGGUAACGGACCAAAGUUCAGCCGAUGCGUGUCUGCGUCUGACUGAAGCAAGUGAUGGGGAUGCAGCGGAUACGGUCCCACGUGUCGCGAAGAUUUUUUUGAGUGACUCCACAUGGGUCGCGUUAAACAAUCCUGCCUCGAGCACGUGGUGUGCUAGCAUCCCUGUUCCUCGCAGAACAGUGAUGCUCACUUCAAAAAUGGGAAAGAAAAAAACAACUACAGUCUACAGUCCCGGAGAAUUCCCGCCAGUUACAGAAAAAAAGCCCAGCCCGAGGAGACAGCGGGGGCCUGUUUUGCGCACCCCGACCGUCGCAUGACCUGGGCUAUAUAACUGGGCCGAUCUGGACCGUAGGGCCCUCAACUCGUAGGCUGAUGCGGCGCACGCCGGUGGCCGCCACACACACGCACGCCGCAAGCGGUGCGCCGCGCGGCGGCGGCUAUCUGGGCACACUAGGCUGCGCGCAGGCCGACACUGACUGGCAGACGCCGGUCACCGAAGGGAAAGGUGCCGGCCCGCAUGGCCAUGCCCGUGUCCACACUCGUGGAUCACCCUCUCCAAUACAACACCAAGGCUUAGCGCUAGCAUUCCUCACACCCACGCCCGCGCCGCCCCGAUCGGAGAGGAGGAAGCAUCAGCAUGGACGCGGCCGUCUCGAAUCCGUCGUCGAUCAAGAGGUACGGCGGCGGAACCCCCCCUUCCUGCCCCCCUUCAGUUUCUGCGACCCGGCGCCGAGCGAGUUCUGCCCCCGCUGAUUUCGCGAGUUCGUCGGCGCUGCCGCGCCGGGUGCAUUCAGGAUCGCGCUGGUCACCGGGGGGAACAAGGGGGUCGGGCUGGAGACGUGCCGGCAGCUGGCGACCAAGGGGCUCAAGGUCGUCCUCACGGCGAGGAACGAGGCGAGGGGGCUGGAGGCGGUCGAGGCCAUCAGGCGCUCCAGCGGCGGCGGCGCCGCCGAGGUUUUCUUCCACCAGCUGGACGUCACCGACCCCUCCAGUGCCGCCCGGCUGGCGGAUUUCGUCAGGGGCCAGUUCGGGAGGCUUGACAUCCUGGUAUGGUUCCCCCUUGCUGCUCGGUUCGCUGGCUGAUGUCAUGAUGUGUGCUCUGUGAAUUUGGGGAAGUGGGAAUCGGUGCUGUUCCAAUUACUAGCAGAUACACCGGCAGAGAUAUGCAUUCCAUUUUGCUCUUUCUACGUUAAUUGAACUUGGUAUGCUUAUAAAUAUAUAAAAGUGGCAAAACGACCUCGUACGCUGUUGUGCUGAAUUUUGUUUGAGACACAUCAGCAUCACUUUUUCCCUUCUGUUGUCUGUAGAUCAAUAAUGCUGGGAUUUCAGGUGUUGACCGAGAUCCAGUUUUGGUUGCCAAAGUCAAGGAUCAGGUACUCUUAACUAAAGCAAAACAUCACAUACAAAGUACCGUUGCUUUGUAGGAGCAGUUCUUGAGCAAUUCCCAUGUAAUUCUUAUAUAUUUUUUUGAAAGGUAUAAUUCUCAUAUUUCACAAGAAAGCAAAAGUUAAUGUAGCUAUAGUUGCUGUUUCUAUAGUUGUUUGCUGUUGUCUUUCAAAAUGUUCAGGUGUUAUGUGGACGUCUUCGUUUGAGAUUGACAAUCUUUAAGUUAUUAAUUCAACAAGCCAACCACCAUGUUUAAGUGAAUUGCAUGUUAGACUGUACCUUCACCUAAAACCUGAUUAUUUACUGAAUCACAUGAUUAUAUUUCUAUGCAAACCAGAAAACUAAAAGUAUCUGUGUGAUUGAAGAAUAAUAAAAAUGUUUAUUUAUUCAAGGACAGGUUGAAGGCAUGGAUGUGAACCAGAGAGUUGAAUGGAUGAGAGAAAAUUCAAAAGAGACGUAUGAGGAAGCUAAACAAUGUAUAAGGACGAACUACUAUGGUGCCAAGAUUGUCACGGAGGCACUGCUUCCCCUUCUUCAGUUAUCCUCCUCCGGAAGAAUUGUCAAUGUUUCGUCAGGCUUUGGGCUGCUGAGAGUAAGUUCUGUAAAUACCAAGCUACUGCCUUUUGCAGGUCAUUGGCAAGAGUGUUUUGCCAGAAUAUGUCUGCAGACUGCAGUAGCAUGCUUGAAUGCCUCCCUUUUGUUUUUGUUGCACAGCAACAAAUAGUCUUUUGGAGAAGCAUUCUUGUCUGUGUCCACAUUCCACAAUUUUCUUUCAAUGAACCUUUUUCUUUGCUUUUCCUUUAAUGGUGGUCUCUACAUGACCACAAAAAUUUAAGUGAUGUCAAUGAUCAUUUCUACUGGGGGUUGCAUGCAAUAAAAAUGUACACUUUGUUUCUGCCCACUUCCCUUGUUCUUGUUCACUUUCGGUUAACGAAGGUCGUACCUUUUCUUUUCAAGCAGAACUUCAACAGUGAAGAACUUAGGAAGGAGUUUGAUGACAUUGACAAUCUUACUGGAAAGAGACUGGAGGAACUGCUAGAUUUGUUCCUAGAAGAUUUCAAGUCCAACUUAUUAGAGGCACAUGGGUGGCCAACAGGUGGAUCUUCAGCCUACAAAGUUGCCAAAGCAGCCCUUAAUGCAUACACAAGGAUUCUUGCUAAGAAGUAUCCUACACUGCGUAUCAACUGUCUGACACCUGGUUAUGUCAAGACCGAUAUGUCUAUGCACAUGGGAGUAUUGACACUUGAAGAGGGCUCUCGCAACCCUGUAAAAGUCGCUCUCUUGCCUGACGAUGGCCCAACUGGUGCUUAUUUUGAUCUGAAUGGGGAGGCGCCCUUUGUGUGAUCAUAUUAUAUGAUCACGUUUCCCUUACUCAGUUUUAGAAUAAAAGAAAGGGUUAUAGAGUAGUUGGUGCUGCUACUAUUGUAGUUUGACUUGUGUACUCAAACUAGCACGUUGAGGAAAUUGUCUUGCUCCACAUUAUGAUUCGUCGUCUUCUAUAUGAUCUCUCUGGAGACGCUUUCAUAUUUGCAAUUGACCGCUGAUCUCCCUGGAGAAGUUUGCAUAUUUUCAGUGGACCACACUUGGCAUGUUUGGUCGCACCAAUUCUUUACAUUUCCCCCCUGAGAGGGCAACUACUUCCUAGUUCCUACUACUGUGGGCUGUGGCCACGUUGUUCUGGGUUGGUGUCUAGAUGCAUAGAUAGAUGGUAGCAUACGAUGGUUAAAUGCUAUUUCUUCGGGAGCAUGAAGCAUGUCCUUUUGACUUUUCCACGGAUGCAAGUGAGUUUGUUCAUAACCACAAAGCAGGUGAGAAUUUACACGACUAGUUCUUCCAUUUUUGCUUUCAGAAAUUGUUUGAAUCAGGAUAUAUUGCUUCUGACUUAGUAAAUGCUCCUGCUUUUUUUUCGAGGUAGUAAAUGCUCCUGCUUAGUCAAGUUUAUUUGACGUUUUGGACAAAGGAAACUGUUUCUUUUCUCCUUGUUUUGUUGUCUGAACGUCACAGGAGGUAGUAUAUUUUAAGUAAGUUGGUGGUCAGUGAACAAAUUUAUCAAACAAAAGCUGCUGAUACUAACAAAUGCUCGGUUGCUCACUGUAUGAAACUUUAAAUCAACCCUCUUGGUAAGAAGACCAGUGAAUCGCCUGUGGCAGUGCAAUAGCCUUUUUAUUUGGAAUGUUCACACCUAAGUCAGGCUUUUCUGCAUUCUAUCGUGGAAGAUUGUUUUCAUGUUUGAUCUCUGCAUGACGUCAGUGUUUACCUUUAGUCGGUUUAUUCUGUGUCUUUAUUAUGCAGCUGUUCAGAAUUCAGAAGAUAUCCAAUUUCUUGCAUGGAUCACCUGCAAUCUGAUGCUGCCACCAUGAUUUGUCCCGGAUGAAAAAAAUACAGGGACCUGUCUUGUCAUCUCUGUUAACAUGCCCCACGUGAAGAAUUUGAUUUCAAUAUCAUCCAAAUAUAAAAAGAGUAUAAAGUUGAGAGGUACAUGUAAGUCUCCUUUUCCCUUUAAAUUAACCUCUUGAUAAGGCCUGCCCAUAGAACACCAGACUGACCAGAGAAAGUCAUCUCCUAGCGCCUUGUUGGAGCAGAGCUCGUGGGGCACGCUCAUGGAGGGAGCCAUCUCCAGUUCCCCAAGCACAAGGUAUGCAUCUCUCUCUUGCCAUGUUGGCUUGCUACCUGAACUGUGUUACAGAGUCAUGGCGGUUGCAUGCUAGGGUUGCCGUGGUCACCGGUGGUAACAAAGGGAUCGGCCUAGAGGUGUGCCGGCAGCUGGCUGGGAAUGGUGUCACCGUCGUCUUAACGGCUAGGGACGAGACGAGGGGCGCGGCCGCCGUCAAGAAGCUCAGGGAACUGGGGCUUUCCAAUGUCAUUUUCCACCAGUUGGACAUCACAGACGCAUCAAGCAUUGCUAGGUUAGCCGAUUUCGUGAAGACCCGUUUUGGGAGGCUAGACAUUCUGGUAAGUCUUCUUUCAAAGUUUUGAAGGUUCGCUGUAUAUGGCUGCAGACCUGUAAUGGCGAUGGGUUGAUGAAGGUGCCCUGUUUGUAGGUAAAUAAUGCUGCUUUUGGAGGCGUUGAGUACGCCCGAGAUCCUGCUUACGCAUCAGUAACCAGCGAUGAAGAGGUGAGAUUUACAUCUUCAGCUUAUCUGUGCAUGAACUUUUUAGUGAACAAGCUUGUUUGUUGAUGCGUGUGACAGCUGAGGGGCAUGGAUAGGGACCAGAGGCUUGAAUGGUUGUGGAGAAACAGCCGGGAGACUUACGACGCCGCAAAGAAAGGCCUGCAGACAAACUACUACGGCACAAAGCAUGUGAUCAAAGCCUUUCUGCCUCUGCUGCACGCCUCCUCCGAUGGAAGAAUCGUUAAUGUUUCAUCCGACUUUGGGCUGCUUAGGGUAACCUCUUUUGAUCACACUGUUCCAAAUUCCAAUCCAAUGCUAUCAAUUUCAUCCAAUCUCUAGCCCUUCUAUUCUACUAGAUAGCACGAAACGGUGACAAAAUCUCUUCCCGAUGCAGUUUUUCAGAAACGAGGAGCUGAAGCAGGAGCUGAACGACGUUGGCAACCUCACGGAGGAGAGGCUGGACGAGCUGCUGGACAUGUUCCUGAACGACUUCGAGGCCGGAAAGGUAGACGCGCGCGGGUGGCCGGCAGCAUUCACGGCGUACAAGGUGGCCAAGGCGGCCAUGAACGCGUACUCGAGGAUCCUCGCGGCGAGGCAACCCGCGCCGCGCGUCAACUGCGUGCAUCCCGGCUACAUCAAGACCGACAUGACUGCACACUCGGGGCUCCUGACGCCCGAGGAAGGCGGGCGCAGGGUGGUGGAGGUGGCGCUGCUGCCGGAAGGCGGGGUCACCGGCGCCUUCUUCGAAGACGGCGAGGAGGCGUCGUUCGUGUGAGGCUUGUGGUCUGGCGUUCAGAUUCGGAAUAAGGAAGCGAGCUGCAGGUGCCUGGUGUGUGGAUUACUGCUGAGCUGCGUACACAUCUGAAAUUGAAAUGUUAAGUACAGCCGAUGAAUCGCAUAUCAUGAGAAUGCGAUCUAGCGUUAUUAUUUUCGAUUUUUUUCACAGCUGCUUGAAGUUUUUCUUGCCAUGGGAAACGACUUGCAGUAGCUAGCAGUGUUAGCAUUUGCUUCGGCAUGACGUCACUGCUUGCCUAAGAUUCAGCUCCGCGACAGCUGCUGCCGUGCCGUUUAGACCAGUAUCUGUCUUAGGGCAACUACAUCGUCAGUAGUUUUAUAGAUUGUCUCAUACAAUUUUAGGUAGAAUUUUUGAUGAUGCGGAGAAGAGAAGGGAAGAAGAGACAAUAAGAUGGUUGCUUCGCGAAACAACAGUCUCAUAAGCUAAAAUUAAAGAUUAUAAGAUCGUUUUUUACUAUUAUUGUACGAGUUGUUGUCAUACUACCUAUAAUAUUUCUUUUUUCAUUUCACGAAUUAAGUGAUAUGGUGUACUAUGAGAAAAAAAAGAUAAUUUAUCGUAAAGGUUGUCUGUUAAGUCGUUUCAAAAUGAGAUAUCCUUGCAUGAACAUAUAAGACCGCCUAUUAGAUGAAUUAAUGUAUUUGCCCUUGUCCCGUUAUCCCGCUAUUCGGAUUUCUGACGAAGUAACGAUAUCCGAUCUUUGACCGACUUUCCAAUUUUGUAAAACUUGGACGAUUUUCUCCGCCGCACACGUACAUGCAUGCAUAUAUAUGUAGCCAACUAGCCAUCCAGAUGAAGAAACUGGGGCUCUUGACUCGUCGUCUACCUCACACGUGCAUCGUGUGAACGUGUCCAAUCUCGUGCAGUCGUGUUCACAUGUGAUAUUCUCUCCUGCGCCGUGCUCACGUGCAAUUUACCUACUGAGGAAACAGUCAAUAAAAAUGGCGAUCGUGAUCUCCUGAUCGAUCUCCAUGACUUGUUUGGAGCUGAGUUCGUGGAGCACGCUCAUGGAGUCAUGGCCUCAUGGGGGAGCCAUCUCCAGUGACCCAAACACACACAGGCCUAUGUGAAUAUGGUGUAGAAAGGCCCAUUCGGGUUGACCUCUACAGUAGGGCCGGCUGCAGGAAGGCCCAGUUAAUUUUACUAGGUUCUAUAAAUGGCUGUCCAGGCCUGGUUUCUAGAAGAACGAGAAAAGCCCAAUUAAGUUUGAGAUCUCGUUAAGUUUAGGCUCUAAAUUCAAGCAAGAAAAUCAGCAGCAUAGGCCUAAUUAAAAACUUCGAGAUAACCUCUCUGCAGCCAAGCCUAGCCCAAAAUAGCCACUGGAGACAACUGGUCCGGUCCUCUAUGGGCCAGGCUCAUUUUUCUCAGGACAUGCCACCGUUUAAUCACUGCAGGUCUAUUUUGGAAUGAAAGAACGAAAAAUAGAGGAAUGGAAAAAAAGUACAGGAACUAGUUGUAGGUGUAGUAGUAAAAUAGAGGAUUAGAAAAGAAAAAAUGUCCAGUUUAUAUUUUUAAAUGAUCAUAAAAAUCUAAUUUUAAAUCUUCAACUAUAAAAUCGAAUAAUAAGGACCAUCCAGCUGUUGAAACCAGAUGUUUUAAAGGUAAUUUUUCACUUUAAAACAAUAAAAAUAUUCAAAUAUCUCUGCUAUUAAUAAAACCGUAGCGUCUGCCGGCAGAGCCACGGGCGGCACGGCACCCAUCCACCCGACUCUGCGGGUGAAAAGCACAUGUUAGUUCUGCGGCGGUGCUGUUGCUGCAGUCUGCAGGCAGUUGAUGAAUGACUCUGCUCACCUGUAUUGUCGUUCUGCCUGUUGUUGUUGGCUAUAUAUUGACUUCCUCACCUGAAUGACUCUAAGAAACUUAACUGUAAUCACACAUACUUAUGAGCCACACAUAUGCUGGGAACUAUCGAUCCACUCGAAGGUUGCUGGUUGGCGGAAGCACUGAACAAGGCACGGAGCUGCUGGCAUGUAUCACGUUCACGUGUACGGAUGUCGUCCGUCGUUGCCCACGUGAUGGCCAACUGAUUAACACGUGCCAACGACACUAUGCUAGGGAAAUAGAUCGUCGGUAAUACCCUCUGUCUCUCAUAACAAGCUUAAAUGGUAUUGGUUGGUAAUUUUUCAAUUCAUGUCGUAGAUAUUUUAGUCCUUCAUCAGCUGAAAAUUGAUGGGUGGAGGCAGCUAGCUGGAGAGCUACUGUAAGGGCAGCUAGAUAGAUAGUUACUGGCUGGAUAAUUAAAAGUUAUAUCCCGUAGCUAUAAAAGCUAGUGGCCUUCUGGAACUAUAUCUAUCGACAAGUAUCGGAGCAAGACAGCUCCCAUCCUGUUGCUCGAGCUCGCAGCGCACGCUCAUGGAGGACGCCAUCUCCCGUAUUCCUCGCAACACAAGGUACGUGCUAUUGUAGGAUCCGGUGAGUUCCGAUCGUUGAGUAACACAUGCGGAACCACUCGUCGUGGUUUGCAUUAUACUGUUGGCAGAGUUGCCGUGGUCACCGGCGGGAACAGAGGUAUCGGGCUAGAAGUGUGCCGGCAGCUGGCGAGCAAUGGCGUCGCCGUCGUCCUGACGGCGGUGGACGAGAAGAUGGGCGCGGAAGCCGUCGAGAAGCUCCAAGGGUUGGCGGUGUCCGACGUCCUUUCCCACCAGUUGGAUAUCACGGAUGCUUCCAGCAUCGCUCGACUGGCCGAUUUCUUGAAGACCCGGUUCGGCAAGCUGGAUAUCCUGGUGAGCGAACCUCGUUUUCCCCAACUUCUCGAAAGAUCGAUUAAUACGGCUGCCGGUGACUGAUAGUAGAAUUUGUGAGCUAUUAAUUUGUAGGUGAAUAAUGCCGCGGUCUGUGGGGUUGUGUUCUUCCGAGAUCAUGCUGAUGCUUCAGUAACUAGCGGUGAAAUGGUGAGCUUUUUUACAUCUUCAGCUAGUCACACCUUCAUGGACGUGUUCUGUGCUCUUCUGUCUAACACGGCCAACUGAAUUCUGCUCUUCCAUCUGUUGUUGUGUGCGACAGUUCAAAGGCAUGGAUAGGGACGAGAGGCUUGAAUGGUUGUGGGGAAACUGCAGGGAGACGUACGACGCUGCCAAGGAAGGCCUGCAGACAAACUACUACGGCACAAAGCACGUGAUCGAGGCGCUGCUGCCUCUGCUGCAAGCCUCGUCCGAUGGAAGGAUCGUUAACGUCUCCUCCGACUUUGGGCUACUAAGGGUAACUUAAUGUUGAUCACACUGUCCCGAUCCGGCCAUUGGUAGUUCCCAAUUGGACCAGAUCAGAGUUCAGUCUUAACAAAAGUUCUUACCAAAAUACAGUGUUUCAGAAACGAGGAGCUGAAGCAAGAGCUGAACGACACUGACAACCUCACGGAGGAGAGGCUGGACGAGCUGCUGGCCAUGUUCCUAAAGGACUUCGAGGCCGGCGGGGUCGAGGAGCGCGGGUGGCCGUCCGCGUUCGCGGCGUACAAGGUGGCCAAGGCGGCUGUGAACGCCUACUCGAGGAUCCUGGCGCGGAGGCACCCCGAGCUGCGCGUCAACUGCGCGCAUCCCGGCUACGUCAAGACGGACAUCACCUUGCACUCGGGGCUCUUGACGCCCGAGGAGGGCGCGGGCAACGUGGUGGAGGUGGCGCUGCUGCCGGAACGCGGGGCGACCGGCGCUUUCUUUGAGGAGGGCAAGGAGCUGGCGUCCUUCGUGUGAUGUUUGAUCGGGACGACACGCUCUUGUUCAUCCGCCGUGUGUUUGGAUCGCUCUCGGUAUGUAUGGCUUGCUUGAUUGAGAGUAUAUCGUAGGUCUCGAGCUGGACGAUUGUGGUGAUAAACUUUUUAUGUAUGUGAAUGAUUGUGGCGAUGAACUGACGAUGUGUGCCACUAUUUUUCGUUUUUUUCAGUGACGAAUUUGCAAACAUAGCGUGUACAAAGGUACCACAUGAUCAAAUAAUUGCAACCACGCGGUUAGUCCUAUCGACUGAAAUUUCAUUUCUACAAUCGAGCCUAUUUCAAGAAAAAAAUCUGGUCAGGUUCAUUUCUGUUCAUUAUAAAAUUGAAAUUCACAGUUAAGAAGUAAAUAAAUUUAGAAUUUCUUAUAUUAUUUUUCGAUACAAGAUGUGUCAGCAGUAUUUUUGAAUGAUGUAGUAUUUGAUGAAAGGUGUACUUGCGCGUGGGCUAAGCAACGUUUAAUGUUCAAGACGGACCAUUUUUUAAAUUAAAUAAUACAAGUUUUAUAUAAAAACUGGUUUAGGACAUAUUUGGCAAAGCUUAAACUUUAGAAUUCUUGGAGCCAAGUAACUCCAAGAAUUUGGAAAGCUGGGCUAUUUUAAUUUUUACUUAAAAGUUAAAGAUUCUAAAUAAAAAUCAAAACAUUUUCACAACGAACCGUAAGCCACUAGUUCUGUUGGACCAAUUAUCACCCACACGCGGGAAGAGAGGAAUUUAGCUCAUUUAGAGCAUAUACAAUAGUCCUCAAAUCAGACCCUCUACUUACUGACCAAGAGCUCUCUCUAUUUUUUGAGGGCUCGUAGAGGGCUCGUUUUUCUUACAUCAGUACAUAAACUCAUAUUCAUCUUUCUCAUCUAUCUCGGUAGACUUUAAAUCCAGGACUAAUGCUCUUAUUAGUUCCGGGUCCAAAUUUUAUGGACGGCAAAGGACUUUUAGUCCCGAUUGGUAAAUGACCAUUUAGUCCCGGUUGGUAAAGGAUCCUUUAGUUCCGGUUGGUAAUUUCAAGUCGGACUAAAUGGUUCUUUGCGGGAUAGUUUAAAUGGAAAGCAUCCUAUUUAAAAGUCACAUAUGUUGUUUAGGUGGGAUGGUAACGAAACUACACGCGAGGCAAGAUGUCUUGGUUUGAGUUCCGCGGAAUGCAGUGGUGCUCGCCAAUUAUUUUUUAAGACCUGGAUAGGGGGCUCCUAAGGCUAGUUUCGAGUGAGCAUACACGCAUUUAAUACUACCAAAUUAAAAAAAAGUUGAUGCAAAGUGACCACAUAACAUUUUAUAAAAUACUAUCAACAUUUACUUGAAUUCAGUCUAACGGACCAAAAUGUUUCAAUCCUAAAAUAAAGUUACACAUUAGGGAAAAUUACGAAUCUACUGAAAAUGAAACCCUGAACAAUGAAAAUAUAAACGAGAAAGAUAGAUGCUACUACUAGUCAUCACCAACCCUAAUUAUCAUUUUUUUUCUUCCUCCUCAUAUACAUCUUAGUAGGUAGAUGAGACGUUGAGGAUGGAUUGUCCAGAUAGAGUACAGUGUCGAAGUUGGACUAAGUUAACAAGUUGAUUCUGGAGUUUUGUCAUGUAGGCCCCUGUAUCGCUGUACAUCAGGACUGUUGAUACAGGUCAAUUCUCACGUGUAUCACGUUGUUCUGGCUUUGAGCCGCUCGGCAGCAAGCUCCCAGCAGCUGCAUCGUGAUUGGCAGGGUCGAUUUUACACCGUGAAGGAACAGCUUGACUGCAGCGGCUGUUGCUGGCUGCUGCAGCUGCAAGCUUUUCCGAGAACUAUUGACCAGUGCAAAUUAAAUAGCUCCACUCAACAAGCGACCGAGCAUGUUGCUAAGUUGCAAUAAUAAACCCACCAGCCACCACACUACAAAUUAGAAGCCCUUGCUUGAAGCAAAACGGAACCCAUACAAAAUGGAGGCCGCCCUGAUAUGGAAGCCUAACUUCGUGGUCAUCCCAUGGCCAGCCACCAGCCACAUCACCCCCAUCGUCGACGUCGGCUGCCUCCUCGCCGCGCACGGCGCACCGGUCACCAUCAUCACCACGCCCGCUAGCGUGCAGCUCGUCAAGGGCCGCGUGAACCGUGCCUCCCGAGGCUCCGCCGGCGUCACUGUCACGAUCAUCCCCCAUUCCCAGCCUCUGAGUCCGGGUUGCCUGAUGGCUGCGAGAGGAUGGAUCAUCUCCUAUCUUCCGACCUCGUCCCAAACUUCUUUGACGCCGCCACGCGGUUCGGCGAGGCCGUGGCGCAACACUGCCGACUCAUGGCGCCGCGCCGGCCGAGUUGCAUCGUCGCCGGAGUAUGCAACAAGUGGGCACACGGCGUGGCUCGUGACCUUAGCGUGCCCUGCUUUGUCUUCCACGGAUUCAGCGCGUUCGCCUUGCUGUGCUGCGAGUACCUGCACACCUACAGGCCGCACGAGUCUGCUGCGGCGUCGAUGGACGACCGCAUCCACAUUCCGGUCCUGCCGCCUUACGAGUGCAAGCUCGCGAUGAGGCAGCUACCGGUGCAGUUCCUUCCGUCGUGCACCAUUCCUGAUGGCCGCCGUCGAGAGACUCGGGAGUUCGAGAUGGCCACGGACGGCAUUGUCGUGAACAGCUUCAAAGAGCUGGACCACGGCUCGGCCGCGCGUCUCGCCGCGGCCACGGGCAAGACGGUGCUCGCCGUCGGCCCCGUCUCUCUGCUCGGCGCACCUAGCCUGCUCGACUUACAGGCUGACUCGGUCGAAUCCAGGCGGUGCAUGGCCUGGCUGGACGCCAAGAAAGCCAAGAGUGUGCUCUACGUUAGCUUCGGCAGCGCUGGGCGCUUGCCCCCGGCGCAGCUGAUGCAGCUCGCCCGAACGCUCGUGUCGUGCCCAUGGCCUGUCCUCUGGGUCAUCAAGGGCGUAGACUCGCUGCCAGGCGGCGUCAAGGAGUGGUUGCAACGUAACACCGACGCGGAUGGCGUCGCGGACAGCCAGUGCCUCGCCGUUCGCGGGUGGGCGCCGCAGGUUGCCAUCCUGGAGGCUGGAGCACCCCGCAGUCGGCGGCUUCGUGACGCACUGCGGCUGGGGCUCGACGCUGCAGAGCAUCGCCGCGGGCGUGCCCAUGGCUACCUGGCCGCUCUCAGCGGAGCAGUUCCUGAACGAGAAGCUCGUCGUCGACAUGCUUGGUGUCGGCGUGUCCGUCGGCGUGACGAAGCCCACGGUGGGUCUGCUGACCAGCGGCAAAGGCGGCGACGGCGAGGUGAAGGCUGAGGUAGGGUCAGAACAGGUGAAGACGGCGUUGGAUAAGCUGAUGGGCGGAGGCGUCCAUGCGGAGGAAAGGAGGAGGAAGGCUCAGGAGCUUAAGACCAAAGCCAAAGCUGCUCUGGAGCAUGGAGGAUCUUCCUACCUGAAUCUGGAGAUGUGGUUCCUCAGUUAUAGUUGAUCUGAUCAGUCAUUUUUUUUCUGGCCUAUAACUUUGUGCCGUUGCCUUUUAGCUUGAAUAAUAAUUUUGAACGAGUUCGAUAGAAGAAUGUGCUAUUUUUUUUAUAACUUUGGCAAGGAUAUUUGCAGAGUGUUCAUAAAAGAAGGGUGUGUGUACAUGGAAUCUGAGUAUUUUAUGGGAUCUGAGCGCACGUGCAUUUGUUUCUGUCAAAACACUUGAGCACUUGCAUAUUAAAAAUCGAGUGUUGUGGUAGAGGACAACACACGGAUUUGGGUGCGUCAAAUUUUGAUCAGACGGUGCAAAAAAAUAAUCUAAAUAAUUUAUAUACAACAAAAACAGAACUGGCAUAUUUUUACCACAUAUUAAAAUUGGAUCACUUAACACCUAAAAUAUAUUUUUAUUGGCAUCACAUAUUAACGCUAGAAAAAUAAAAAAAUAGCAGAAAAAUAUUUAGUAUUAUAAAAUCCCAGUUGAUAUUGUAUUACCCAAAAAAUUGGACCACAAACAGAUGGGGGCUCGUGUGUGUGUGCGUGGGAGGGGUGAUGGGCCAAUAUUCAGCAAAAAUUGAAAAUGGAGGUUAAAAAAAGCUAGGGAUGGAAAAAUAACAGAAAAAAAAUGAAAACUUGGCUCCCAAGAAGGUCAGGAUCAGGACAGAUCCUAACGGAAAAAAAAGAACGCCCUCUCUCCCCUAAUUGGCCAGCUUCUGCUCGGCAAAAAAAGCCACGAAGAUAGAAGACGGCGACCAAGAAAAGGGACAAAGCAAAGAAUUAACAAGAGGGUGUGGAAGAAGAGGGGCAUCUAGAAACAUCUCAGGUAAACAAAAAUAAAAAAGAGAAUUGUUUACUUGUUGCUUCCUCUCCCCACCCCCAGAACAUACCCUAAAGAUCUUGCUGCAUCAUCUUACUAGUAUUUGCAUCAGACCAAACAAAAAGCAUAGAAAAGUUAAUCCUCUUUUGCUAGAAAGCAAAGGCAAACAUUGAUGUUUAAAUAACCAGAACAAUCAGAACCAGAUUACAGGUGAUAUGUACCCCAGUUAUAGGUUUAUGUACUGCUAUUUACAGUAGUCAUGUGACUGUAAAAAUAGUUAAAUUACACAGUAAAACAAAUGUAAUAUUGUUUUUAUUUUGUGCUGAUUUCUAUCCAUGUUCAUUGUAGUGGAGAUCCAUGAUGCAAGAACAAUAAAUAUUACAGGUGCAUUCUCCCCCCUUCCCCCACCCUCACACCUAGUUGUUAAUACCACAGAUGCAUUAAAAAAAGGAGCAGAAAAAAACACAAAGUGUUGUUUUGAUUAUGCGAAAAACAGAUUGCACAUGCUUAUGCCACUAUAUAUGAUUUAGAUAAACUACUCUACCAUAGAUAAUACAUAAAACAACUUCCAACUUCUGGUAAGUUUCUAUAUUAGGAACAAAGUUAAAAAGAUAUGAAAUGUGUCUAGAAAAAUUAACAUGAAGUAAUAUUUUUAUAAGGUAUCUCAAAGUUACACCGCUAGAAACCAAAACUUACAAUAAAUGUCAGAUUGUAAAAAGUAGAAAUAAGUAAUCUGUAAAUGACCUUAUAUGAAAAAAAUAAGGUGUUUUAAGUAUUGUAUAACAGAACUUACAAUAAAAAAUCUGACAGUUGCAGAUGGAUACCACGGCAAAAAGCAAUCAAGGUGUGCCCGCUUGCUCGAUCCUAAACAAAGAUCAUGAACUGUCGUACUAUAAAAUAUGAUGGGGACAGGGAUACCUUGGUCAAAAUUAAGAUGUAGUACAAGACUUUAAUGAAUAUCUAAAUUCAAUAAUAGCAACUCCAUAGGUUUGCCCCCCCCCCCCCCGGAAAAGAACUAUGAUGUUGAAUGCUACAACUUUUGUUAUUAGCAUUUUCUAAAAAAAUUGAUUUGCAGGUGUCAUACACAGGGCUAUUGUUUGAGCAGAUAAGAAAUUCACAAGAAACUGAACAAGCUCCAAUGCAUGACACACACGGGGCAGCAUCAUACAUGGACAUCCUUACUGGACAAUGUGGGUUUGAGGUAAAAAAAAUUAAAACCAUUGAUAUAAAGCGCAAGAAAAAUAAAGCUUGUUUUGAUAUGUUGUUUCUUUAUUUAAUGCAGGAGACAAUGAUUCAGCAUUCAAGAUCCUCGGAAUUUAGUCAUAUACAGUGAAAGAAACCAAAAAGCGGAUGAGCAGCUAGAGCUAUCAAAGUACACCUUACCAACUCAUGAUGAGACAAACCAAAGGAUUAUGCCGAAUAUAAAUGAUGAGGUCAGUGUGUGUGUUUAGAAAAAAAAGGAAGGUUUCCAUAAAAAAAAUAUAACACAAGAUGACAUAAAAAUCUUAAUACUUACAUCUGCAAAACACAGGGUGCUCCAAAAAUACAAAUGCUACCUUUGCAGGUGGGGGUAUAUGAGGAUGUUGCAUCCUCUCUGAGCAAUUCAAAUUUACAAGGGGAUGAGGUUGCGCAGGAAAUCCAGAGUGAGGAGGUACACGUUUACUUUUGUCUACUAUUUUAGGAAUCAUCUUAUACCAAAAAAAGUAGUAUACAAAAAUGCUUAUGGUAAAUGAACAGAAUAUAAUAAUCAACUACACGGGGGGAGAUGGUGAUGAACAUGAUGCUUGCAACUGGAGAGAAGAUAUUUUUAAAAACAUGCACAUACAACAGGUAAAUUUUGCGGAUGAUGUGAGUGAGCACAACACAGAAGGGGUGGCAGCUACCAAUGAAGAUAAUAUUGGUGAAGAUAUAGCCAAUGGGAGCCAGCUCCUAACUGAAGAAGAAAUUGAAGAUUUUAUAGAAGGAGAACAAAAGGCAGCGAGUGAGGGGAACAAUACAGAUACAGAUUGUUCAAGUAAAUACACUUCCCAAAUAGGGAUGGAGUUCAAUGACAAAGACAACGCUCACCAUUUCUUCUGCUUCUAUGGGUUUCUUGCUGGAUUUGAGGUAGUCACAACACAUAAUACUAGAACAACCAGUAGGAAGAGAAAUGGAGAAGUUGUCAAAGUUGAAAUGAAGUUCAUCAGGCAUGGCAGGGAAAAUAGUCUGAAGAAACCACAAGAGGAUGAGCCACCCAUACUUGAGGGAGAAGAUAUCAGGAGCAAAGGCCAAAAAGAAAAACUAAUGUGCAGGUGAAGACAAAUUGUCCUGUGGUAAUGGUAGUCAAAGAAGAUUGAGGGGUGUGGAAGAUUGUUAGACUUGAUCUAGAUCACAACCACGAGCUCAGCCUUGGGAACAGAAAUCAACUUUUCAGUGGCAAGAAAUAUAUGACGGAUAUGGAGAAAGCACUAAUCAGAAUACUGAAUGACAACAACAUUCCUACAAGGAAGAUGAUAGCGAUAUUAUCAUAUCUCAGAGGAGGGAUACCUGCGCUGCCAUAUAAGACCAAGGAUGUGGCAAACUUUAGGAGCAAGAUAAAUAGAGAGAUAAAUGGCAAAGACAUGAUAGAAAAAAAUUGAAGAUCCCACAUUCUACUACAAAUUUGAUGUAGAUGAAAAUAUAAAAGUCAGAAAUAUUUUCUGGAGAGAAGGAGCUUCACUAAGAUAUUAUGCAGAAUACAGCGAUUGUGUUAGUUUUGACACAACAUAUAUGACAAGCACAUAUAACCUACCUCUUGCACCAUUUGUUAGGAUAACAGGGCACGGGCAUACAUGCAGCUUUAUAUGUGCGUUUGUAUCUGAUGAGAUGACAGAGUCAUUCAUCUGGAUAUUUGAAACAUUUCUAGAUUCUAUGGGAGGAAAACACCCAAAAUCAAUUGUUACUGAUCAAGAUAAGGCUAUGAAAGUAGCUAUUGCACAAGUUCUACCAAAUACAGGGCACAGAAACUGCUUUUUCCAUAUCAAAUACAAAUGCUACAAUAAGAAUGGGAGAUGCUUUGCAAGCAAAAAGGGGCUGCGAGAGCAAUUUGAAGAUGUAGUCAACGUAUCAUUAACAAAAGAAGAAUUUGAAUUCCUUUGGAAGAAAAUGAUAAAGGAUCAUGAUCUACAGAAUAACAAGUAUUUCAGCAAGAUGUGGGAGAACAGAAAAUGGUUUAUACCUAUAUACUUUAAGGAUGACUUUUUCCCAUUCAUACAAAGCACGGGCAGAAGCGAGGGGGUGAAUGCAAGGGUAAAAGAAAAUGUAGGUCCUACAUACAGUGUGAUUUGUUUCUUGAAAGAGUACCAACAGCUUAUUGAUAUCUUGAACAUUAAAGAGGAGACAGAAGACAAUCAAAGCAAUGAGAAAAGACCCAAAGAAUUGCUUUAUGGCUACAAUAUAGAACGACAAGCAAUAGAGCUAUACAACAGAAAUUUUUUUAAGAAAUUUUAGUUCCAACUACAGCUAACUGAGAGGCUGAAAUACAAAGAGAUAGAGCCACAGAAAUAUUUUGAAGUGUGGUAGAAAACAAACCAAAUCUACAAACCAUACAAGCUGAGAAAGUAUAUCGUGACGACUGACCUGACAAAGGGAAGAGAAGAGUUCAGCUGCAUAUGCGGGAAGUUCAACAAGGAUGGUACGCUCUGUUCACAUAUCCUGAAAGUUUUAGUUGAAGAAGAAAUAAAUGAGAUAACAGAAAAAAAUAUAAUAGAUAGGUGGAGGAAGAAAGAUAGGAAACUAAAGAUGCCGCUGCAAGAUGUAGUGCCAAAAACUCAUGAGCUUAUGAGACACAAUGUGCUAUCAAGGAAGUAGCGAUUCUAACUUCUAAAAGUGCGAAGAAAGAGGAAGCGAUGGAAUACCUGCUUGAUGAAUUCUUCAAAAUAGAAGCAAACCUGGAGCUUAUCCUAGAUCCUCCAACCAAUGCACAAUCAGGGGUGGCUAAUGCUGAUGCUGAGGGGGGUGCAAAAUACAUAUAUGCACACACUUGCAGAACUUAAUGACCCAGAUAGGGUAAAACCCAAGGGGCGGCCAGCCUUACCAACUAGUUUGAAGCCGCUGGUAGAAGAAAUUAGGAAGAAGAUGAUCAGGGAGGAGAAGAAAAAAGCAAGGAAGAGAAAUCCAUUGAGUAAGUUCAUUUCUGGGAUGAAAAAUUAUUAAAAUACAUUUUUUAAAAUAAAACUGUACCCCACAGCCAAAAUCAUCAAAAAUUAACUUUUGAAAAAAAAAUGAAAUUUGAAUGCAGGUCUGAAGAAGAAAGUUAAAAAAGGAGAAAGAAAAAUCAAGAUGCUAAAAACUAACCUUAAGCAAAAUCAAAAUGCUAGAAAUUGGGGGCUACUUUCAACACAUAGAGAGACAUAUUGGGCAGAAAAAAGGAGGAUCCCAUAUUAAAAUUGUAAUAGGCAGAAAGCCAUUAGCACAGUGACAUGUUUUUGUCUGCGAUGAGUGCAAAAUGGUUCAUCCAUUUAUUCUAUCCUAUUAAACUAAUUCAUAUAUUUGUAAUGGAAAAACAGGUCUGUCGGAGGAAUUCUCCAGCCGGGUGGCGGAAUGCACCCGCCUAAUCCUAGUUAAGGAUGGGUUUGGAAGAGACUUAGGAGUGCUCGAUCGGCGAACAGAUGAACGCUGGAAGGCCACAGAGAUUUAGAGUGGUUCGGGCCGCCGAAGCGUAACACCCUACGUCCACUUUGGUGUUGUUUUGCUUGAAGACUGGAUGAAGCUUAGCAUACAGCUUGUGCUUAUGCAGCCUGGAACUUAGAACGUCUAGCGUGAGUGUUUGUGAUCCCGUGUUCUAGCGAGUGCAUUCUCCCUUUUAUAGUCCAAGGGGGAUGCUUACACUGAGCGGGACCCCGACAUGUGGGUCCGGCCAACAGGAGCUUGUUCUACGAGAGAUAUGGAGGUCAUCUCCUCGAGCUCCUCUCUGUAGUCCUCUCGAUCGGGGAGUUGAUGUGCGUAUCCAUAGUCGGGAUACGGCCGUGUACAGCCUUGUCUUGUACAGUGUUCGGUGUCAGCGUUGCCCAACAGUGAAGCCGUGCUGUCACUGUUGGGAUCGAACCUCCAGUCAGGGGGCGAGCCAGCGCUGACUCGUGCCAUGCGCACUGUUACAUCGCAAGCCUUAGCACGCCUAUUACAGACCAUCGUCACACGCGCAGCGCCAUGACGGGACUGCACACAGUCCGCGCACUGUGCGCGGUGAUACGACGCGCCGCUUUCAGAUCAGGCGGGCUUACCGUGGUGUCAGCUUACCUGCCCCGUGUGCCAGUGGCAGGCCGCACCUUUUGACCUUGGCGCGCCCAGCUCACCUACCGCAUUGAAUGCUGGUAGGUGGAGAGGCGACCCGUAAGGGGCCUCCGGCCGCAGGCACGCGGCGGGGUCAGCCCCGCUCCUCCCGCCGGGCAGCACAUGGCGGCUCCGGACCCCUUCCCGGGGGAAAGAGGGGUCCGGGGCCCCCGUGGCCGGCCGGAGCGGGCUGACCUGUGAUGGUCUGGCCAUCACACGUGGCGGCCCCGGACCUCCCAGGGGAGGCCGGGUCCGCAGGGAUUACCCGAGAGCUCUCCCGCCCACGUGGGUGUGCAAAGGCCCCGGACCUCACGGAGCACGGGGAGGGUCCGGAGACCGUGGUCCCAGCAGUCAGGCCCGGAGGCCGUAUGCCACGUGGCCCAGAGGCGAGGGGGAGCGUGGAUUAUGAGAAGUCCCAGGGCCUGGACACCCUAGCAGGAGGUACCCCUAUCUGUAUGUACCGACAGAGGCCCCCGGGCCCACCUCGGGAGAGGGAUGAACCCGCAGGUGGGGCCAAAUCCCAACAUCGCGCCGGGUGUACAGCUCGUUCCUGCCAGGCGAGGGCACGGAUGUCCUUUCGCCCGUAGCGGGAACCCCGAGGGACCCAUCCUCCGCGCGCAUCGGGCGCGUCAGACGGUUCAGAUUUUUGUCUCAUUCGAACCCGCCGCGCGGCUCGGGCGGUUCAGAUUCCGCCCUUCCCACGAUCCUCCAGCGCCCACGCCAAUGACUGGUGGACCCGAGCCCACCGGUCAUUGAGUGUGAGGGUAGGGGAAGGCGGCGCUGGCGACCGCUCGGCUUCCCCUCGGUCGCCGCGGGACACAAAGGGAGGAGCAGUCUUUUGCAUAAAAGGUAUGCGCCGAAGGGAACGGCUACCUUUUCGCUCUCGCCAACAACAGACGCCGUAGCGCCCCUUCGUCUCCGCAUCCUUUUCCGCGAUCAGCUUCCUUGCGCCCGGCACCUCUCUCUACCUUGCUCCUUCGCGAUCCACCCCAACAAUUUCCAUGGCUUCACUUCCUUUCCCGUGCCGCUUCCAGACCCAGGAUCAGCUGGACGCGGUGCGACGCCUUCUAGGGUGGACUGCGCCGGCGAAUGUCGGGAAGGUCCAGGCCGGCGAGGUCCCCCUCCGCGAGCUUGCCGCGGGGGAGUUCGUCCUCUUCAACUCGUACAUUAUGUGCGGGUUGGUUCUUCCGAUCUCCUCCUUCUUCCUCCUGCUCCUGGAGGAGUUCGGCCUCCAACUUCAUCAUCUCACCCCCCACUCCGUUCUCCUCGCGGCGGUCUUCGCCCAUUUCAUGGAGAUGUUCGUGGGGGUGCGCCCCUGCACCACCAUCUUCAAGCACUUCUACUCCCUGGUCGGGACCGGGAAGAAGCGCGGCGAGAUCGGCGCUUACUACUUCCAACUCCGGCACGGGAUGUCGGGCGCCUACAUCGCCGCCUUCUCCAGCUCCAAGUGGGAGGACUGGCGUGAAGGCUGGGUCAUUGCGGUGACGGACCCCCACGACCGCCUAGAACUGCAGGAAGGGGGCCCCCAGAGCGACCGGAGCACCUGGAAGGCCAGGCCGUCAAUUCCGGCAGAGCUCGACCCAGUCCUGAACCGGAUCAAGAAGCUGGCAAGGAGCGGCCUGACUUCUAUGAUGGUGCUGGGCGACUUCCUGAAGCGACGAAUCGCCCCCCUGCAGCAUCGGUCCCGGAUGGCCUACGUGUACACGGGGCUAAACGACUGCUGCAGGAUCGCGCGGGGGCCCGGCGGCGACUUCACCCGGGCGGAGCUGGAGGCGGCGAUCCGGGCGAUGACCGGCGAGGCGUUCGUUCCAGAGUCCCUGGUCCUCCCGAGCGGGGUGAAGGCCCUGUGCGAGGACCAGGCUCUGCGGUCAACGGUCCUGGCGUCGAUGCCGACCCUGGACGAGGGCGGCCUGGCGGUCCGGCAACUGGGGGGGGACCCCAACCGCGGGCUCCAGAUCCCUGGCACCACACCGGACCGCCAGCAACGCCCCAGCGGAGGUGCCGGGGAGCCGGGACCCAGAGGUCCGGCCCCCGGCGGGAAGGGAAAAGAGAAAGCGCCGGUGCCAGAGCACCGGCAGAAAGACUGUGCGGGUGCUGCCCCGGCCCAAAGGAGCGGCGAGGCUCAGGGGCGGCACCCGAGCGGCGCAGCCAAGCCGAAGGGAGCAAGUUCCGGAGGCUCCAGCGAGGCGACGGCUCCUUGGUGGGGGAGCCGGCGCCCAAGCGCCAGAAAACCACGGGAGUGGAGGAGCAGAGCGGUGCUGUUCCUCCUCUCCCACAGCACCGGCCUCCACCGGGACGACAGACUCCACCGCCACCACCGUCAGGGCCGCGCCCAGCGACACCACCACCGCCGCCCGAGAACGGACCUCCGUCCCCAACGCCGCCGCCAGGGUCCUCGGCAGGGAGGAAGGUCCCCCGGCCGCCCGGGGCAGAUGGGAGUGGUACGACUUCCCGUAAGUGGUCUUAUCAAGGUUUUUCAUUUUCUUCCUCAGCUUCUGGUGCUUAACCAAACAGGUGGUACGGCAGGCCGCAACCUUCAGAUGCUCCAACUGGGGGACCCGGCCCCCAGCCAGCGCCGGAGUCCUCGGCAACGGCCCCAGCAGGGCCUCCGCCAGGAGCAGCCCCUGAAGCCUCCGGUCCCAGUGGUCCGGAGCUGGAGGCUACCAUGCUGCCAUGUCCAGAAGCCGCCCCCCAGGAGGAGGCGAUCAGGCCCACUGCGACGGCAGAUGCCCCGGCCACAGCGCCGGGCGCCGAGGUCGGGCCUUCCCCAGCCGAACCGGCAGCUGAGGGAGUCGCUGCUACGGCGGAGGCUGCUAGGCCAGAGGCAGCGGCGACGGCGGCACCGGAGGCAGCGAAGGUGGCGGCUCCAGAGGCAGCAGAGGCUGCGGCUCCGGAGGCCGCCGAAGUCGCCAGUAGCGCCGCCCCACCAGCGGAGGAGGAGGAACCGGAGGUGGUGCUGGGGAGGCCUCUCCUCCCGAGCACAGCGGAGGUCCCACUCCCCCGGCUCAUAGCCAAAUGCCAACAAGCUCAACUGGAGCUAGAGGCUGGCAUGCGACGGGAGUGGGAGAAGCUGGAGGUGGAGCGCCAGCGGCUCUCCGACUGGGAGGUCCGCCUGGGGGACCGCAUCAACACUGUAUCCGCCCGCUACGCCGAAGAGCGCGCCAAGCUCGCACAGGGACGCGAGCUCCUGCGGGAGGAGCUGGAGCAGGCGCGCUAUCGAGAGGCAGCAGCGCUCGAGCGGGAGAAAGCAGCCAACCGGCGGGAAAAAGAGGCCCUCGAGGCGCAAAUCGUCGCGGAGAGGCUGAAGGAGGCGGCGACGGCCAGGGAGCGGGCCGCCCGGGAGCUGGCGGAGGCGGCGAGGGAGGCGUUUACAACGGCCGAGGCGGAACAGGCCUCCCUUGCAGAACAGGUGGUGGCGGCAGCGAAGAAAGAAGAAGAGCUGGCCGCCCGAGAGGCAGAGGAGGUGGCCCGGCUGCAGGAGCUCCAGAAGCGGGAAGAGGCCGUAAAGAAGGAGCUGGCAGCCGGGUACCAGAGGCUCCAGGAGCGCGAGGCAGCGCUCCAGGAGAGGGAGGCCAAGGUGGAGGGGCUCCUGGCAGAGCAGCACGUCGGCGCCAACCGAUUGACAAGAUGGGUUGGCACAGUGAACCCUCUGCUAGAGGCGCUCGGGGCCAACCCCAUCUGGGUGCCGGAGGCCCCUUCACCUUACGGCGCCGCACUCCAGCUGCUGGACUCCACCGCCAGGCGGCUACAAGAUGCGGAGGCCGGCCUACAGGAGCUCCUGGAGGCAGAAGGACGAGCAGUUGCCCGGGCGAUGGCGGAGUACAUCCUCACCAGCUUCCGGAGCCAUGAUCCUGCCGUCCAGCUGACUCCCGUCCUGGUCGGGCCCCUCCAGGCAACGGUAGCCGCUACGCGGGAAGGAGUCCAGGAGGCAGUGGACCUGGUCGCGGCCCGCCUCCGGCGACGUCCCGAACCUGCAAAGAGCGGAAGCGCCUCCGGACCACCAGAGCAGUAGUGCUAGUAUCUUUUUGUUAUUUCUUUUGUAAUAUAAUUUUUGUUAUUGUAAAAUGACUUCGUAAUGCUGUACAUAUUAUCAGUGAUGCAUUUAAACAUUUCGUGCGUCUACUUUUUUGAAAAACUUAGCUGUUUUCGAGUACACCGAGGUCCCCUGGCCCCCUGGGAGGUAGUCGCGAUAAGUCGGGACUAGCUGCCAUAGAACCGAGGUCCUGCACAUAACUUACGAUCGGCGUUUAGUAGACAUCCCCACAGGUUCUCGGUCUGGCCAGCAGAGGCCUCUUAAGUUGCGAAGCGAGUCAGAGCUCUAGGACCCAUGUUUAAGGGCUAAAAGGGGUCCCGGUCCCCUGGUACAUGGUUCAAGGUGCAACGGCGCUUACCCUAGGAGGGCAGGGCGUGUAGGUUUAGGGUGCGGAACCAGGCUAAGCGGCUACACAGCCCUGGACCCUAGCAAAGGGCGAGCGCGUUUCCCUGGAGCCAGUUAACAGGGGUCCGGUUCCUUUUUUCCUUUGAGACAGAGGUCCGGGGCUGGGACGGAGCCACGCAAUUUAAGAAGCCGCCAUGACACAGACGCGGAAAACAUGUGAGGGGUUAGCGUAAUCAAGAAGCGAAAAGAUGUAGACUUGUAUAGACUUCAAGGACACAUUCGAGAACAAACUUUCCCUUAAUGAAUUGGUACAGAAGAGUUGUGCGAUGUACGCCAGGGGCCGGGUUUACGAGGGCGGACCUCCACCGCCCUGGUCCGCACGUUAAUGCUACCAAUUACAAGGGAAAAAUUCUUCCUCAAUCGGGUCCUAGGGAUAAAACUUACGGAGGUGUUCAAUGUUCCACGGAUUGGGUAGUUGCAUUCCAUCCUCCGCAGCCAAACGAACAGAUCCGGGACGGCACACCUUUGUAACCUUGAAGGGCCCCUCCCAGCUGGGGGAGAGUUUGUGCAUACUCUCUCGGUUCAGGAUCCGCCUUAGGACUAGGUCCCCGACCCGGAGCUCCCUGUAACGCACAAACCGUUGGUGGUAGCGCCGGAGCGCUUGGUUGUACCGUGCGUUUCGGACUGCUGCUCGCCAUCUGCGUUCGUCAACGAGGUCCACAUCCUGGCGACGCUCCUGUUCCUGCAUUUCCUCAUCAAAAGACCGGACUCGCAGAGAGCCCAUGGUGAUCUCCGGGGGAAGGCACGCCUCGGCCCCGUAAACCAAGAAGAAAGGGGUUUCCCCUGUUGCCCGGCUAGGUGUGGUCCGGUUUCCCCAUAACACACUUGGGAGUUCUUCAAUCCACCUUGCGCCAUGCUUCUCAAGGUCACAGUAGGUCCGGAUCUUGAGCCCUCUGAGGAUCUCAGCGUUGGCCCGCUCAACCUGGCCAUUACUUCUGGGGUGCGCCACUGAGGCGAAACAGAGCCUAAUGCCCAUAUCCUCACAGUACUCCUGGAAGUACUGGCUCGUGAACUGGGUCCCAUUGUCUGUGAUGACGCGGUUCGGGACCCCGAACCGGCACACAAUUGUCCUGAGAAAAGCAGUUGCUGACACCUUGGUGAUAUUGACCACUGGGGUUGCCUCCGGCCACUUAGUGAAUUUGUCAAUGGCAACAUAGAGGUACCGGUACCCGCCAACGGCCCUAGGGAAAGGUCCCAAGAUAUCCAACCCCCACACCGCAAAGGGCCAAGAGGGAGGAAUCAUCUGCAGAGCCUGAGCUGGAGUGUAGGAGGCCAGACCUCCUUCUCCCGCAGGGGGGUCCACAGGGGCCCCCUGCGAGAGAAACUCGGACCUCUCGGUGACCAGCACCAUGCUGAUCACUUCGGUUGUUGCUGCAAGAUAAAGAAACAGCGUCUCACCUGGGUCCGGAGCGACCAGGACCGGUAAGGAGGUAAGGUACUGCUUCAUCUCUUGGAAGGCACGUUGUGCCUCUUCAGUCCAUACAAACGGGCCGGACCCCCUCAUCAACUUGAAGAAGGGAAGCGCCCUCUCCGCCAGCCUCGAAAUGAAACGGCUGAGGGCUGCAAGGGACCCCGCCAACCUCUGUACAUCUUUGAGGCGUGUAGGAGGCCUCAUCGUCUCGAUCGCCCGGACCUUAUCCGGGUUGGCCUCGAUUCCCCGGUGGGAGACCAGGAAACCAAGGAGCCUUCCCGCCGAUACGCCGAAGACGCACUUCUCGGGGUUAAGCUUGGUGGAAGUCGCCCGUAACUUGUCGAAGACUUGAGCUAAGUUUUCUAAGAGGGAAUUCGACUCUCUAGUCUUGACAACGAUGUCAUCAACAUACACCUCGACUAUAUCUCUAACCAAAUCACCUAGAGUGAUGUUCAUCGCUCGAGCAAAGGUGGGUAGAGCAUUAAGCAACCCAUAAGGCAUCACUAUAUAACAAUAAAGACCAUCCACUGUUACAAAAGCUGUAUGCUUCCUAUCAUCACUAGCCAUCUUGAUUUGAUGGAAACCAGAAUAGGCAUCUAUGAAGGACAGCAAAUCACACCCGGAGGUGGAGUCCACAAUCUGAUCUAUACGCGGGAGUGGAUAAGGGUCUUUUGGACAUGCCUUGUUAAGAUUGGUGUAGUCGAUGCACAUCCGAAGCUUCCCGUUGGCCUUUGGGACUACAACCGGGUUGGCCAACCAUACAGGAUGGUAGACCUCCUCGAUGAAGCCAGCCUGCAGCAGCUUGCGGACCUCUUCACGGAUGAAGUUUUGCCGCUCGAUGGACUGCUUGCGUGGCUUCUGCCGGACCGGCCUGGCGUCAGGGUGGAUCCUCAGAUGAUGCUCAAUCACCUCCCUAGGGAUCCCGGGCAUCUGUGACGGUUCCCAAGCGAACACGUCAACAUUUGCCCGGAGGAAGGCGAUGAGCGCGCUUUCCUAUUUCUCUCCCAGGUUACCACCGAUGCGGGUGGUCUGGGAGGUCUCCGCUCCGACCUGGACGGUCUUCACGGGUAGAUCGUCCGUGUCAGACGGACGGACCUUCGGUGCUUUGGCCAGGGCCUUGGCUCGUGAGGUCGAGGGGUCGGACCCCUGGGUGCCAGCUGCAGGGGCAAGCCCCGUAGCCAGCGCAUGGAGCUUUUCGACCGCUACAACAGCAGCGGCCCGAUCGCUUUGGACGGUGAGGACGCCCGCCGGAGAGGGCAUCUUUAGGACCAGGUACCCGUAGUGGGCAACGGCCAUGAACCGGUACAGGGCCGGUCUGCCGAUGAUAGCGUUGAAGGGGAGGUUAACUUCCGCGACCUCGAACUGCACGUUCUCGGUACGGAAAUUGUCCUCCGUCCCGAAUGUAACCGGUAAGGUGAUGGUCCCUACCGGGUACACGGGAUCGGGGCCCACUCCUGAGAAUGGGCGUGAUGGAGCCAGCUUGGACUCCGGGAUCUGCAGGUGCUUGAACGCCGCAUAGCUGAUGACGUUGAGGCCGGCGCCUCCGUCAAUCAGCACAUGGUGAAGGCGUACAUUGGCGAUGGUGGGUGCCGUGAUGAGCGGCAGCACCCCUGCACCCGCCAUGUUCUCUGGGCAGUCGGAUGGCCCAAAGGAGAUGGUGAUGCCCUUCCACCGCUGGUGGGGCGCCGCCCUCGGCACCCCUGGUUUCACCGAGAGGACCUCCCGGCGAAGGGCCUUCACGUCCCGUCUGGAGACGAGCUCCGAACUGCCACCGUACAUAACAUACAGCUUUUUGCGGCGCUCAUCCCCGCCGGACUCGGAAUCGGACUGCUGGAACAGUCCCUUGAGGUCUUUAUUGGGGGUUUGAUACCCCAACUCCCUCUCAGUCGCAGCUGCGUCGGCAUCAGAGUCUUUCUCCUUACCGGACCGCCGCGGAGGGGAGGAGCCUUCCUUGGAGGCUUGGUCACGCCUCUUGCUGAGGCGUUCCGCGAGCUUCUGGAUCUCGCGGCACUCAGCGGCGCUGUGGCGAGCCCCAGGAUGAACAGGGCACGACCCGGGGUCGGUGCGCUGCUGUCGUGGGCGCUUGCCGUGGGAGUUCUGGCCCCCGGUCGUUGCAGCCGCAACGGCCGGAGCCCCGACCCGCGACUUGUCGAAGCCACGGUUCUUCUUGUUCUUCUUCUUGCCGCUGCCAGGGGCAGCGACACUGGGCCCACUCGUUUGAGCGGGUCCUACCUGAGUUGCAGAGUGCCACGCACGGCCUUCUGCAGCUCGGGCGCACUUGUCCGCCAGAGCGAACAGGGUGGUGACGGCUUCCACCUGGUGGGUCGCCAGCUUCUCUAGCAUCUUCUCGUCUCGGACCCCCUGUCGGAAAGCCGUGAUAAUAGAUGCAUCGGAGAUACGUGGGAUGGUUCCACGUACCUUAGUGAAGCGGGAGAUGAAGGCCCGGAGGGUUUCCCCGGGUUGUUGCCUCACGGCGUGGAGGCCACCUCCACGCCAUGCUGCUGAUACGCACUGGCGAAGUUCGCAGUGAACUGUGCGCAGAGUUCUCCCCAGGAGUGGAUGGAUCCCGGGGUAAGGUUCAUGAGCCAGGUCCGGGCCGGCCCGGUCAAGGCUACAUGAAAGUAACUUGCCAUAACGGCUUCGUUACCCCCAGCCGCCGUGAUGGCGGUGAUGUAGACCUGCAGGAACUCCGACGGGUUGGAAGUCCCGUCAUAUUUUUCCGGCAGGUGAGGCCGAAACUUGGACGGCCAGGCGACUGCUCGGAGGUGGCCUGCGAGCGCUGCGCAGCCCACGCCCGAAACCGGCGCCUGGGCUAGUCCUUGCGGCCUGGCCACAGCCGCAUCGAGCUCGGGCGCAAGGUCCCGACCCUCAAUGUUGAGCCGUCGGUUGCAUGCUCGCUCGAUGGAGAUCCUAGCAUCCUCUCCCGCAUGCCUGCGGUUGAGCUCUGCCCGGAGGUCCUCAGUCCGUGCACUCCUCACUGAUGGUGAGUGCACAGAACCGGAUGCGCCGCCUUGACGACGGCGCUGCCUGGACACAGAUCUCCCCGCUGAGCCUGGGGAAGCCUGUGCCAGGUAGAGGAGGCGGUCGACGUCGUCACGCCAUUGUCUGUGCGCGUCUGGCGACGCCGCCUCUCCAGGGGGGUUGCGGAGCAACUCCCUGGCUGCCAUGAGGGGCCCGCUCGGUGGGAGCACCGAUUGGGCCACGGAGUCCCGCUCCGCUGCGCGUGGUGGAGCAGCACGCGGAGCCACCCUGGAGGCGGGAUGGCGCGAGGCGCGUGGCGCUGUUGACGCCACUUCUUCACCGAUCAGGAGGUCAUGGUGACCAUUUUCCUGCGCCAUCAAGGUCACGGUGGUCGACCAAACGCAAACCAAACCUAAGUCCCCUACCUGGCGCGCCAAAUGUCGGAGGAAUUCUCCAGCCGGGUGGCGGAAUGCACCCGCCUAAUCCUAGUUAAGGAUGGGUUUGGAAGAGACUUAGGAGUGCUCGAUCGGCGAACAGAUGAACGCUGGAAGGCCACAGAGAUUUAGAGUGGUUCGGGCCGCCGAAGCGUAACACCCUACGUCCACUUUGGUGUUGUUUUGCUUGAAGACUGGAUGAAGCUUAGCAUACAGCUUGUGCUUAUGCAGCCUGGAACUUAGAACGUCUAGCGUGAGUGUUUGUGAUCCCGUGUUCUAGCGAGUGCAUUCUCCCUUUUAUAGUCCAAGGGGGAUGCUUACACUGAGCGGGACCCCGACAUGUGGGUCCGGCCAACAGGAGCUUGUUCUACGAGAGAUAUGGAGGUCAUCUCCUCGAGCUCCUCUCUGUAGUCCUCUCGAUCGGGGAGUUGAUGUGCGUAUCCAUAGUCGGGAUACGGCCGUGUACAGCCUUGUCUUGUACAGUGUUCGGUGUCAGCGUUGCCCAACAGUGAAGCCGUGCUGUCACUGUUGGGAUCGAACCUCCAGUCAGGGGGCGAGCCAGCGCUGACUCGUGCCAUGCGCACUGUUACAUCGCAAGCCUUAGCACGCCUAUUACAGACCAUCGUCACACGCGCAGCGCCGUGACGGGACUGCACACAGUCCGCGCACUGUGCGCGGUGAUACGACGCGCCGCUUUCAGAUCAGGCGGGCUUACCGUGGUGUCAGCUUACCUGCCCCGUGUGCCAGUGGCAGGCCGCACCUUUUGACCUUGGCGCGCCCAGCUCACCUACCGCAUUGAAUGCUGGUAGGUGGAGAGGCGACCCGUAAGGGGCCUCCGGCCGCAGGCACGCGGCGGGGUCAGCCCCGCUCCUCCCGCCGGGCAGCACAUGGCGGCUCCGGACCCCUUCCCGGGGGAAAGAGGGGUCCGGGGCCCCCGUGGCCGGCCGGAGCGGGCUGACCUGUGAUGGUCUGGCCAUCACACGUGGCGGCCCCGGACCUCCCAGGGGAGGCCGGGUCCGCAGGGAUUACCCGAGAGCUCUCCCGCCCACGUGGGUGUGCAAAGGCCCCGGACCUCACGGAGCACGGGGAGGGUCCGGAGACCGUGGUCCCAGCAGUCAGGCCCGGAGGCCGUAUGCCACGUGGCCCAGAGGCGAGGGGGAGCGUGGAUUAUGAGAAGUCCCAGGGCCUGGACACCCUAGCAGGAGGUACCCCUAUCUGUAUGUACCGACAAGGUCUAUGGACAAGAUAUCCAAAGAAACUAUUUAUAUAUUUGCAGCCUACGUUCUAUGUAUUGUAGAGUCUUUUGAGGAAUGAUCAGCAGAGCAAAAUGGUGGGGGGAAAAGGCAGGUUCUCUUGCAAAAAAGAAAAGAAAACAGAAACAAAUACAUGAGGGGGGGAUAAUUAAAAAUGACUAUCAGCCUAGGAAGUCUAAGAGAAGAGGUAAAAAUCACUAAUACCUUAGAUGUCACAUUCAAGAACCCAGUGCUUCAUUCCACAGUUUCCGGGAAGAAACACUAGAUCAUUUGCCAUUUUGAUUCUAAUGUUGUUGAUAUCUUUGGAAUCGAAAAUAUUAUGCAGUACCAUCCUCGGAGAUUUCCAAUGCUCAAGAAACAUCAUGGUGUAGAUUCCAGAGUCAACGCUGCACCAAAUGGAAGAAAAAGACAUAGUGUAGAUUUGCAAAAAUAGUCAUUUCAAAAGAUAUUUUAUCCUUGAAAAGGUAAAACUAACCUAUUAUUGGAGGGUUGGUUGGGUACGUCUGGGUACAACAAGUCAUAUCCAUCAAAGUUUAUAUCAACAUGAAUAUACCUGCCCCAGUGGAACAGGAAAGAUGGAAUCUACAGAAACAAUAAAAAUGGAUUUGAGAUGGUACACAUAUAAAAAAUAGACAAAAAAUAUAUGUAAAAUUUGAAAAUGAAACUAACCAAUCUAUCUCUGACAAACUUUUGAUACUCAUGAUCUUUGUGAUGAAAAGGGUCCAGAAAAACAAACUUGCUGUCUUUGAUAUCAACAACAAAAAGGAACCAGUGCUCGUUGAAUAAGGUUGGGAAAUACAACUACAAAGAAAAUACAAAAAGUUUGAGAUGAUAUAUGUAAUGUAAAAUAUAUGAAUCGGUAAUAUUGAAAUGUAGAAAAUGGGUUAUAGAUCAAUGGUUCAAAAAAUUUACAUUGUUGGACAAAUUUAGGGGCCUGAGCCCAUUUGAUCUUUUAAAAGUACAAGAUAAAAUUUUAGUGUUUGAUUCGUCUGAAUUCUUUAGUAAAUUUUCCUUAAAAGACAGCAAAAGAGAGAGAUUAAAAGACAUUUAGACAAAAGCAUCAUAAGAAACUUGGUUGGGGGGGGGAGGGGGGAGGGAAGAUAGUUAACGAAAUAAAGUAGAAAAAAAUAAAUUAUACUUACAACAAUAUUUGAGAAGAAGAAGUGGCAUUUAGAUUUGUCUGGAUGGCCAUUUGGCUUGAUAAAUAGACUAUAGCAGAAAGCAGAGAUAACAAAUGAAUUUACAAAACCAUCUGGCUUCAAAGACUCUCCAAGAGACUAGAAUGUGCAGCAAACUUUUUCAAUGCUAAUAGCAUCCUCACUACCAAAAGAAAAUAAUAUAUUAUGAACCAUAUUAGGGGCUCCGCCAAAAAUAAAGAAAACUGAGAGUGGAAAAAAGUAUAAUAAUGAUGAAAAGCAAGAAAAUAUUCUUACUUGCUAUAUUGGGAAUCAGCCAAAUGACAAAUAGCAUUAUAAUUUUUUAUUUCAGAUUGACAUUCAGAAAUCUUGUUCUUUGGAACAACAUAAUCACCACGAAACUAAGGGCGUGGGAACACUGCCCUCCUAGGUCCAUGAAGUGGUAAUUUCCCACCAGUCAAGAAUUCUCGAGCCUUGUACGGGCUCUUGGAUCCAUCAGCUGAAGAUAGGAAAGAUGGGUGAUAUCCAAAAGCACCAGGGAUAAGAGAGCCAAUUUUUUUAGAAGCAGAAAAGUCACUGAUAUUAAGUUUCUUGUUGUAUAGUUCAUCAGAUUUCUUUGUCAUUUCACUAACAUUCUAUGAAAGUGAUUUUUGUCCAACAAAUUGAACCUCAGGUGAUCCCUUGCAUAAAAAAAGAAAAAAAAGAAAAAAAUAGUUAGAUAAAAUAAUUUUACAGUGCCAAAACAGUAAAUUUACAAUGCCAAGUCACUAAAAAUACUGUAACCAAAAUACUGUAACUAUAUGUCACAACAACUAUAAAUUCUGAAGGGAAAUACUAUAACUGCUUUCAUAUACAUCUACCUUUGUGUUAGUGUGUCUGGACUAAAAAUCAUGGAGCGAUUGUUGGGUGCGAAUCUGUGCUUCUUGGAUAAUACAAGAGUAACUUUUUGGGUAGUUUCCUGAAGAAUGCAGGAAAAAAAUUGAAAAAGUGACCAAAGAAAUGAAUAAUAUGUACAAAAAAUUUAAAAAUAUAUAGGGGGUAAAAAAGAAAAAGAGAUACAACACAUACAGAUUCAGCCAUGUCUUGGGAACCAUUCUCUGAGCUAAGAUGCUCCUAUUUUUUUAAAAUACAAAAUAGUUAGUGCUACAAAUACAAAAAGUCAUGUAUUAUACAUCACAGUGAAAACCCAUGAAAAAGGGGCAGAAAAAGAAAAGUAAAAAAGAAAAAAUGGAUUUAGAUAAAAGAUGUAGUGUAUAAUACCUUCUGGGUGCAAAAUUUUGCAUAUGUUGAACAUGGAUAAGGAGAGAUAGAGUCAGGCACAAAAUCGCCUUCAUCAUCCAACAUUAUAACAUCUUUACGUUCAUCUUUAGCAUUGGAGGUAUGAGAAUGCUUUGACUUUGAUCGUGGGCUAACCAAAUGAACAUUAGAUAAAUCAGCGAGAGGCUAUCUUGCGCGAAUUAUAUUGUUGUCUGAGAAUAAAUUUUUACAUGAACCCAUUUUAGACUUGCUUUUCUAGAAAAGAAGCUCAGCAACACCUGGGAGAGACGCAUUAAAAAAAUAAAAAAUAAGUCCCCCAAAAAAGUGACAAAAAAUGUAAAGAUAACCCAAACUGAACUGAACUAUUAAAAGAAUAAACCAAAAAAGAGCAAAAUUGGAAAGAAAAACUCCAUGAUCUUAUGGUUAGAUGGAUAACUGGAUGUAGGGAAAACAAAGUCUUGACUUUUGCGAACCGGAAAGAAAAAGGCCAUGAUCUGUAACAUAUAUGUUAUGAUGGUCGUUGUUGUAGAAAAUAAAGGUUAAAAAGGAAAGAAGCCAAAAAUGAUUAAAAGAGAGAUAGAUAUAACCAACUUUCCUUAGUCAACUUGUGUAUUACUUUAUCACUUGAGCUUGAUUGACCUUGAAAAAAGGCAAACUAGAACUAACUCAGUUGCAAAAAAUAAAACAAAACAUUUAAAAAAAAGGAAAGUAGAACUAUCAAAAAAUAUUGCGCAUACCAUCCCAGAACUCAAGUUGGAGGGCGUUUUAGAAGAAGAUUGAACGAAAUUAUCAUUAACAAUGUCAGCAAGGAAGCAUCAUUGGGACAUUGAGGAUCUGCGCCAGCCAAUAAACCCUAUGUGUGUCGGUGUGGAACAGGUUACAAAAAAUAUUUGGAAAAACAAAAAAAAGGCUGCUGAAAAAAAGAUAAAGUUAUAAACACAAAAAGGAGAUGUUGGGAAAAAAAUUCCUACUUACAAUGUACGUGAUUGCGUUUAGGAGGGCCAUUUGCAUACGGGUGUUCAACAGGGGCAGGGGGUGUGAUCAACACCGGGUGCGGAGGCUGCACAUUCUGUGAUAAAAGUAGGCAUACUGUUAGUCAGCUAAUACCAAAAAAAUUAAAAAACAAAUUAAAAAUAUCACAUGACAAACCUUUUAGGCUGCAUGUGCAGGAGUUCUUCGUAUCUGAACAAAUCUUCUGAUUGGUAGGGCAUUCUUCCUUAUUGGUGAUUUUUUUCUAAUGAAACGGGGCUAUCAGUAGGGAAGUGUGUAAUAAGGUCCAAGAUAUCCAAUACCAAUUUUUUUUAGUGAAAGCAUGAUUCAAAAGCUUCGAAAAUGUACUGAUCAAAUUCUCAGAAAGACUUGAUAUUGCAGUGACAUCUAAAUUCAAAGUCAAUCCACAAUUUAAACAACGAUUCUUAACAAUCUUGCGGAUCGAAGUCUUCAGAACAUCAGACAAUUUACAGUUUGAAACUGAAUCAAGUUUGUCCAUGAAGUUAUGGUCAACUAACAAAGAAUCUGACUCAUUAUCUAGGAUUUGAUGUUGUUGCAAUAAGAAAAAAAAUAUGGUGGUGAACAAUAAGAAAAGAGAAAAAAGACCAUGUGUAGAAGAAUAAAAAGAUAAAAAGAAGGACAGUAUAACCUUUGCAUAAUAUGUGUCAGAGAAAUCAAGCAAAGGUCUGAACCCAUAGCAACCUGGGGAUUUGAGGUCAAGAUCGCAAUAAAUUUUGCUCAUGUUCUCUUUCCAUACGGAUAUCCAAGGGAGUGAGACGGGACAUGAUGAGGACCAAAAUCAACAUGAUCUAGGUAUAGAACCUAUAAAAGUUUAAAAUAGAGCAAUAAAAUAUUAGAAAAAUAAAAACAGUACAACUCACGGUUGAGAUAAAAAUAGAACUAUUUACAGCAAGAUAAUAUAGGCAUCCACCAAAGGUUUCAGGAUCUAUCGCUUUUGCACAUUUAGCUUUAUUGAAACUUUUGAUGGAAUGAAGAAGCCAAUCCAAAAUAUAUCCACACCAAUUAAAGAACUUUGCAUUUCGGACAUCAGCAAAAACACCAAAAUGUUUGUAGCUUGGAACCAAAGAUGAGUUGGGGCAUAAGAAGCUACUUAGAGCAACUAGGAUGAAGCAAGUGAAAGAUUCUUCAUUUGAUUAAACUUCUAUAUUGGUGAUUUUAUUAGCAAAGAAAGUAACAGAAGGGAUGCACUGCUUGUGGAACAUCUCCAAAAUAAAAGAUUUACCAGCACUACUAUCAGCAAGGAAUGAAGUGCCGCCGCAAGGGAGACCAAGAACACAAUGGACAGAUUCUUUGAUGAGGAAAAUUAUCUUGCCAUCAAUAACAAUAUCACCAGAUUUAUGAUCAACAUUAUGAGCAAUCCAUUGCGCAUAUUUAUUGGGCACAUAGCACUUUGUGAAUGAAAGGAGUGAUCCAAAACCAGAAUCCUCAAUAACUUUCUUCUUUUCUGGAGUUAAAGCACCUAUUAUUUUGGAAAAUAUUGUUAUUGAGAAACGAGUGAAUGCAUCACUUGAUUUUGCAUGAGAAGGCUUCUUCACCUUCAAAAAAAGAUUAAAAAAAGAGCGUAAACACAAAUUUCACUACCUCAGAAUUUUGUAAAACCGAAAAAGAUGGAGGUCAACGACACACACAAAUGCUCACCAUUUCAUGGUAAGUUAGAAAAAUAAAAAAAAUAAUAUAAACACUAAUACAAAAUACCUCAUUGAUGCGGCGCGUCUUAAAAUUUAUUUUUAAAUCUCUGAUCUUCUUCUUGUACUGGAAAACAAUAAAAUUAGACUUUUUAAAUUAAAGUGAAAAAUGCACAUGACACAAAGAAAAAAGGGCUUCGCAUGCCCAUAAAACUUUUGCAUGAAAAGUCUAGGAACUUAUAUCUCUGUAACACUCUUUUAACAAAGCUUUCUUCAACGAAUCAACAUCGAUAAAGUAGGUGUCCUGAAAAAAUAAGAGAAAAUAUACAUUGUAGUCUCAUAUUUGUUCAUACAUCAUGUCCCUCAUCUGUGCCUAGGAUUUGUGAAUUUGUCUAUUCAACAUGAAUUAACAUCAAUUUACCUGAUAUCUAAAAUAAAUAGAUGCACAGGAGUAGGGGGUCCCCCUAUAGCUGCACUACUUACCAAGCUACGCUCAGAAAUCAAUCAGCCAAAAAAAUAGAAAAAAUUUGAGUCAUUAGAAAGCACCAUCUCCAGCCCCUUUUCAAUUUCUAUUUAUAUUCUAUAAUCUCUAACCAUAUAAACAAAACUAAAAAAAGCAACCCUUUGAUCUUUAUACUAUUAUCAACUUCAGCUCCAUCUCAUAAAAAAGAAUGUGCUCUACAUUAUUUCCAUGAAGCUUAAAUUAUUUUGUAUAAAUAUGUUCAAAAAUUAUCUAACAAAUAUCUUCAAAACAAAUCAAACUGAUUGACAAAAAAAAUACAGAGAAAUACUUACAUUAGAAUUACUCGUGUGAGCAUCAUCAGAAUCAUUGUUCUCAACCUUGUCGGAGUCGCUCAGCGGAUCAUUGAAAGGAACGAAAUCAGCAUCACUAUCGGAUCCGGAACUUAUAGAUGCAGCUAAAUCGUGACGUCUUUUCCUACCCAUCUGUACCAUAGCUUAGUCAAACAAAAGGGGCGUGUGAGUGGGUGUGGAAAAUACAGUCUAAUCUAAAUAAACUAAUUCAAAUAUAGCAGGUGAAAAAAA